This 92689-nucleotide long non-coding RNA is filed under the name Vitis vinifera (wine grape). RNAcentral's name for it is "long non-coding RNA (VVIN_LNC001738)". Lineage: Eukaryota; Viridiplantae; Streptophyta; Magnoliopsida; Vitales; Vitaceae. The record is from RNAcentral.
UUUUUUUUUUUUUUUUUUUUUUUUAAGGAAAAAAAAAAAAGUGACAACAGAUAACCUAAGAAUGACAAACACAAAUAAUAAAGGAUGAAAAUGACUGAGGGGCUUGAAAACAAAGGACAAGGGUUAAAAAUGGUAAUCUAACAAAGUUGGUGUGUGCCCAUGAUUUCAUCACAAGAAGCCCAAGCAAAAAUAAACAACUUUUCUAAAGUUUAUACACAUAUAUGCUGCAGCAUUUAUUAUUUUCCAGUAUGAUAGAUGAUUGCAUACACAGAUUGUACUACUUUGAAAGCUAUUAAACCAUUUCUGCAUCAUCUAUUUCACUCUCCCUGCUCUCCUGCCAUCCUGCCCCGACCCUAAAUUUACAGACAGGGCAUGUGCCUUGUUGUCGCAGCCAUGGAUCAAUACAGUUGGCAUGGAACUGAAAAUCAUAAUAGCAGUUACAAAUGUCAAAAUAUAAAACAAAUUGAAUGGCAUACAUAUCAAGAUAAACUUCAUUUCCAACCUAAAGUUAGAUGCAAAGUAAGUGCAAUGAUAAGAUUCAGCAAGAAUUUUGGAGAACAUUCCUAGGAAAAGAGAGGAAGAACAAGCUUCAGGAGAGGCAACACAUGUUCAAAAGUAUGCUGCAGAUGGAUAGAUAGAAAAAGGGGCAUAUAUCAUCCUCAAAUGAUGGAGAAUAAUUCAUUAAUUUUGCAGAGAAUAGAGGAGUAAUUGGCGAAAUUUGACACUCUAGGGUAAAAUUUCAAGAAAGAUUAUUUAAAAAAAAAAAAAAAAAAAAUUGUUUGUAGCAUUUGUGGUAAUUAGCAAAUAGUGCAACAUGUUAUCAAAUUAAGUAAACAAAAAUAUUAAGCAUGAUCAAAGGCUUGAAUAAAAAAAUCCAAUAAUGCAAAUGGGACAUUAAUGUGACAUUCUGAACCAGAUUCAUCAACUUAUAUUAUCACAAAGAAACAGAAUAAAUAAAUAAAUAAUUAGUGGCAUCACAGUAAGAAGAUGAUGAACCUGGUGCAAGCAUGGCAAGCUACGUACAAGCUCUCCCCUGUUGACUUGCUCCAAGCAAAUGCUGCAUGUCAGUUCAUCUUCUGAACCCUUCAUGCUGCUGUCCCCCUUUCUAGAGUCUUGCCUAGCCUUCUCGUCAAACUGGAAGUGAGAAAUUAAAAACAGUACACAAGAGAGUAUCCAUAAUGAUUAAGAAACAGAUGCCCACUUCCUCUCCCAACCUCAAUGCCCACAUCUAUAUCCGCAAACAGACAUGUACAAUCAAAGAUGCUUUGUGAAACAAAAUUAACAAAGGAAGUUUCUCCUAUACUCAGUUCGACAUUUACCCAGAGGGAAUAAACUAGAGAUUAAAUGCAGGCAUGAAUGCUAUAACAGAAGUCCUAUACUCAGUAAGGUAUGGAGUGAGUGGAUGAAAACACUGUUUAUACUUUAUAUAACCUGUCUAGAGGUUCUCUAUUAGAUAAACUGUCCUAACAGCCAAAUGAGCCCUCCACUGAUUAAUAACCAUGAAAUAUAAACCUAUUUUAUGUUAUACCAUCUCCCUCAAGAAAGAAGGGUGGGUUGCAAGGUAGGAGGUUCAAUGAAGAAUUCUGGAAAGGCCAGUUUCUGACAUAUGAAACCUGACACGGAGACUUAAAGGGAUUCCAUGAUCAUAACUUCAUCCAGUCACCAUGUUUAUAAUAAGAACUUUUUAAUGAGGUAUGCAGAACAUGAUUCUUAUAAUAUUGCAACUUUUCUUUUCCUCUGGAUUCUUACUUCUUAGCAACUGAUAGAGUUUUAGGGAUAAUGUAUUACCACCAGAACACCAGUAACUUGUCAUUGCCUUAUUAUCACUCUCCAUGUUCUUAUUGGUCAUGCAAUCAUACCUAAGAGAACAAAAGAAGAAUACCUCAGCUGAGGCUGAAGAAGAUGCAGCCUGUUGCAUUGAUGACCCCUCACUGUUAACAAAUUCAAAAUCAUAUCAAAUCAAUAGAAUUCCCAUUAAAAAAAAAAAGUGAUUUCUCAUCAAACCCCACAAUACUCCUAGAGAACUUCAAAAAAAUUGAAAAUAAUAAUUCUUGAUACAUCACAUAAAUUUGCAAGAAAAUAGACUACCAAUACAAAUCCUCUCAAGUUACCUUUGUGGACCAGUGACCUUAUACUUGUGAACAGGUAAAGCAUUGAUCUCUUCCUCACUCAGUGAAGUUGAGGAAGUAUUAUCAGAAUCUAGUGAUCUCAAGGUUUCAUAAUCUGUGGCAGAAUGAAUAAUUCAUGAUAAGUGCAAUUUCAAAAUAAACCUCAGCUAGAACCUUCUGAUAAUUUCUAAAGAAAUGCACGAAUUCAACUUCAAGUUUGAAGCAUGGCAUAUGUUGCACAAUAAUUGACUUGACCAUACCCAGGUCAUCAAAUUCGCGAUCAAGAAGUGCAAGCUGGAGUCGCAAUCCUUGUAAUCGCCCUCUAGUUGCAAAAGCUAUUGAUGGUGGCAUACGCAAACGCAAUUCAGUAUGACCAAGUAGGCCACUGGCAGCUGCAGCAUGAGCUUGGGCAUGAGCUUGUAGUUGUUGACAAGUUGCAUACAUCCUCAAGCUCGUGGCCAUAAAAAAGAACCCCACAACUAGCCAGAGCUACACAUAUAGAUUUACAUGAAUACCUCUUCAAUUGCUAUUUAACAAAUUAUGCUUCAGAAUUUUCAGAAAGACUAACAUGCCCACAUUAGAUGCCAGUGAGAAAAUACCAGAAAGUUUGGUGACAUCUGAUGAGAGUUCAAAAUCAUAAACAGCAAAAGCACUGCCGAGCAAACAGAUAAGGAAUGGAUUAGAAAUGAGCACAACUAGAAUAGUAAACAAUGGAGAUAGAGCAAAUAGAUUGGAAACAUUACCUGUGACAAGAAAAGCCAGUGAAUUAGUGUUAACUGGCCGAGCUGGAUGAAGACGCUGAUAGAAAUAGGGAGAAGAAUUGGCAUCACAAUGGAUUAUGUCUACCAUUGCAUAAUCUCAAAUAUAUAAUCACUGACAUUGGAAAACACAGUACAAUAAGACAUAUAUAUGCAUGUGAGAGGAAACGCACCACUGCAGGUCUCUGAGGAAUAAAUCCUGGAAGUCCACUUUCUAUAUCUGCUCGAGACCCACGAAAAACAAAACUCAUGGUCGCAGGAGUGACCGCAAACCUCCUUACCUAAAAGAAUCAAAUGAUAGGGGAACACAAAGUAUAUUAGUUAUAAAUAUGCUAUCCACACCUUCGAGAAUCUGUAAAAGCUUUGAAGCUUAUAAAUUACUCAGCUAAAUUCAAGCAUAACCAACCCCAUAUAACGGCAAUUAAGGUUUUGCUUAUCCUCACACAGGAAGUACGACCCAAAAUAAUAAUAAUAAUAAUAAUAAUAAUAAACGAUAUUAAAAUGAUCAGAUCACAAAGCAAGAAGCCGCAAUCCCUUAUCUUCAAAAUGUUCAUGCCAACCAUAUGUGCUAAAUGAAACCUUGAUCUCCCACUCUCCAAUCAAUAUAGUUAAAUUAAAAUGAACUAAACUCAUCAUCUAGAAGCAGUAGUCAACUUUAAUUCUUAUUAAAGAAUUCUAGAUCUGUUUACACUUUCAAAGCAUCAUUUUCCACCACAUUGCAAAACCAUUGCAUAAAAAAUCCCAGACCUACAGCAUUACUUCGAAACAAGGUCAAAACCGCUCCUUUAGAGCUACAAUUUUAAUUAACAGCUACAAUUGCAACAUUCAACAAACACACAAUUUCCCCAUAUUUUGCCAGGAGAGGAAGAAUCCAGUAAAACCCUAAUCAGUAUCCCUCCUAAAAAUUUCUCCAGAACCAGCGAUUAAUACACCCAAAAUCACGACCACACCUCAACACCACUGAUGGACAACGACAACUACUUCUACUAGCGCUAGUACAUCUCCAAACACCGAUUCCAACAACACAAGAUCCACAUUGUCCCGAUUCUUCUUACAAAAACAUUCACAUCGGAAAUCCACACAACAACAUCGAAACAAACCUCCGUUUGGCCGCCGAGAAACAGAAGGAAAAGCAGAAAAAACCUGGAACCAUGGGAGAGUGAAUUCCAGUUUUCAAGAUUCCGAAUUUUGCAUCUCUUUUCCCUGAGAUUUCUCGACAACCAAAGAGAAUCUAAAGAAAAAAAAAAAAAAAAAAGCGUUGCACGAAACCUGAAAUCACUGGAAUUCGCAGAAUGGGGGACAGAUUCAUUUGCGGGUGAAUUCCCUGUGUUUCCUGCAGUUGCAGUGUAUUGUUUAUGGUAGAUUUACUUGGAGGCCUUUCUGGGAAAUGCCACGACACGUGGACUUGCAUGUCACCGGACCGCUGCCACGACAUCGAACAGCAUGUCAUGAGUGAACCGCACAGCACUUUGGGAUUUGGACCAUCUGCAGUCGCUUCUCUGAUCGAUAGUCGCAAAAAGGAAAGUGGGAUUUCAAUUUCAGCAUGUGGGGUGGGCCUUCCACCUAAAUCAUUAUUAAUCAUUUUAAAUUUUAUAUUUAUGAAUUAUGUUCGUAUUUAUAAUUAUUUACCAUAUGAAAUUGGUAUCAUUAUUUUUUUUUGGUUUAAAGGCAUUGUGAUUUGUCAAUUGUCAAUGUCAAAUUUCUGAUUUCAGAUAAAAGGUCGGUAGAAGGGGACGAAACCGCCUCCCACCUCCAUAAUCACAGACGCAUUAGCCUCCAACUCCAAGCAUAGGCUUCCAACACGUUACUAACAGUGAGGUGGACCUUGGCCACAGAGUGCCUGAGAUAUUAUUUGGUAUGGGAAUCCCAAGGAUUCGAGUCAUAUGGCUUCCAUUCGGACAUGUUUGCUGGGAACUCAACUAUUGGGUAAUGAUUAUUCGAUUUUUGGGACCGACCAAACAAGUUCCAGGGCAUCUCUCUCAACUCGGCAUGGUGUGGCAUUGAAGGGAAAAAAGAAAUUGAUUAUGGUCAGAAAAUCAAUAUUUGAAAUGGGUGGACUCAAAGUACUGAAAUUGCUUACUAAGGAAUCAGCGUAUAAAAUGAAAUACACCCAUUGGGUAUGGGAUUCGCAUGCUUCACAAUUUCGUACACGGCCAUGCGAGCUGCUCAAUGUCCUCUUCAAGCAAGACACCCAAUCGGGAAUAAAAGCCUUUUGGGCGAUCUAGCAUGGACCUUGUUCGCCAUUGUUGGGUCAAAUCGCUGUUUCGAGUGAUUUGUAAGCAUCAAACACUUGAACACGGGGGUAUGAACUUGAGAACUUGAUCAACUAGAAAGUUGUUCGAAGAUGGAAAUGGUGCCUCAAGUAGAGCGUCAGGUUGCUGCUGGGGAGCUGCUUUUGAAGGUAAUGGUCAAUUCCUGGACGGGUAAAAAGGGUACUUCAGGGUUUAGGGUUUUAGGUACCACACAGAUGUUUGUAUAGGACUUCUUGACGCUUGCUUUCUGUUCACUUCUUUUUGGCUAUUUGCGAACCGCCUAAUUGGAGAAAUUGCCCUGGAAAGAGGCCUCUCUACAUCCCACCCACAAGGCACAUGACUAAAGGCUAAAGCUGAGUGAUUUCUUCGCAAACACCAAACACAGAAGCCAUCAGAUGGGAAAACAAAAGCUUCUCCUUAGUCCCAAAAGGAGAAGCAAAAAACCAGAACCAACAAAGCUGCAACUCCAAUCACAUCAUUUACGAAUCUUUGUCAUGUUUUGAUUUAGAGGAGAAUAAAAUAGGCCAACAUUCCACCAUAUCCCACUUUCACCCAUAUUAUACCAACCCCAAACCCCAUAAUCUGAACCAUCGCCAGAAAUUCAGGAGGUUUUGAAGUGCACAUUUAAGUCGUGGCAGAAGCCAGUUGCUUUAGUAAAAGGGCCAGACAUGGAUGACAAAUAAGGAUGAGAGAGAGAUGUGAGAGAAGAUGAAAACUUGAUGAAAUGAAUACAAGGAAAAGAAUUUCUGACGAUAACUGGAGAUUGGAAUAGAAGCUAAAAACAAAUUACAAAAUUUUUUGUUUUGGUAGGAACACAAAUUACAAAAUUAAGCAAGUAACGAAUGCUUUCUUAAAGCUUUUAUGCCAUUAGAUCCGCUACCAAGGCAAACCCAUUUUCCUCACUUCCCAAAGCUUUGCUGCAAACCUUUCCUUCUUCUCCUGCCAAUUCUUAAUCCUUGAAAACCAAUAACGCCCAACCAUUUAUGUAGCAAAUGUAAGACCCCUUGAAAAGGAAAAAGAAAAAGCUAUUUACAGUGAUCCCAUCCAGAUUGCGAAACAAAAAAAAAACUGAAAUUUCUUAUAUUUUCAUUCCCAAAUUCACCAUCUUGAAUUUCCACUUUGAUCUUCCAGUACCCAAGCUCUGCUCCUCCUCCGAACGUAUCUACUGAAAACCGAACUUGAGUGACUGUGACUUCUGGUAAUGGACCCAGGUUCUGAAGUUGAACGAGAAGAUGAUGAGGAAGAAGACCUAAACCUCCCUAAAAAUGAGAAAAUGUUGCGAAAAGCUCUGCCCAGUGAUCCGCCGCUCUCUCUGGAUCGGCUUCGUCUGGAUGCCCAUGAAAUCCUCCUUGGAGCACCACUAUUAUUGAACCCACCAUCCAUUUCUGUGUACACCACAGGAAGCUCACGCUCGCCGGCUCUUCUUCCUCCGGAAAACCUCCCCACGGCAAACCCACCGCCAGGAAGCCUCCAUAUGGUCAGCCCCACUGUCUCUUCUUCGUUUGGUGCCGGAGAAAGUGCUUCAUUUCCAGAUACCGGCGAGUUCCUUGUUCCGGGAACGUCCGUCGGCAACUCGUGGCGGCAAACAGGGCAUGAAUUGCGGAGAGAUAGCCAUGGGAGAAUACAAUCGGAAUGAUAGAUAUGCUUACAGGGCAUUUCGCGAGCCUCCGAACCCAGCUGGAACGCCUCUUUGCAUACCGCACAGUGCAACUCUGUGACGAUGUGGCUAGACACGAUCUCGAUCGUCGGCAUCGACUCCACGGCCGCCUUUGACGCCGGAGGGUGCUCGCCGCGCCCAAAACCAUUGAUUUCAAUCUGCGAAAGCUGUUCCAGCAACCGAUCAAACCCCGACCCCAUCAAGAACUCCGACAUGGUCGCCGGCAACGGCCGAAGCCCGGACCCUGCCCCGUCAUCGUAGUACAAUUCAAAACUACUCCUCUCCACAACACCACCUUCACCACCACCUCCAUCAGCCGGACCGCGGAGCACAAUAACUGGAUUAAACGGAGACCGAUCACCGGCGUUCCUCCUGCUCCGCCGCAACCCUAGAUUCGCACUUUGCUCCGAAUCCGGCCGGUUGUUCCCCAGCAUGUACAUCGCAGUCGCCGGAAACCGACGGUGGUGAUUCUCCGAUCUCGGCGUGGCCUCAAUCUCCUCCAAGAAGCCACUCUCGCAGUACGGACACACGAUGCUAUCUUGAGCCCAAACUCUAACGAAACGAGUGCAUCUGUGACACCAAUAAGACGUCGUCGAAGCCAUCUCCAUACCAGAAACCCCACCAAAAGAGAUCGAUCCUUUUUCAGAUCCUCGGUUACCUGAACAAUUCACAACCCGAGUUGACUCUUCCAAAGAUCCCAAGAAUUGACUCAACAGAUCUGAGCCAAGAAGCCCCAACUCGCCGGAAACGACCCAGAUCCGACGGCUCAGAAAGAGCGAAACUUUGAGGGAAGAGAGGAGAGAGAGUACGAAGAAUACAAAGAAGAAGAAGACGAAGCUGAGGCUUUUAAGACUCGUCGUGGAGGGUUAACGGCGUAGUCUUGACGCGUGAGGCUGAGAAAGCGAUUAGACGGACGUUCCCUACGUGGCGGCCAUCGAUUGGAUGGACAUUGACGGCGUGAGUGGAGCGUGGAAGUGGACUGGUCAGCGGUGCGAGCACAUGGUAAUAUUUGAGAUAAAUUAUAUGAGGAAAAAGAAUCGGGGCGACUCCCGCGUCCAACUUGAAUCGUGGCUGGCGACGGGGGCAGACGUUGACUUGAAGGCGAAAUGUGGUGUUCAAAAUGCCGACUUUGAAAUUCAAAUCAUCGCCGUUUCGUGGUGAAAAAGAUUCCCAACCGAGGCUGAAGCCGGCUGACACUCGCCUUCUAAUUAAUAACAUCGGAAUACGACUGAAACGAAGGAAAAGAGGAGCAUCCUUCUCAUUUUGAUGUCUUGUACAAAAAAAUAAUUGCAGGCUGAUGUGUGAGAUGGGUCUCAUUCAAUAAAUGUACGGUACAAGAAAUUGAUUUUCUAUACCUAUGUGAUUUGGAGGAACUGGUUAUUAAUUUCACUUGUUUGGCAUAGUUAUUCUUAUGCUAUAAAUUUAAACCUAAAGUUUAAAUUGAUAAGGAAUAAACCGAUUAUGUUUAUUAAUUUCACUCUAAUUAUUGUGCGAGCGAAAAUUUUAAUGCAAAUAAUAUUAGUUUACUAAUACAAACAUAAAAUAAUAAUAAAAACAUACCCACGAGAUUUUAAUUUUAACAUGAUUCGUAUCUACAUCCCUGAAUGACAGAAAAUCUUUCUAUCAUACCAUAAAGAAUAUUAUAAAAAGUAAAACUAAAUAGAUUUCCAUAAAUAUCUUUUGUUUUUUAACUUUCUUUUUACAUCACCCAAAGUUUCAAUAUAUUUUAAAAAAUACAUGAAAGUGUCGUGAAUAACAACACCCUAAUCACAAUCCCUCUCAAAUAAAUGUUAUUGUAAAAAAAAACUUUAUAUUUGAUUCGAAAGCAUUUUAGUAAAUAAUAUAUAGUUGAUAGGACAUAAGUCACGAUGUCUUGUAACUAUUAACUUUUAUUUUUAAUAACAAAAGGAAUAAAAUGAUGAAUAUUCUUACCCUAUGUUUGGGAAUUAUUAUGACUUAAUUAAAGAAUAAUUAGGUUUUUGACAUCACCUAUGAAUAACAAAAGUAAGGACUUUCCUAUUCCUUGAAAAUAUAGGUAAAAGAUAUGAAAUAAAAUGUGUAGUCAACAUUUGACAAACCUCUCACAAUAUCUUAAGAGUUGUCUUCGACAUUCAAAUCUUGUUACCUAAUCUUGAUAAGUAUGGGAAAGGCAUGUUAAACAAGAUGGGGAAGAAAAUAAAGAAAUUGAAAAAUUAAAACUUUAAAUUUCUGUGGCCUAAGGCUGCAUUAUGGAACACUUUCCCUUUUCCCAUCUGGUUUAAGGUGGUAGGGUACACUUGACUUGCUUGAAAAACAAAACAGUAUCAAAUUUGCAAGAGAGCCAUCCAAAUGGAAGAUGGGCUACAAGUCAAAAACAAAAGAGAAAAUGACAAGGCAAUGGUAUUUUCUACAACAAAAAGUUUUACCAUCACGCCAAGAAAAAAGUUUGUAUAGUAUGAGUUGCACUUAAGUAUCUCCACAUGUUUUUAUAGUUACGUGUACAUAUUAGAAUGAAUAGUAUUUAUAUAAUUAAGAAUCAAUUAUUAUAAAUAAUAUUAAAAUCGAUCAUUAAUCCUGGGUCUUGUUUGACGCUGAAAAAAAUAUAUUUAUUUAUUUGAUUUCACAAUUUUAUAAGACACGAUAAAGACAUUAUUAUUAUAUAGAACGAAUAUGAUAUUUUACAUCGGAUUGAAAAAAGUGUUCCUAACACAAUAUCUAAACAAUUGAAAAUGGAUAGUUUCAAAUAUGGAGAUAACAAAGAAUGGAGCUUCCCUUAUUAGAUGCUUCCAUAUUUUUUAAAAUAAAAGUUUAUAUUGGAAUUUGUAUUAUUUUUAACAUUUUUUUAAAAUUUUAUUUAUAAUGCUUUAUUUUUAAUCAUUUGAAUUACUUUUUAAAAAACUUUGAAAACACAAAUUUCGAAAUUCCAUUUUCUAAAAAGAAAAAUUACCAAACAUGUUUCCAACUAUGGAAAAAAAAUUGAAAACAGUUGGGAAAGGCUCUGUUAUAUCUCCCUUCUCCCACCCCCCAUUUAGAAGUAGCUAAAAGUACAAAUUGUGUUUACUCUUGACCUUGGGGGACAGACCCAAAAGAAAGAGAUCAUUGGUUGCCCACUCCUCUCUGUUUCCACCACCCCUUUCAUUUCUAAUAAACAGCAUGGUCCAUAAGUUUCUGUUGAAGUGCACGCUAGAAAAGUACCCUUUAACUCCCACAUGGCCCCUUUCUUUUGGUACAUUUCUUAGGUAAAAGGGAGUUGCUUGUUUUUAUAGCCAUGUAAAGUUCAGUGUGCAUCAUUAGGUAAUAGUAUUUUUCAGUUCUUGCUUCAUCUUCAUAGUUUUUCUUUUUAAUUUCCUUUUUUUUUUUUUUUUUGGUUGCAAUGAGUAAUUUGAAAGAUUUGGGAAGGAAGAUGAAUGUUUAGUGGACUAAAGCUUUCACUCUCUGCAAUAUCCCACUUUAAUAAUGAGUGUAAGGUGGAAGUUAGAGUCAUGAGGUUUCUUUAUGAAGGCUGAGCUAGUCACCACACAAAUUCAUGGAAAAGGAAAUGAAAAAGGGAGGAAACUAGAAAGAAAGCUUUCGAUAAAGAGAUGGUAAUGGGAAUCUCAAACCUUUUCCAAUACCAUUUUGUCUCAAUUUUAAUGGCUAUGCUUUUCGUCUCUCCCUCUCUUAGUAUUUUACCCAAUCAAAGUUUCUUUCCCAAAGAAUAAUAACCUGCAAGAAAAGCUAUAUACUUGUGGUGUUCUUGUGAUAGAAAUGUCCAAAACCCAAAAAAAAAAGCAGAAAACCCACUUCAUAACAGGCCAGAAAUGAGAUAACAUUCAUGUUGUUUGCUGUCAUUUUCUUCUAUAGACCAUCACUACAACGUAUUGUAAGGGAAAAUCAACAAAAAUGGGGUCCUGCUUUGUGUUGUGCCAUUUUCUGGGUCCAAUAGAGUAUAUGGAAAGGUGAGGAAUAUACCUUUGCUCAUUCCUUGGUUAGAAAUAGCUAGCAAGGAACAAGAUCACCUUUCCCUGAAAGCACAAAAAUAUCAAAAUAUUGUAGUGGUGCUUGGAUGAAAUGCUGUGAAAAAUACCCAAUCUUUUAACCAUAGAAGGUAUUGGUGCUGUGGUCCAAUGCUACUUGCAUUAUGCAUUAUAUAGAAGGUUGCAAAGUAGAUGUAUUGUUUGAACAUUUUUGCCACUGAGUGGAGUGGUGGUUCCCCUCAUGCCAGCCUUGCACCUUGCCUCACCAAAAAGAAGUUUUCUAGUGCAGCUCAUUCGGACUCUAUCAGUUAAUCACAAACCUACUUUUAGCUAUAGAGAAUUUAUGAACCCCACUCCAAUUUUGCACUAUUUCUUAUCAAGUGUUGGUUGAUGAGCAUAGCAUAAAGUAUUGCAAAGAAUUUUAUGAUUCAUAGGAAAAUUCUAAUAGCUUUAAAACAUGUUUACAUAAUUAAAAGGGGUUCAUUACCGAUGUACCAGACAUGGGAUGUCAUAUUCUUUAUAGUGUACGACAACAUCAGAAUAGUAAUGAGGACGGGAAAUGCAUGUAAAAUCUCUUAAGUAGCCAUUGAUACAUGUUCUUGGCCUACGGAUUGGGUGGGUUCCUGAGUAGCCAUUCAUUGCUGACAAUAAUGUUGGCUUGGUUGCCCCAUGACUGAAACUUCACUUUCAGCAUUGAUCAAAGUUCUGUAUACUACACGUCUAUGAAACAUAGCCAAUCUCUCUCAACAUGCUCCGGAUUUGUCCAAGCUUCCCUUCUAGGCCAAACAUCAAGGACCUCAUGGAGAAACCCAAGAAACUUUGCUACCGAAAUUUCACUUUCAGCAUUAUCAUAAAGAUGUGAACAUACCUUAUAGGAGAUCAAACCAAUCUAAUUUGUAAAAUUAUUCCUCUACUUUUUUUUUAUCUUAAAAAUAUCCAUUUUGAACAAGAAUAUUCUUAAUUUUUUUUCUAAUAAAAAUAAUCUUUUCAUUUAAAAACACAUGUAAAUAAUUAUAAUUUUGAGGGGUAUUAAUGUCAAAAUGGGUUGUUUUUUAAGUUAAAAAAUUGAAAGAGAUUAGUUUUAUUUACAAAGCCACCAAGCUUGAUAUAAGGGAGAAUUCAAAUAUCCUAAGUUAUGUUUGGUUUCCAAAAAAUUUGAAGAAAAAUGCAAGAAAGAAAAAUACAAAGAAAAUAAAAAAUAGAUUAAAAGUUGAUAAAUUAUUUUUUUUGUUACUUCAAACUCAUUUUAUUUAUUUUAACUCAUCAAUAUAAAGAUUAAAUAAUUUAAAAAUACAUAAAAUUUUAAUUAGUUUUAAUCAUAUUCGAUUUUCUUUGAUAUUUUUCAUAGGACAACCAAAUAUGAAAAAAAUUAUUGCAUUUUUUUUUCUUUCCUUUAAAGCUAUGUUUGGUUCUAGAAAAAUUUGAAGGAAAAUGCAAAGGAAAGAAAAUAGAGAGAAAAAGUAAAAGGAAAGAAAAAGGAAGGAAAAUAAAAAAUAGAGUUAAAUAUGAAAAAUUAUUUUUAUUUGAUACUUCAAACUUAUUUUAUUUAUUUUAACUCAUCAAUAUAAAGAUUAAAUAAUUUUAAAAUAUAUAAAUUUCUAACUAAUUUUAAUCAUAUUUAAUUUUUUAAAAAAAUAUUUUAUAGGAGAACCAAACAUGAGAAAAUCGCUUUUCUUAAUAUUUUUUUUUCUAUCUUUUAUAUUUUCCGGAACCAAACAUAACAUAAAUGUCAUAAAAAAAAAUUGAGCUUAAAGUCCGCAAGAUGGAUAUUUGAAUUGGGCUUGGAUUUUAGUGGGUUCCUUCCAUUUCAUACGUGUAUGCACAACAGCAUUGAGAUACUUGCAUGUUCUUAAGUGGCAACUCACCAAUAGUGACAUGUAGCCAAAAAAUUGUAACCGAAAAUAAAGCAAAGCUGGGGUUGACUGUUGCCUUGCUCCCUUUCACAUAUGGUGCCAAAUGCUACCAUCAUCAGCUGCUCACGAGAAACUACAUUUUCUUCAACAAAAGACGCCACCAGUCAGCCAUGAAAGUCUCUACCAAGUUCCAAGCCGCACCCACCCCCACCUACAGGUUUGGUUUCAAGGACUAUGAUUUAUAAUAUGUAGUGUUUAAUCAUACCUAACUCCUAAGACUAUUAUUUAGCUUGGGUUUUGGACCAAAUAGCAUUGAGAACUAAUUAUUUAUUGCCGGUUGUGUUCAGGGAAUCCGAUAAUAGUGAAGCUAAAACUAUCAUUAAUUUAGGUUUUGGACCAGUGGCAUUGAGAAUUAUAAAUCCUAUGAUUUUAAGAAGCAUUUUCUUUUUUUCUUUUUUGUCUAAAAAGUGUUUUAAAAAAAAUUAGGUGUUUAACAAAUUUUUAAAAAUAUUUUUAAAAAUCUGAAAAAUCAUCUAUAGUGUUAAAAAAUCACUUAGAAUCCAUUUGGUAGUGAUUCUAAAAAACGUUUAUAACAUUUCUAAUACUUAAAAGAUAAAAAAUUUUAUGUGUUAGAAAUACUAAAAAUACUUUCUAAAAUCACUACUAAACACACUCUUAUAAUGUUUUUUAAAAAGCACUUGAUACUCAUAAAAAUACUUUCGAAAAAAACACCAUUAAACACACUUUAAGUUAUUUUAAAAUAGUAUAAAUAAUUUUUCAGAUCUUUAAAAAUGUUCAUAAAUUUUGUUAAACAUUUAUUUAAAAAAAAAUUUAAACUUAAAACAUUUUCUAAAAUCAUUAUCAAACGGAUUGUUAACGGGUUAUAGCCGAUUAGGUCAGAGGAAAUGUGAGAAGCAACAAAAAGAAAAAUAAAAAAGAAAAAAAAAAUAAAGAGGGAAAAAAACCACUUGCAUAAUGCGAAUAAAGAUUGUUGAUGUCCAACUAGUUUUUUAAAAUUUUGUAGAUGAUUAGUAUUUGGAUUUAUAAUAUUUAUUAUCAUUUUCAACAAAAAGUGAUUUUUAUUUAAUAAUAAUUUUAAAUUUACAAUUUUUUAUAAAAAUUUACUAUGAAAAAAGAAAACCAUGGAUUUAUUUAAAAUAAAUUUUGUUAUUUAGUUCAAUCUUAUUCACGUAAAAGUAAAUCUCACUCAUUUUUGGAUUUGCCACAAGUAAAAAACCAUGGUUUUUGCAUUAAAAAAGUUUUUAAAAGUUAUUUAGGUGUGCAGAACCAGAAAACCUAAAAAUUUCAAAAAAUGUUGUUAUUCUACCCUAGUUCCAAGAACUCUCAAAAUCAAGAUUUCGGUUAAUAAAGCUUAAAAUCACUUUUAGAGAGGAAAGAUAGAUGUCAAACAUUCUAAGUAACCAAGUGGUCAAGUCUUAACAUAUUUUUAAGGUGAUUCACUAAGGAGUGAAGAGAUCCAUGUCACACAUGAAGAAUAUAUAUAAGUAAUGUAAAAUUAUGUAUGAUUCCUUUAAAUUUGGUGGAUUUUUAUUUAUUUAUUUAUUUAUUUUAAUGGUGGAUAGACAUGUUUUGUAUUUAUGGAGGUUAGAAUAAUCUCCACAAGUGAUUUUCUAUAUAUAUAUAUAUUUUGUUUUGGAUGCAAUUGGAUUUGUUAUGGAUUAUUAGGAUUCAUAGAAUUUCUCAAUACAAAUUUUAGAAUUGAAUCCAAAUAGUUACAAAGGGGGAUAAUUGAUUUAAUUUAAUCAAUCUAAAAUAAGUUUAUAUCAUUAAUUUAAAAUAUUCUAAUUGGGCAUAAAAUAAAGUAUUAAUUCACUUUCUUAAAAUAGCUCCUUGAUUCUAGAAAACGGACUUACAAAUAGUAUCAAUGCUAGUUAAAAUUUUCAAAUAAUAUUUUUUAAUAUUUUUUUUUAUUCCUGCUAUAAUUCUUGGAUCAUGGAAUCAUUAAGAAUUAGAUCAUUCAAGCUAUAUUUGGAUCUCGAGAAUAAUUUUUUGUAUUUUAGAAUAAAAAAUGAAAAUAAAAAUUAUUUAUUAAUCAUUUCUUUGUAAAAUUGCUUUGAAAAACAAUGUUUUAUGAUAACAUAUUUUAAUGGUUUUCAAUUGUUUUGGGGGAAGUGUUUUAAAAAAUAAUUGCACAAAUAUAAAAAAAAUGAUUGAAAAUAGAACAUUACAAAUAAAAGUUACUCCAUAACAAUAUUUUAAAACACAAAAAAUAAGUUAAAAAUAUCACGAGUUUCUAAACUGACAUUUAUUCAAAACACUUAUCAAACAAACCCUUGUUAAUUAUCCAUCAUUUUUUUUAUGGCAACAACGACCCAUUAGAAAGAACAUAUGAAAUUCUUGAAAUUGGAGGCAAAUUAGUUUGGAAUGUAAUGAAAUUUUGGUGGCUAAUUACCACUAAUUACAUUUCAAUUGAUUUCUUAAAUGAAUUGAAUGUACGAAAGUUGAUCACUCAAAUAUUCAAAGCCUAUAAUAUUAUUCAAAUAAUCAAUUGAAUGAGAAUGUCAUUUACUUAUACGUAGAUUUUGUUUAAUAAUGAUUUUAAGAAGUGUUUUUAAAAUUUUUAAUAUUUAAAAGGUAAAAAUUUUAAAGUGUUAAAAAUACUAAAAACGCUUUUAAGAAUCACUAUCAAACAUGCUCUUAGAGAUUUUUCAAUCAACUUUCAAUUGAGUAUCUUAUUUGAGAGAUUGAAAAUUAAAUUGAUGAAAUUUUGAGAAAUUUUAUUAAAUCAAUGCCCUUGUUCAUCAUAAAUUCUAAAUUAUCUUAAAUCCUACAAUAAUUCUAUUCAUCCCCUCUACUACACCAUUGAUAAAGACUAUGGAAUUAGAACGUGGGCUUUCUUCUAUACAUAUCUAGAAUUCCUCCAUGGCUAAGAAUGGAUAUGAGUUGAGGCAGAGAAUAUAAGAGAUAAUGUAAACAAAUGGGUGCACGUGACUCACCAUUAAUUCACAUAAAAGGAGAAGACGUAGAGCAUAUGAGGGCAAUGGAGGAGAGUGGAAGAGCACAUGAGUCCCUUUCUUCUUUUCUAAUAUUAACUCAUCUUUUCUCACUGACAUAAAAUCUUUUCCAAACUUAAUUGGAUUUCCUAAUUUUGGAAUCCAAUUCCAACCCACUUUUCUUCAAGGGCGAAGUCACUUUCCCAUGGAUUGGAACUCGGCUUUAUUGAGGAAGUAUGGCCUCCAACCAAUUCUCCCUUUGUCUCCCCAUUUGGUUAGUCUUUUAGCCUUCAAUUUGUUUUGUCAUUUCCACUUUUCUUUUUUUCUUUUCAAUUAUUUUCCAUCACAUCAAGAAAGUUAAUAUAGUAAGAAUUCAUAUACUAUGACAAGUGUCCCAUGCAAAUAUCCCAAAUUUUUAAUUAAUAAAGAUUUCAAAGGAUAUUGUAUGAAAUAUAUUUUUAAGUUUAUGUAUAAUUAUAAUAUUAGAUUUUAUUAUAACAUAUGAAAAAUGAUGGAAAAUAUCGUUAUAAAUAUUAUAGGUUGUAAAGGAAAAAAGUUAUUAUACGAGAUGACUUGUAGAAACUAUACGAGGUGAACGAAGAGGAAAAAAUAACAUAAAAAACCCGAUAAAGUGAGAGGGGUUUGUAACAGGGUAUGGAGACAAGAAGUAAAUAAAAAUGAGAUAUUUCGAGAACUUAACAAUUGUAUUCGGUUAUGUCCUUUAUAGCAUUUUCUAUUGUAUAGUGGAAAAAUUAUUUCUCAUCUGACAGUAUAAGUAUAGUUGUUAGUUCGAACUACAUUACAAUCUUGUGUAUUUUUUUAUUGAUUAUUUUAUUUUUGUAUUCUUGAUUUAACAUUAUUUGCAUUAAAACUUUUGUUGACACAAUAAUAUUAAAAUUGAUUUUUGACCUUAAUACAAAGUUUGGAGUUUCAUUGAGCAUCUAUUUAUACAUUUUAAAGUUGUAAGGAUUUAUUCAAUCACGAUUUCCAAUAUAUAUAUUUUGAAUGUUUUAUAGAGUUGAAUAAUAAUUUAAAUUUGGUUCAUGAAAUGAAGAAUUGGUAGAGGUUGUAUUUAAAAGAAAAUUUAUUUUUUAUAUAUGAAAUAAAUAAUCAUAAUGGAUACAUUUCAGAUUCAAUACAACUCAUGACUCUUAAAACAAAAUCUUAUUUAGACAAAAAAAAACUAAAAAAAAAUAUAAUUACAAAAACAGAAGUUGGGUUUAUGUGGCUAAAAUCAGAUAUGGAAGAUAAGAAAUAAAAUAAAAUAAAAAGGAGAGUGGAAAAAAAAAGGAGAGUUAAAAGAUAAAUUUACCACAGAGUUAACGGUCGACUUUUACUGUGCAAAUGAAUCUAAAGUGAUGACGUGGCAGUCAGUUUUUUGGAACACGAGGAAAACAAACAUCAUUAAUAUCUGCAAUUUUUUCAACAUCAGUCGGUUUUCACUUAGUCAGUUGCCACCUAUUUUUUUGGAAUAUUUCCAAUUAAUUAUUAGAAAAUUAAAAAUAAUUAACAAUUAAUCACAAGUUUUUGAGGUGUAUAAAAGAAAAAUAAGAAACCCCCCCCCCCAAAAAAAAAAAACAAAAUCCCAAAAAGAAAAAUCCAUUACUGUAUUUAAUUGUUGAUGAGGAACAAAACCCUAAGGGGUUCUUGUAAGAACAAAUCGCCGCCGGAUUGAUCUCAACCGUCAAUACCGCUCCUCUUCUUCUUGAUCUCAGCUCACUGUCUUUUUUGGGUUUUUGUUUUUCUGGUUUCUCGCAACGACUUUCUUACACUGCCGUUGUUUUUGUUGUCGAGGUUGAAGGAAAGUGGAAAAAUAUGUUGUGGGGAAUUUGUUUGGGUAAUUCAUGAGACGGAGUUCGCGGGAGGAUGGUUUGUUUUGGGUUGUGGUUUCGUGUUUUGAUCGAGGGGGGGUUUCGGUUUUAGGGUCCGAAGUGGUGAAGUGGAGUUGAAAAAAUUGGUUUUUGGUUAUAAAGUCUUGGUUUUUUGUUAUCCGUUUGGAAGAGGAGAUUCUGAGGUUGUAAGCAUGGGUUUUAGGUGUUUGGGAGCAUGGCUGUUGGUUCUGGAAGCUUUUUAGGGUUUAGGGUUUGGUUUUGGUUUGUUGGAUGAUCAAUUGGAGCCGGUGAAAAUGUUGUCUGAAUUGGGGAGGAGGCCGAUGCUCAAAAACGGUGACGGAUCGUUUGGGGAUGAUUUGGAGAAGGAUAUAGGGUUGUUGCUUCGUGAGCAGCGGCGUCAAGAGGCGGAUGAUUAUGAAAAGGAGCUAAAUUUGUAUAGAAGUGGGUCUGCUCCGCCAACUGUUGAGGGUUCUAUGAAUGCAGUUGGGGGUUUGUUCGGUGGUGGAGCUGCCUUUCCGGGAUUUCCAGAUGAUGGGAAUGGGAAUGGGUUCGCGUCUGAGGAGGAGCUUAGGUCUGAUCCAGCUUACCUUUCUUAUUACUAUUCAAAUGUGAAUUUGAACCCACGGCUCCCACCUCCAUUGCUUUCCAAGGAGGAUUGGAGGUUUGCUCAAAGACUGAAAGGAGGGAGUUCUGGAUUGGGAGGGAUUGGAGAUAGAAGGAAAAUGAAUAGAAAUGAUAGUGGUAGUGUUGGUAGAUCGAUGUAUUCGAUGCCACCAGGGUUUAAUUCGCGGAAAGAAGAGACUGAGGCAGACUCAGAGAAACUUUGCGGUUCAGCAGAGUGGGGUGGCGAUGGACUCAUCGGGUUGUCAGGGUUAGGACUAGGGAGCAAACAGAAGAGUCUUGCAGAAAUUUUUCAGGUGAGUUUCUUCUGUGGUUUUGCUGCUUAUAUGGUUUAUGUCCACUUCUUACUUACCAUACUGUUUCUGAAUAUCCAAGGUUGAGAUCUUCUGAUUACAAUGUAGAUUAUCACUUUUUGAUCGGUGCUAGUUUGACUAUCCAAGGAAAAAUUUGCCCUUGUUGCGGCAUUUAUGGUUUCCUGUUGAUAUUUGACAUAUAUCAUAUUGUAUCUCUAUGGGGAAUCAUCAGAAUAAAGGUUGUGGUAUGUCAUGUGCUUUAAAGGGAUAAUUUGUAUUGUCAUGUUUCCAAUGAUUGUGGUUUGAGUAUAAUUCCCUUCCUUGGAUUGUCUAUUUUGACGGUUAUUGUACUGGCAAUCUUUGCCAUGUAACAAAUUGCAUCUAUAUGGGAAGUUUGAGUCAUCUUUUUAAAAUCUUGUUUGACACGUGUUUUGAACGGAUGAUUAUGUGCUCCCUCUGUACAUGUCAAGAUUAUGAGUUUUUGUUUACAUAGUUUUGUUAUAAGGGGCGGACAUGUAAACUAUAUAGAGAAGUUUGUGUCAUCAGAUUAAAGAUCUAGGUUUGACACGUGUUUUGUAGGGAAAAUGAUAUUCUCUCACUCUCUUUGCUGAUGAUGAUAAUUUUUUAUGUUUCAUGUCAAUUUGAAUCCUUUAUGUUGAUUUCUUGUUCAUGUAGUUUUGUCUCUUAUAGGGUUUGGGCAUGUGACAAAUUGCAUCUAUAUAGAGAACUUUGGGUUGUCAAAUUAUGCUAUGGUUGGCACAUGUUUUGAAGGAAAAAUGAUAAUUGGCUCCCUGUUCUUUCCCUGGACUAUUACACCUUCAUAUAGUUAAUUUGAAUCAUUUAUGCUGAUGUCUUGUUCUUGUAGGUUUGUUUCUUAUAAAGGCUGGAUUAGUUAAUCUAUAUUUAGCAUAGCUUGGGAAAUAAUAAAGUAUUUGUCAUAGUUGUUACAGGUCCGCUUAAAGCGCGCCUAGGCUUAAGGUGCAAUCAUUCUCUAGCUAUAACGCUUCACCUACUAAUAGGCGCACCUUGUUGGAGAGGCUUUCUUCGUUGUUUCCUUUUUCUUUCUAUAAUAUUGUAUUCUUGAAAUUUCUGACAGUAUAUUUAAGCUUUAUGUGUAGGGUCUUGUUGAGGAGUGCUGUUUUUUGUUAGUCCCUCUUUGUUUUUUUGGUUGUGCUUUAGGCCCCCUUUGUAUGCUCCCUGUGUUCUUUGGGGCGCUUUUGGCAUUUCUCUUUUUAAUACAUGUUUUUUCUUUACCUAUCAAAAAAAAAAAAAGGCUUUAUGUAAUUUCAUUAGUUUUUUGUAAGAUGAUUCUUCUAAGGUUUUGAAAUCAUGAAGUUUUUGUUAGUUUAAUUGAAAUUUGAUGAUAUUUAAUAUUUUAUAAAAUCGACAUGCAUCUGAAGUUGUGUCUCACUUCAUUUGGGUGUGCACCUUGUAUUGCGCCUAAGCCUUACAAGGCUUUUGCACCUUUUUGAACUAUGGUAUUUGGGUUCUUCCUAAAAUGGUGUGGUUCUGAAGGUUUUGUUUGUAUGGACAAAUGGGGGAUUAGGUUUGGCUACUUUGCCCUUAUUGGAUCUCAGUGAUGGAAUGGGGAUUGGUUUUAGCCAGUUGGUGUUAUUGAUCACUUUCAUUCUGUUUAGUAUGUGUGCUUUUUUUGAUAAGUAAAGCAAUUGUAUUAAAAGCGCCAAAAAAAACGCCUAAAGUAUACACGGUGUAUACAAGGCCAAAAAAAAGGAGGGAAUUAUGUGCGCUGCUUGUAUACUUUGUGUUUACAUGGGUUGGUGCUCCCCUUUUUCUGCUAGGCACUUUCAUUAAUGUACUUAUCCUAAUUUUCCUAUAUAUAUACAUAUACUAAUACUGCUUGUUGAGGCCUUUCUUAAAAAUUCUAACUUAUAUGUUAGAACAUGAGAUUUUUAAAUACUUGGGCUAGUGUCUUUGCAUUAAUAAACCUUCUUCAUCCAUACACAUAUUUGAUUGAAGCUCUAUUAUUAGGUCACCUUAUAGGGAUCUCCCAAAUUCCCCCCAGAUUCACAAUUUUUUAAUUCUACUUUAUGGUGUUAAUUUUUGCUAAUCAUUUGAGGCAUCUACUUCAACAUCUUUACUUGGAUCGAACAAAUGUGCUAUGCUUUAUCAGCCCCAAUUUGUGAUGCGUGAAGAAUAACUGGUGUAUUAGUGAUGAAAAAUUUGGAUUGUCCUAUUCACAAUUCAGUUUGUCCUUUUGCAGUCCAUUUUACUAGUGACAUGAGGUUUUUUCAAACAUACCAAACAGAGGCCAAUAAGGAAAAAGUGGAAAAUACCACUAUAUACUUUUCCUGUAUAGUUUAUAUGAAAAUAAAUUUAUCAUGUCACAUUCUAUAUGUACAUCUCCAAUUUAACAUCCUUGUGAGGAACAUUUCCCUUGUGAGGAGCAUUUCCCUUGUGAGGGGCAUUUCCCUUGUUAUCUACAUAGAACCAUGCCCAAAAAAUGGUUGUCUUUAAGGUAUUUAUCGCCAUCAAUAUCACCUCAUCUUGAUUCUUGGUUUUCCCAUAAAGUUUUAGUAAAUAUUCAAAACUUAUUGACCUUUCAACUUCCAACGCUGUGGUGCAGUAAUGUCAUUUUGGUUUGUGGCGAGAUUGCUAAGUCUACAAACUGCAAAGUUCUACUAAUGUGAUGUCUGAAAGUUGACCUUUAUAAUUUGUGAUGCUGGGUUAAAGCAUAUCAAAAUGGUAUCUUUGGUUGUAGCAUUUCUCCUUAAGAGGAGCUAUUAAGCAACUGGCAGUGUGGGGGGAAAAGUAGGAGCGAUAUCAGUUGAGUCUAUCCUUUCUAUCUUAUCUAUAUAAGAAAAGGGAGAACUUAUGACCUCGCAGAUAGAGAGGUAUUCAAACCCCAGUAUUUCUAUCAAUAUCUUGGUUGUCAAAACUGACUCUUUCAAUUGCUCAGACAUCCCUUCCCUUUGUGCUUUGCCUGCCCUAUCUAUCCGCUCGCUGGCAGGCAGGGCUUAUCUAGGUGAUUAGCAAUGUUUGCUUAGGCCUAUAGGUGGAUUCUAUUACCUGCUGGUUAGUGAAGCGUUUCAGGUAAUAUGAUGGCUAGAUGGAGCUGUUUGUGGUUACUUUGAAAUAUUUGUUCCUUAAGUCCUUGUUCUCUUGGUCUAAGGAAUACUAUUGGGAUGGUAAUUUGCCCUUUUUAACCUCAUUGUUAGGGUGAUUGGGCUGGGCAUUGGACUGGGUCCUUGAUUCCUGUCUCCUCUUUCAUCUCCCUCUAGGAGGUGGAGUAUAGAUACGUUUCAGGUGCUAUGGUUUUCUCCUUUCUGUAUUUUUAAUACAUUACUUUGCUUAUGAAAAGGAAUUUCAAAAUAUUAAAUAAUGUUUCUAACCAAUUUUUAUUUAUUUAUUUUUAUUUUUAUUUUUUUAUCAGAACCAACUGAAAAUAAUAUAUAAUAAAAUAAGAAAUGUAUGCUGAAAACCUAUUAGAGAAUUGACAAAAAGAAUGUGGUGCACAAAUGAUAUUGAACAUAAGAAGCAGCCUAACUAAAAUCAAUAGCCUAAAAGGGUGGGUAUAUAUGUGACAUGCCUGUCCAGAGCAUGGCUCCAAAAGAAUAAAGAUUUAGGCAAACUAUUUAAUAUGUAUUUGCUUGUUGUUUGAGACAGUUAAUCACAACGUCAAGCUGUUAGUUUUGUUCUGAAGGCAUGUUCUUUUUAAAUGCUUUGUAGAAAUUCAAAUGUAUUGUUAAAAUAUGCCAACUUUGAUGAGUUGUUAGCUUGUUCCUUGUUGUAUCAUCAUUCCUUUGAAUCAAGUUUGAUUGAUAAAACAUUAUGAUGAGGCACCAUUCAUAUUUCUGCUAAAUUAUUGUCAUAUGAUUGUUUUGGUAAACAAUUAGUUUGGUAUUGAAGCAGGAUGAUUUAGGGCGCACCACUCCUGUCUCUGGACACCCUUCUCGUCCAGCAAGCCGCAAUGCUUUUGAUGAAAAUGCUGAACCCUUGGGCUCUGUUGAAGCGGAGUUGGGUCAUUUACGCCGUGAAUUGAAAUCUGCUGAUGUUUUACGAUCCGGUGCAAGUGUUCAGGGCUCAUCAACGGUCCAAAAUAUUGGUGCACCUACUUCAUAUACUUAUGCCUCUGUGUUGGGUGGUUCCUUAUCAAGAAGCACUACUCCUGAUCCCCAACUCAUUGCUAGGGCUCCUAGCCCCUGUCUUACACCCAUUGGAGGAGGGAGAACUGCCAUUUCUGAAAAGAGAGGAAUUAAUGGUUCUAGCUCUUUUAAUAGUGUCCCUCCUAGCAUGAAUGAAUCUGCAGAUCUGGUGGCUGCUUUGUCUGGUAUGGAUCUGUCAACAAAUGGCGUGAUUGAUGAAGAAAAUCAUUUGCCAUCACAGAUUGAACAGGAUGUUGAGAAUCAUCAAAGCUAUCUCUUCAAUCUACAAGGUGGUCAGAGCAAUAUUAAGCAACAUUCAUACCUGAAGAAAUCUGAAUCUGGGCAUUUACAAAUUCCUUCUGCUCCUCAGUCAGGAAAGGCAUCAUAUUCUGAUUCAGUUAAGAGCAAUGGUGUUGGUUCAGAGCUGAACAACUCCUUGAUGGCUGAUAGGCAAGCUGAAUUACACAAAUCUUCUGUUCCCUCCGGUAAUUCGUACUUGAAAGGAUCAUCUAUGUCUAGUCAUAACGGUGGAGGUGGCUUGCCUUCUCAUUAUCAGCAGUUUGUAGAUAGCACAAAUUCAUCAAUUCCUAACUAUGGUUUGGGUGCAUAUUCCAUGAAUCCAGCUUUGGCUUCCAUGAUGGCAAGCCAGCUUGGUGCGGCUAAUUUGCCACCAUUAUUUGAAAAUGUCGCUGCAGCAUCAGCUAUGGGAGUCCCUGGGAUUGAUUCAAGAGUUUUGGGAGCAGGCUUGGCUUCUGGGCCAAAUAUAGGGGCUGCUACAUCAGAGUCACAGAAUCUCAAUAGAAUUGGGAAUCACAUGGCAGGGAAUGCUCUUCAAGCACCUUUUGUGGAUCCAAUGUAUCUUCAAUAUUUGAGGACGGCUGAAUAUGCUGCAGCACAAGUUGCUGCUCUUAAUGAUCCCUCUGUAGAUAGGAACUACUUAGGUAAUUCGUAUGUUGAUUUACUUGGACUCCAGAAAGCUUAUCUGGGAGCUCUGCUUUCUCCUCAGAAAUCACAGUAUGGUGUUCCCUUGGGCAGUAAAUCUAGUGGUUCUAAUCAUCAUGGUUACUAUGGUAACCCGGCAUUUGGUGUUGGCAUGUCAUACCCUGGAAGUCCCCUAGCAAGUCCUGUUAUUCCAAAUUCUCCCAUUGGACCAGGAAGUCCUAUCAGACACAAUGAUCUCAAUAUGCGAUAUCCAUCUGGGAUGAGAAACUUAGCUGGGGGAGUCAUGGCACCCUGGCACUUGGAUGCUGGUUGCAACAUGGAUGAAGGCUUUGCCUCCUCACUACUUGAAGAGUUCAAGAGUAACAAAACCAAAUGUUUUGAGCUUUCAGAAAUUGCUGGUCAUGUUGUUGAGUUUAGGUAUAUGUUGCUCAUAGAGAUUUUUGUGCUACGUUAUUCUAAUAGUAUCCUGCAAUUGAUAUGUGAUUAACAUCUUCUAUGAGCAGUGCGGACCAGUAUGGAAGCCGAUUCAUUCAACAAAAACUUGAAACGGCCACAACAGAAGAGAAAAACAUGGUUUACCAGGAAAUCAUUCCCCAAGCUCUCUCUUUGAUGACAGAUGUGUUUGGUAACUAUGUUAUACAAAAGGUAUGAAAUUCUCUUUUCGUUGCAUGAUUCUUGCAUGCGCGCUAUAUGUGUGUGUAUCUGCACACAUUAUUAUUAUUAUUAUUAUAUAAUUUUAAAUGGUUUUACAUUUGCAACUGUUUCUAAUUUUCAGUUUUUUGAGCAUGGACUAGUAUCCCAGAGAAGAGAACUGGCUGGCAAGCUUUAUGGUCAUGUACUGACACUUAGCCUUCAAAUGUAUGGUUGUCGAGUGAUCCAAAAGGUACCAUUAGUUUUGCCACUAAACCUCAACUUGACUUUUGCUGUGUGAUAUUGUGUGUUGUUCACAUAAAGGUCUCUCUAUCUUUCAUUAUCUGCAGUUGUAGCACCAGUCAUUCGCCUUGAUUGUCAUUUGAUUUACAGAUGGCUCAUUAAUGCUGUUAGUAUGGUAGGAAUGAUAAUGCUAUCAUAUUAAGCUUCUCUACAAUAGAGUGAACUUUCUGGAUAUCUUAAGAACAUUAUUCUCCAAAAACAUAGAAUAGUUCUUAGAUUGCUCAAUCAAAAUCAGGAAUUUUGAAUUUUGCAUCUAGGAAAAGAUGUACAGCAAGUACACUUCCCUCGGCCCACCCGGACCUGGCCCGUCCCUUUGGGCCUGGGUUAGGGAAGGCCCAUUCCUCAGCCUCUCUGGGAAACACUUAUAUACCCCUUGGCCCAGCUUCUCCCAGUGACUUAGGGCUUGGAACCCCUACCUGCUCCCUGCGCCGGAGGAGAGGAUCCCCCCCUGAGAGCCCCCAGUUGGAAGCGCCGUCCCAUUUGGAAGUAACGUCGGCAAAUGACCUCCCUCCCACUGUCGAAGGCCGCAAUCCUCAAGGUAUGCUCUUGCCCCCUCCACCCCCCUUGAGUGGGAUGCUUUCUUCUCCUUCUUCUACUCCAUUCUUGGUUACGGGAUCCGAGAGGGAAAGGGGAUGCUCUGGACAGACGGACCCGACGUCAAGAGAGACUGAAGAGACGCCGAUUCCUCUGUCCUUGAUGCUUAGAGAUGGGUCGAUAAUGGUCCUGAGGCCCGACCCCCCAAACUUUGCGGCGAAGCAGAAGGACCACACAGCUAUCUCCCCGCGCGAAGAAGUAUGGUCAGAGGAGGAGAUUUCCAAUCUCUUCCAUUUUAGCAAAGUCUUGGGAAUGCCUGUCGAAGGACACGAGGUUGAAAUUCUGAAUUUACUUGAGAAAUUGAAGCUGAGGACGGGAAAUAGUACCCUUUGCAAGCGACGAAAGAAGAAAAAAUCUUGCACCACCCGUUUCGAAAGAGAGUUAAAAAGGUUGGAAUGCUCUGUUAGUUACGGGGAGACUUCAGGGAUAGCUAAAAAGUCCGGCCACAAUUCCUGGGAUUUGGUUCCAGUUGACUAAUGAGAAUUAAAAUUCUCUGUUGGAAUGUUCGCGCGGGCUUAAUGACUCAGAGAAAAGAAAGUUGAUCAAGGGCGUGGUAAGGAACCAAAAACCAGAUUUGGUUUGCCUCUUGGAGACGAAGGUGAAAGAGAUGUCUCAGCAAAUGGUCAACAGUGUGGGUAUUGGAAGAUUUCUUAAUUGGGCUUCUGUGGAUGCUAGGGGUGCGGCAGGAUGUCUAUCCGUUUCAGAAACUGUGUCGAUGGUUUCACUUGGAUUUUUUGUGGGGUAUAUGGGCCGGUGAUUAGCAGUGAAAAGGAGGAUUUUUGGGAGGAACUUAGUGCCAUCCGUGGUCUCUGGGAGGACCCCUGGUGCUUGAGGGGACUUCAAUGCUGUUAGAUUCCCAGAGGAAAGAAGGAACUCCCUUAGGCUCACAACUGAAAUGAGAAGAUUCUCAGAGGUUAUAAGGGAACUGGGGCUAAAGGACCUCCCUCUGGCUGGAGGCCCUUUCACUUGGAUAGGGGGUUUGAACUUUCAAGCUGCCUCUAGAUUGGACCGUUUUCUGUUUUCGGACCAGUGGGAAGACCAUUUCUCCGCCAUCACCCAAGCUGCUCUCCCUCGUUUGAUUUCUGACCAUAGUCCUAUAGUCCUUCAAGCUGGAGGAUUCUCCUCAGGCAAAAGCCCUUUCCGUUUUGAAAAUAUGUGGCUAAAAAUUGAUGGUUUCCAAGACCUAGUCCGAAGCUGGUGGAAUGGGUAUUCUGUUGAAGGUUAUAGUAGCCACUGCAUUGCCGAGAAGCUCAAAGCGCUCAAGAAGGACUUGAAGAACUGGAACAAGGAGGUGAUAGGCAAUGUCUCUCUCAAUAGAGCAGAAGCCUUCUCUCGCCUGCAGCGAUGGAAGACCAGGGAGAAUGACAGCCCCCUCACUGCUAGUGAAGUAGAGGCUAAAAAUCUGGCUCUUGAGGACUAUAAGAAAUGGGCUCUGUUGGAAGAAACUUCUUGGAGACAGAAGUCAAGAGAAAUUUGGCUAAAAGAAGGCGACAAGAACACCAAAUACUUCCACAAAAUGGCCAAUGCUAGGGCAAGGAAGAACUUCCUGUCUAAAAUUAGAAUAAAUGAGGUCACUCUCUCUUCUAGUGAUGACUUAAAAGAAGGCGUUUGUAGGGCUUAUAAAUCCCUUCUCUCAGAACCAGGGGAUUGGAGGCCUAAUAUCAACGACCUUAACUUCAAGGAGCUGGGAGAAGGCUUGGCCAGCAGCCUGGAAGUUGUGUUUUCUGAGGAGGAAAUCUAUGCAGCCCUAAGCAGCUGCUGUGGCGACAAAGCUUCAGGCCCGGAUGGCUUUACAAUGGCCUUUUGGUUGUUUUGCUGGGAUGUUGUUAAAUCAGAAAUUUUGGAGCUCUUCAGAGAGUUUCACCUCCAUGGGACCUUCCAGAGAAGUCUGAACUCCACGUUUCUUUUGCUCAUUCCCAAAAAGGAAGGGGCUGAAGACCUAAGAGAUUUUAGACCAAUCAGCCUGGUAGGGAGUGUAUACAAAUUACUAGCCAAAGUCCUUGCUAAUAGGCUGAAAUCAGUGAUGGGAGAGGUGAUUUCUGAUUCGCAGCAAGCUUUCGUCCAUGGGAGACAGAUUCUAGACGCUGUUCUUAUUGCCAACGAAGCCCUUGAUUCUUGAUUAAAAGACAACGCGCCGGGCCUCCUCCUUAAAUUGGACAUUGAGAAGGCUUUUGACCAUGUCAAUUGGAACUUCCUCAUAGAUGUGAUGUCUAGAAUGGGAUUUGGGCACAAAUGGAUUAAUUGGAUGAAAUGGUGUUGGUCCACGGCCACAUUCUCGAUCCUCAUCAAUGGGUGCCCCACGGGCUUCUUCCGUAGUUCUAGGGGAUUGAGGCAAGGCGACCCUCUCUCCCCCUACCUCUUUCUUUUUGCCAUGGAAGCUCUUAGCCAACUGCUAUCACGUGCAAGAAAUGAGGGCUUUAUUUAUGGCUUCAAAGUGGGAGGAAGAGGUAGAGAGGGGCUGAUCGUUUCCCAUCUCCUGUUCGUCGAUGAUACCUUAAUCUUCUGCGACGCCGAUGCAGUCCAGUUGCAAUACCUUAGCUGGACCUUCAUGUGGUUUGAGGCGAUUUCAGGGUCUGAGCAAGUCUGAGGCCAUCCCAGUGGGGGAAUGUCCCCCCAUGGAGCCCCUCGUCUCAAUUUUGGGAUGUAAGAUUGGAUGUUUACCUACUUCCUACCUGGGUCUUCCCCUUGGAGCCCCCUACAAAUCCACUAGUGCGUGGGAUGCAGUGGAAGAAAGAUUCAGGAAAAGAUUGUCUCUCUAGAAAAGGCAACACCUUUCCAAAGGUGGUCGUCUAACCUUAUUAAAGAGCACCCUCUCUAGCCUCCCAACCUACUUCCUCUCUCUCUUUGUGAUCCCCAAGAGAGUUUGUGCAAGACUUGAAAAAAUCCAAAGGGAUUUCUUAUGGGUUGGGGGCGCUUUAGAAAACAAACCUCACUUGGUGUGUUGGAAGGUUAUUUGUGCCGCUAAAAAGGAUGGAGGCUUGGGCAUCCACAACCUAGCUAUUUUUAAUAAGGCCCUUCUUGGUAAGUGGUUGUGGAGAUUUGCCAAUGAGAACGAGUCCCUUUGGAAGCAAAUUAUCUCUAGUAAAUAUGACCUUCAGGAUGGGGGAUGGUGCUCCAAAGGUGUUAGAGAUCGUUAUGGGGUGGGUGUUUGGAAGGCCAUCAGAAACGGUUGGGAAAACUUUCGAUCUCACUCCCGCUUCCUUGUAGGGGAUGGCACCAGAGUGAAGUUUUGGAAGGACUUGUGGUGUGAAAAUCAAUCUCUGGAAGAAGCUUUUCCCAUCUUAUUUAAUCUCUCAGUCAACAAAAAAGGCUUGGUUGUUGAGGCCUGGGAGGAAGAUGGAGUUGGGGGUAGCUGGGGACCUCGUUUCAACAGACACCUCAAUGAUUGGGAGUUGGGGGAAGUGGAAAACUUAUUAAGCAAACUUCAUCCUUUGGCUAUUAGAAGAGGUGUGGAUGACUCGCUUAGGUGGAAAGCAAAUAAGAAUGGGACCUUUUCUGUUAAGUGUUUUUAUAGCUCACUCUCAAUGGGCAUCAACCACCCCUUCCCAGCUAGUAUUAUCUGGACGUCUUGGGCUCCAACCAGGGCUAGUUUCUUUGGUUGGGAGGCGGCUUGGAACAGACUACUCACCAUUGAUCGCCUAAAGAGAUUUGGUUGGAACAUCCCCAACAGGUGCUUCUUGUGUAAAAAUGAGGAGGAGUCUAUUGAUCACCUUCUCCUGUUUUGUGAGAAGGCCAGAAUGUUAUGGUAUCUAACCUUCUCCCUUUUUGGGGUGCAAUGGCUGAUGCACUCCUCUAUGAAAAGGAAUCUCCUAGGAUGGUAUGGAUCUUUUGUGGGCAAGAAAAGGGAGAAAGCAUGGAAAACUGCCUCCCUUUGCCUAAUGUGGACUAUUUGGAAAGAAAGGAAUAGAAGAGCCUUCGAUGAUGUGGAAAGAAACGACCAAGAUAUCAAAUCCAUUUUUUUGUACACUUUUGUGAAUUGGGCUAGGGUAUAUAUUAAGGAUCAUACUUUAUCGUUGUUUGAUUUUGUAAACUGGUUAGCCACCAAGUAAGGGUCAGAACCUUUUGUUUCUUGAUCCUUUGUAUCUUGGUAUACUCUCUUUAGCCUUUUGGCUUUUAAUGAAUUUCCUUUAUCUAUCAAAAUAAAAAAAAAAAAAAAAAAAAGGAAUGGGUCUUAAGUCAUCCCUAUGGCUUCUGUAGUCUUGACUCAAAGGUGGAUCUCUUUGCCUUUAUAUUUAUCAGCUGAAUUUACUGUGUACUACAUGAAAGUCAAAGAGAGGCUAAUCUUGAUAAUUGCUACGUGCCCAUGCUUGCAAGUUCAUCAAAGUUCUAAUCCUAAUUGAACUGUGACUGAUUUGAGUUCAUUGGGGAUGGCAAUAAUAAAAUGUUUCUAAUCAUGCAGGCAAUAGAAGUUGUUGAUCCAGACCAAAAGAUUAAAAUGGUUGAGGAGCUUGAUGGUCAUAUCAUGCGAUGUGUGCGUGAUCAGAAUGGAAACCAUGUCAUCCAAAAGUGUAUUGAAUGUGUUCCUGAAGAUGCUAUUCAGUUUAUCAUCUCAACAUUCUUUGAUCAGGUUGUGACCCUCUCAACCCAUCCAUAUGGGUGUCGUGUGAUACAGGUUAGAAACUUUUUAUUGCUUAUCUUUUACAUCUUGAGGGUUCAAUUUGAAGACAUAAGGAAGAAGUGCUUCCAAUAUUUUUCAUAGGCAAAGAUCAAAUCUAUUAAAAGCAUCAGACAAAAGAGUGCACAAAAGUAUAGAUGGUGUAUACAAAGAUGCCAAUAGGCCAUACAAAGCAGAGAAAAAAGAAGUGUGUCUAAUAUGAUGUGUCUUUCAUGUGACAGAGAGUUCUGGAGCACUGCAGGGAUCCAAAAACCCAGAGUAAAGUGAUGGAUGAGAUUUUAGGAUCUGUUAGCAUGCUGGCACAAGAUCAGUAUGGCAAUUAUGUUGUUCAGGUUUUUAAUCUUUUCCAGAACACUACUGGUAUUGGCUUACAUUUUCUUCUAUAACUAGCUGGCAGUGACAUAAAGUAUCGUUGUCAUGUUAAGUGUUGUUUGUGUGAUACAGGCCUUCUGAGAUGACUAGAUGUGGUGAUUAUGGUUUUCAACUUUUUUCUAUUGUUUCUGUAUGAACAUUGUACUGACAACUUUAAGCUCUUCAAGCCUGGUAUUUCCCAUUUUACAGCCAUUUUGCAUUUUUCUGUUCUAGUACUCUUACCACUUAUAAAACUUUAGCAGCAUAGAUUCUUUGCACUUGUCUGUCAACUGCAUUGUUUAGUCUUUCUCUGUCUUCUCAUUCCAGAUGGGUUUUAUUUUUUAUUUUUUAUUAGUAAGUAAUGACUUGGUUUUAAAUGCCAUAUUUGCUCUGUUCUGAACCUCAUCAUAUACAUAGGGACUGUUUCACACUUAUUUUGUGAUGUAUCGUUGUAAUCCAAUAUCUCUGUGGUAAAUAAAUUAGAUAACAGAUCAAGAAAUUGCGAAGUAAUUGAAGUCACAGCUCAAUAGAAGAGCUUCUAGGGUUAUAGGUCCUAACAACAAGUUCCCAAUUUGACUCUGUUAUUAGGUGACAAGAACUGCUAGAAAUUCAUUAACAAAGAUUAUAUAUGAUAGACUACGAUAGCCUAUCAAAAAAAUGUGAUAAGACUGCAACAACUAUUCUUGGUCUUCAAUUAGUCACACAUUACUACUUCAAGGAUUUCUAAAUAAAGCACAAGGAGACAACUGAGACAGAAAGACUCAGUAAAAGAUGAUACUCUGGUGCUCUAGGUUACAUUCAUGCAUUUUGGGCCUUGAUAAACCUUUUAUGUGCAUAUGCAUCUUGUAUGAGUUUGAAGAUUCAGAGAAUUCCUAGACUUCUUUUAAAUGUUUGUUUGAUCAUUCUAUGCAUAUGCAAUGAGUCUUUUUUUCUUAGAUGUUUAUUGAGUAUAUCAACCAAGUCAUCAUUGAUUUAUCCAGCAUUAAUGUCUGUAUACUUCCUUGGUGUAAGGCUGCUUUUACAUUUUCUUUUCAUUACAUCAAGAGUUCAAUGUUUGUUUGCCCAUUGUAAGUUACCCAACAGAGAAUCACAACUAUGGUUGAUGGUUUGACUGACAAGAUCUCUGUGGCUAGUAUUCAAAUUUUGAUUUAAAGUUACUACUAAAAUUUUAACCCAAAAGUCCUUCAUGUCUUACUCAAGUGGCAAGGGGUGGGUUUAUGAGAGGUUUGAGGUCCAAAUCCCAAUUGGGAUAAUAAAAAAUAAAAAAUAAAAAAUAAAACAGUGGCAAGGGGUUGUGGAGAGGAUAUGGGAAGUUCUAGGUUUGAGUCCCACUAGGGAUAAAGAAACUGAAAAUAUGUUUCUUAUCCAGAAAGUAAAAGAACCAAAAGAAAAGAAUAGAUGAAACAUAACUCAUAUGUGCACACAGUUGUACAUGUUUAAUACCUCAAUCUAUUUUACUUAGUCAUUUUUGUUGGAAUGGCGCAACCAGUGCCAAGACAGGCUUAAUCUUUGCACUGACCAACAAGAACUUCCUAUAAAGUGUUUAGCUUGAGAUGUACACAUACCAGUGACACUUGGGGGUGCAUAAAUUGUACAUGUUUAAUACCUCAAUCUAUUUUACUUAGUCAUUUUUGUUGGAAUGGCGCAACCAGUGCCAAGACAGGCUUAAUCUUUGCACUGACCAACAAGAACUUCCUAUAAAGUGUUUAGCUUGAGAUGUACACAUACCAGUGACACUUGGGGGUGCAUAAAUUGUUGAUAUUAUAAAUUACUGUCACUUUCAUGCGAUCACUAAGUGUGCUGCUUUGAUAUCUUUCUUGAACUGGCCAAAUCUUGCUGGGUGAUGCUAGUUUGACUUUUGAGCCCCCUGCUGUUGGUCUAAAUUGAUAUUCAAAUGUAUGUUCUCCUGGAUUACCUGUCAUGGCGUUUCUGUGUGUGUACUUCGUUGUUUCUUAGUCAAUCUUUUGCUUUUAUUUUUAACAGCAUGUUCUGGAGCAUGGACAACCACACGAGCGCUCUGCUAUAAUUAAGGAAUUAGCUGGAAAGAUAGUUCAGAUGAGUCAGCAGAAGUUUGCCUCCAAUGUUGUGGAGAAGUGUUUAACUUUUGGCGGUCCUGCUGAGCGCCAGAUCCUGGUGAAUGAGAUGCUUGGCACUACUGAUGAGAAUGAGCCUCUUCAGGUUUGGCCAAUCACUAUUUACUUUUCUGCCACUAGAUGGAAUGACCAAGUCAAAUGGGGGAGUGUUUCUAUAUAAGGCCUUUGAUUGGUAGUGGAGCCAGAUCAGAAACAUUUUUCUGGAACCUGUUAUUUAAUGUCUCUGUCCUGCCAUGGUAAUGCUGUACUUGGCACCUCUGAAUUCUCUUAACCAUGAAUUUUGCAUGGUAAGCCUAAAGUGGAACUGCAUCUAUUGAUGUAGCGGCUUAUGGGAAAUGAGCUUUCCCCAAGCUUAACCUCUAGCCGGUUUCACAAGAUUUAUGAACUUGAACUUAAUGUUUUAUGUCAUAUUCUAGGUAAAUAACAUUUUUUUUUUUCCGUAUUUUUAACCAGAGUUAAAUGUGGUUUGAAAUUAGUUCUGCUUGUAGUGUUUUUAGCAAUGGUUCUAGUGUUCCUUUCAUUUUCCCAGUACAGCUGUCUGUCGAAAAAGAAAUUGAGAAAGGAAAAAUCCUAUGAUUCUGAUGCUAUUAAAAUUUUGCUUAUUGCUUGAUUUCAUGGUUACGUCAACAUAUAGUUAUUUCCCACUUUGUUGUUCUUGUUGCUUGUGCAUCUAGGCUAUGAUGAAAGAUCAGUUUGCAAACUAUGUUGUACAAAAGGUGCUGGAGACUUGUGAUGACCAGCAGCGUGAGCUGAUCUUGUCCCGAAUUAAGGUUCAUCUUAAUGCACUGAAGAAAUACACUUAUGGAAAGCAUAUUGUUGCACGUGUAGAGAAACUCGUUGCUGCUGGGGGUACCUAUCCUUUCCCUCAUAUUUUACUUUAGCAUGCAUAUUAAAUAGUCGCUCAGGCUGCAUUUUUUAAGAAAGAAAACAUGUCUUUGCAGUUGCCUUUUUCUGUGUUUAUUCUUCAUUCCUUUUAGGAUGUGGACGUGCUGCUUUUUUGCUAGAUAAACACGACUAACUGACAAAUUGGGAUUGGUGGAUAACACAUGGGUUAAACUGCCAUAGACAUACUUGUUUAUAUUGGCAGGAGUUUUUUAGUAGUUCACUGAUAAUGGAAUUUGUAAAUUUUGGUUGGAGAUCUUUUGGUUCAGCCUUGCUAUGAAAUAUGGACUUCUGAUGACAUUUUACUGAUUAGAUGGCAUGAUCACUGCACUCAUAGACAAAAUGCUAAGGAUUGCAUACGUUCUUCCAAAUGCCUAAUGGGAACAUUGGAUAACCCUUGUGUAUGGAAAUGAUCAAUGCCUAGUUCCUCAUUCUGAUUUUGUUCUUAUGUGUUAUGAAUACCAUCUUAACAUAUGCAUGAUUCUUCCAUGUUCAGAUAGCUCUCUAACCCUUUGUACAUCAAAUUGUUUGCAGAAAGGAGAAUUGCUAUUCAGUCUCCACACCCUGCUUAGGUGGGCAUAGGAAAGAAAGAAGUUGUACAGCUAACUGAGGCUAGUGUGAGCUUCCUUUCUUCUUCUCUUUCUCUGGAAUCUAGAGCUAUGGUUCUACUAUCUCUUUAAGAUAGAUAUGAGCUGAUUGGCAAUAAAGCUGUUCUUGUACUGGAAAACUGUACAUUGUGUAGUUUAAGGUUUAUACAUAUAAUCAAGCAAGCUGAGAGGUUCGGGUGUUCAAUACACUUGAAGUCCAUGCAGAGGAGAUAAAUGACUAUACAAGUUUUUAAGGGUGUAAAAAAUGAUUAAAAUGGUGAGGUAGUUUAUAUGUUAACGCGACUGUACAAAUUUCGCCAUGUGGAGAGCUGUUGAUGUUUAGGUGAGGCCAGGAUAUUUUUGUUUAAUGUAUGCUUAUUGACUACUUUCUUUCUUUUAAAGUACAAUUUUCUCCUGUGCUCAAAGUAUCUUGUUUUGGUCUACUUUUUCUUUGUAUUUGUUCUUGGUGGUGUUAAUAUAUGGUUCAUUUUAUGCAAUCUAUUCCUCCAAUUAUACGUAGUUUCUCUGAAUGAAGAGAUGUCGACCUUUCGGGUAGUUUCAUUCUUCCCAAUUUCAGCCUGGGAUUGCACCCAUUGGUUGCACCAUACUCAUGGCAUUGCCUCAACUCUGAAUUAGCAGGGACCAUUUGAAAACCAAGUAUGUCCAAUUGUGAUUGCUUUUAGGGAGGGUAAGAUAAUAAUGCGAGGAUGGUAGAGAGUAGAGUGAUUGUAGCUGGAUUUGAAAGUGGAAUAGAGCACACUAUUGAAUCAAAAACCUUAACUGUUAAACAUGUUUUGGGAAUGAAUAUCUGUGGUUAAAUCCAAAGCCCAUUUUCCUCCAAAGGGGGGUUAGAAAAAAAAAAUGAGAAUGCUAUUUUGGGGGCAAAAUUAUUUCUUUGAAAUUUCUGGAUUUGGGGUUUGUCAAACCUGUUAGAGGUGUCAACUUAGCUUAGGAGUGUGGCUUUGAUGGCUCAAAAUCUGAAUCAACAAUUGAAGUCUGUUCUGCAAAUUGGAAGAGCCAAGUAUUACAGGUAUCUUAUAGAUGCUACAUCUUCUUGCUUUCCCUACAUCUUUCCAUAAUAAUGUUGAGUCAAAUAAUGACUGUUGCUAAACACAAGUUUGUAGGGAGGUUAAACCAGUUAGCCAAUUUUGAUGCAUGUCUCGUUUAAAUUAACUUGAAAAUUCAGGUCUUGCAUUCCAGUACUCAAGGUCUCUCAGAUGCCACAAACAAAUAUUGAUUUUCAGGAUGGUUGGAAAAAGCCAUGAAUCACAAGUUGAUAUGAAUUUUGUGGGAAUGAUAGUUUUUCAGAUAUUUUGUAAAUAAAAGUUUGUUUAGGAAUUAAAAUGUUUUUAAUAUAUAUUUUUUUAUAUUUUUAAAAAUAAUUUUUACAUGUGGUGCUUAAUUUUUAUUUAUUUUUCAUAUUUAUAUAAUUAUUUUUAAAAACAAUCAUUAAAAAAAUGAAGUGAAAACAACUGAAUGACUUUAUUUGAAAACAGUUACAGCAGGUAGCCUCCCAAUCAAAUUUGUCUUGCUGCAAAAGUACUAAUUCAGAUAUCUGUGUUCUCAAAGAGGAAGGCCUCAACAGUUCAUAACAAUUUCAUAAAAUUCUAAUUAAUCUCCAAAAAUGACCCAAGAAUUUGUUUUUUCUUUUGUCGUAUGAACUUCACAGAAUACAUUGCACAAUUCUCUACCAUUUCUUAAGGAUGGCAAAACUAGUGGUACAGAGACAUCAAGAAGCUUACACAGAAUCUCUCUUUUGAAUUCUAAUCAUCACCACUCUCUUCAUCAAUCUUCUGCCCAAAACCCCUUGGCCCAGCUCUAGCUCUCACCUUCCUCUUCUUCCCAUUCUUCUUCUUGGCUGACUCUUCUUUCUCAAACUUCUCCUUCUCCCUCUUCUGCAAGAAAUCUGACACAGCUAUGUAUAUAACCUGAAAAACCCCAAUCAUAAUUUCAGCCAAAAACUACAAGAACCCAUCAAUUCCGACCAAAAACAUGAGCAAAUUUCAGAAAUUUACUUUACCCCUAUAGUGAGAAUAGUGAGAGCAACAAAAGCAACGAAGAGAAGAGCCGAUAUAACGGUGGAGACACCCUCAUCACUAGUGGACACUAUCUGCUGGGAAUUCUCAAGUGGGGUCACCUCUGAAGGCAAAGCAUCUUCAGAUACAGCGGAUAUUCUCCAAAGUUGGGUGCUUUUCUGAGGAAUUGCAUGAGGCGGGUGGUGAAAAUUGAUGGUUUUCUUUCGAGGGGUAGUGGUUCGUAAGGCAAGAAGUGGGAUGAAUGGCAGAGAUGAAUUGUGGAUGUGAAGCGAAUUGGGAGGUUUUGAGUUGAAAAUGGAGGGGAAAGGCAGUGGAGAUAGAGAUCCACAUACAGAUGCAGAAGCCAUGGUUCACCUACUUCCACUUUCUCUCUCUCUCUCUCUAUCCCUGCUCAACUUGCAGAAGUGCUGACUCUAUAGAAGGGGAAUCUUAGGGUACUUUUUGAAUGUACAGUAAUUUCUGUAUAAGCUUGUGAUUAUUGAUUGCCAUAACCAUCAGAACCUCAUGAUGACCCCAUAAUAAAAUAAAAUAAAUUAAAAUAAAAAAACCUCUUUAUUUAAUCCUUUAACUCUAGGGGGUUGCAGGUUUAGUGAUUGUGCUCCACAAGAAUGUGACCAAGCCUAGAUGAGGCCCAUGACAGUUUUCAAAUGAGAACAACAGCCCAAGUCCUGGUAACAUGGCACCUUGCAACAUUAGAUUGGGCCUUUAAAGGCCCAAAAAUGAACAAAAUGUGUUCGGCUCCCUUCUCGGUAAGCGUUGAAAACGCACCAUCAAUUAAGUGACGUCACAUAUGCACUUUCAAUGUCUUGGUUUUGGUACCGUAUCUCAUUUCCUUAAUCUCAUUGAUACUAAAUGGUCGGAUAUUUUACUACCUUAAAUAAUUUAGUGUAUAUCUCGUAGCAGUGUAUGCCAGUUGGCUUUCAUGCCACUUGGUCCCUCCUCACAUGGCGCCUCUUCAUCAUUGGACCCUACUUACUAAAAAUUAUGCCCUUUAUUCUCCAUCGUCCCAUAUGCCAUGCCAACUACAAACACCCUAAAUCAAACAAAAUAUCAACAUAACCCCCACCCAAGCUUACAUGCUCAUGCCUAACUAAUGUAUAUUACUAACGAAAAAUGUCUUUUAAUAAAAAUUUGAAUGUUUAAUAAAAUUAAAAAAUAUAUUUAUUUUUAAAAUUUUAUUAAAAUGACAUAGAAUAGACAUAUAGAAAUUUUUGAAGACAGAUCGUUAUACCCGGAUAUCUUCAUUAAAAUCUAGAUUGUUAUAAAUGAAUAAAAAUAAUGAAAAAUCAUGUAAUCAUACAUCAACUAACAAAAAUAUGAUAUUUUAGAAUUUUGUUUUUUGUAUUUUAAUUUUAGUGUAAAAUGGAAAAAAAUAUUGUCUAUUUAUGCACUCCAAUAAUGCUUUCAAAUUCGUUCUAUAAUUACCCUCAAAAGUAAAAGACAAAGUACACAUCAAUUUAAUAUCAUAUUGACAAGUACAUGUAUAAUUUAUUUUUAUUAUUUCUCUUAUAUCAAUAUAUCUCACUUACCACUUACCUCCUUCUCCAUUUUUUUUCCUCUCUUCCCAUCAUAAUAUGUUGUCACCUAUUAUAGUUUUUAUUAUUAGUUUUCUCUUUUUCCUUUAUAUUCUUUUUAAUAUGCUCAUAUAUUUUCUCAUAAAACUUCUUUAAUUUUUUUAUUUUUUUACUCUCUAAUUUCUCCAUAUUUAUUGAUUUUAAUUAUUUUUUGACAUAUUAAAAUUAAAAUGAUAAUAUAUAAUAAAUAGUUAAUAUAACAAAUUAAAUAAAAAACAAAAAUAUAUAAUGAACAAAAAUGAAAAUAUUAUUCCACAAAUAACAUACUUGAUGAUUUUAAAUAUUAAUUAUAAUAAUACAUUUGAUAAAUUAGGGUUUAAAUUUAAAUAUUUUAUUUUAUUAUUUAGAGGUUUAUGAUAUAAGUUUUUUUAUAUUAAUACUAAACAAAAAAUUUAUUUAUUUGUAAAUUCUUUCACAUGUAAAAGUAAAAAUAUAUUUGUAAUACUAUUUUAUUAUUUACAUAAUUUUUCUUUUAAUUUUCAUUUUAAAUUUAUCAUAUCAAAAUCACAAUAAGUGAUGGUGUUUUUAUCAUUUUUCCUAUGAUUUUAAUUUGAUUAUGAAUCUAACAUUUUGUUUGGUUAAAAUCUUUAAUUUUUAACUAUAAAAUAUAAAAGAAAAUAUAAUUUUCAUAAAAAAAUUGAAUAUAACCUUUUAUAUUAAUUUCAUAAAAAAUAGGUACAUCCUUAAAAAAAAAAAAAAAAAAGAAGGUAAAUUCAUGCUUAGAGGAAUCAGAACCAUUAUCAUACUUAUCAUGGUGUAUAUUUUCCUUUGGAAUCCUCAACAAGUAAUUGGAAGUCCUCACCCAACCCAAAACGAACUUUGGAAUCCUAGGUAUAGCCAUUCUUAGAAGAACCAAGACCCUUAUCUCCAUUCUCAUGACUCAUAUAUAUCUUUAGGAACCUUCGAGAAGGAAUUGGAGGUUGUUUCCCACCCUAUAAUAGACAUUGGAACCCAAGAUACAUAUAAAGAUAAUUUGGUACAUUAUUUACAAAAUUUGGUACAUCUUUUACAAAAUUUAACACAUUCUUAAAACAAUUUGGUACAUCCAAUCCAUGAGCUACUAGGACCUCUAUAUUUAUUAUCCAUGGCUCAUUUAUUUCUUUAAAGAUCUUUAGAGGUUGUUCUUUACUUUGAAAUGAACUUUUGAACUCAAGGUACAUCCUUAAGGAAAGUUGGUACAUCGUUAAGAAAUUUUGGUACAUCUAAUCCUUGGGCUAUCGAGAUCUCUAUCUAUCUUCCCAUGGUCCAAUUAUCCUUUAAGGACCCUCAAGUAGCAAUUGAAGGUCAUUCCCCACCUCGGAACAAACUUUGGCACUCUUGUUACAUUUUUUACAAAAUUUGAUAUAUCAUUUACAAAAUUUGGUACAUCAUUCACAAAAUUUGAUGCAUCCUUAAAAAUAUUUGGCACAUCCAAUCCUUGAACUAUCGAAACCUCUAUUUAAUUACUCAUGAUUCGUUUAUUCCCUUAGGGAUCUUUGGAAAGUGAUUGGAGGUUAUUUGCUACUUCGAAACGAACUUUGGAACCUUAGGUACAUCCUUGAGAAAAUUUGAUACAUCCAAUCCUUGAGCUAAUGAGACACCUAUCUCAUUUUCCAUGGUCCAUUUCUUCAUUUGGAGACCCUCAAGAAGUGAUUGGAGGUAGUUCCUCACCUCGGAAAGCACUUUGGCAACUUUGGUACAUCCUCCACAAAAUUUGGUACAUCCUUAAAAAAAUUUGAUACAUCCAAUCCUUGAGCUACCGAGACCUCUAUCUUAUUACCCAUGGUCUGUUUAUUCCUUUAAGGAUCUUUGGAAAGUGAUUGGAAGUCAUUCCCUACUUUGAAACAAACUUUGCAGCCCUAGGUACAUCCUUAAGAAAAUUUGAUACAUCUAGUCCUUAAACUAUCGAGACACCUAUUUUCCAUCACAAGGCCCAUUUAUUUAUCUGGACAACCUUAGGAAGUGAUUGGAGGUAGUUCCCUACUUCAGAACAGACUUUGACCCUCUUGGUACAUCCUUUAUAAAAUUUGGUACAUCUUUCACAAAAUUUGUUAUAUCCUUAAAAAUAUUUGGUACAUCCAAUUCUUGAGUUAAUGACACCCCUAUCUUAUUACCCAUAGUCUGUUUAUUCUUUUAGCGAUUUUUGGAAAGUGAUUGGAGGUUGUUCCCUAUUUCGAAACGGACUUUGGAACCCCAAGUACAUCCUUGAGAAAAUUUGAUACAACCAAUCCUUAAGCUAACGAGACACCUAUCUCCCUUUCCAUGGUCUAUUUCUUCAUUUGGAGACCCUUGGGAAGUGAUUGGUGGUCAUUCCCCACCUCAAAAUGGACUUUGGCACCCUUCAUACAUCACUUUCAAAAUUUGGUACAUUCAAUCUUAAACUACUGGAACCCUUAUCUUAUUACCCAUGGUUCGUUCAUUCCUUUAGGGAUAUUUGAAAAGUGAUUGGAGGUCGUCCCCUACUCCAAAAUAUACUUUGGAACCCUAUGUACAUCCUUAAGAAAAUUUGAUACAUCCAAUCUUUGAGCUAACAGGACACCUGUCUUCCUUCCUACGGUUCAUUUAUCCAUUUGGAUAGCCUUAGGAAGUGAUUGGAGGUUGUUCCCCACUUUAGAACGGACUUUGGCCCCCUUGAUACAUUCUUUACAAAAUUUGGUACACCCUUUAUAGAAUUUGAAACAUCUUUCAUAAAAUUUGGUAUAUUCUUAAAAAAAUUUGAUACAUCUAAUCUUUGAGCUACUGGAACCCCUAUCUUAUUACCCAUGCUACGUUUAUUCCUUAGGGAUCUUUGGAAAGUGAUUGGAGGUCUUUCCCUACUCCGAAACAUACUUUGGAACCCUAGGUACAUCCUUGAGAAAAUUUGAUACAUUCAAUCCUUGAGCCCACAAGACACCUAUCUCCAUUUCCAUGGUCUAUUUCUUCAUUUGAAGACCCUCAGGAAGUGAUUGGAGGCCAUUCACCACCUCGGAACGGACUUUGGAACCCUUCAUAUAUAUUUUUCAAAAUUUGGUAUAUCCUUCACAAAAUUUGAUACAUCCUUAAAAAAAUUUGGUACAUACAAUCCUUGAGCUAUCGAGACCCUUAUCUUAUUACCCAUGAUCCGUUCAUUCCUUUAGGGAUCUUUGGAAAAUGAUUGGAGGUCGUCCUCUACUCCAAAAUACUCCAAAAUAGACUUUGGAACCCGAGAUACAUCCUUAAGAAAAUUUGAUACAUCCAAUCUUUGAGCUAAUGAGAUACCUAUCUUCCUUCCUUCUCAUGGUCCAUUUAUCCAUUUGGAUAGACUAAGAAAAUGAUUGGAGGUCAUUCCCCAUUUCAAAACGGACUUUGGCCUUUUUGGUACAUCAUUUAUAAAAUUUGGUACAUCCUUAAAAAAAUUUGAUACAACCGAUCUUUGAGCUAUCGAGACCCCUAUCUUAUUUCUCAUGCUCCGUUUAUUCCUUUAGGGAUCUUUGAAAAGUGAUUGAAGGUUGUUUCCUACUCCGAAAUGGACUUUGGAACCCUAUGUACAUCCUUAAGAAAUUUAAUACAUCCAAUCCUUGAGUUAACGAGACACCUAUCUCCCUUUUCAUGGUCCAUUUCUUCAUUUGAAGACCCUCAAGAAGUGUGAUUAGAGGUCAUUCCCUACUUCAGAAUGGACUUUGGCACUUUUGAUACAUCCUUUACAAAAUUUGGUACAUUCAUAAAAAAAUUUAGUACAUCUAAUCCUUGAGCUACUAAGACUCUUAUCUUAUUACCCAUGGAUCAUUUAUUUCUUUAGGGAUCUUUGGAAAGUAAUUGGAUAUCGUUCCUUACUCUGAAACAAAUUUUAGAACCCUACGUACAUUUUUAAAAAAAUUUGGUACAUCCAAUCAUUGAGCUAACGAGACACAUAUUUUUUCCCAUCGUGCAUUUAUUCAUUUGGACAACCUUAGGAAGUGAUUGGAGGUCGCUUCCCACUUUAAAACGAACUUUGACCCCCUUGGCACAUCCUGUACAAAAUUUGGUACAUUCUUUAUAAAAUUUGGUACAUCCUUUUGUAGACUCUCAAUUUUGUCCAUUGACACUUGCAUGUAUCUUGGGGGUGUCGCCCGCACCCGACCUUUGUAUGUCACGACCAUGGGGCCCUUGUUGGGCUUAAUCGGUUUUCAGACCUCACUUGAGUUCACCUAUUGUUCAAUUUAGUGCAAGCGAUUGGUUCAUUAUGAAAUGAUAUCAUGGUCAAUUCUUUGGUUUGUAUCAUACUACAGGUUAAAGGUUAAGGUCUCCACACAAACUUCAGUUCAAUUGGAGCUUGUUGAAGCCUGUCCAAAUCUUGAGCACUCUGGCUUGUUUUAGUCAUUUCUCCCUCAUCCGAGCUUGGAAUUGCGCACCAUUUUUUUUUUGUUGGAUUCCCUAUUCUUCGACAAACAUUUAUCAAAAUUUGAGAAUUUUUCUCAACUGGAAUGACCGGUUUGUUUUGGCAUUCUUGGCACCUUAGGCCCAUUUAGAUACACCUGACCCGGUAGGUACACUCCUAGGACACUUAUACACAUGUCCUUAAUUUAAUUCCCACCUAAUUCACCUUGGCACUUGCCACUUAGGUCACCUAGGUAAUUUAGAUGUUUUUUUGGGCUUAAUUCCCUAAAACUAAUUUUUUAAUUGAUUUAUUUUUUAGAUUAGGAGAGUAUUUAACGAGAUUUUUUUUGUUUGGAUUGCUUGAGAUGAAUUUUCAAUAUUAAUUGUGUCAAUUUGAUAUUUUGCUUUUUUUAUUUUUUUUAUUUGUGUAUUAGUUUAAUAUUUAGAUUAUUGUUACGUGCAUGUGAUAUUUAUUUCUUUUUCCUGCUUUAUUUAUUUAUUCAUUUACGUAUUUAUUUUCAGAAAAAUGUAGGUGAUUAGGAAUCUUGCAUUAUUAUUAGUUAUUAUUAUUAUUAUUAUUAUUAUUACUAUGUACUUACUGUAUGUUUGGUUUUUAUUAUUACACUUUUCUUAUUUUAUUUUUCAUUUUUUUAUAUAGGUUUGUUUACCUUUAUUUUAUUUUUAUUCUUUUAGUUUAUUAAAAAAAAGAAAAAAAAAUGGGGAACCAGUGGACAGCAUGGGAGGAGGGAGAGAGAGAGAGGUUGGAUUUUUUGCUGAAAAUUAAAAGGCUUUGAUGGGAAAAAAAAAGGGUAGAUUACAAGAAAUGGAAAAAGGGGAGCUGGGUGAGAAUCUUAUUAGAGAAUAAAAGGGAAAUCAAAAGGAAAAAUUUGAGAGGGAGGUUACCAAUGAGCUGCAUGGAGAAGAGACAUGGGCCAUUUUCAAGAGGGAAUGAAGAGGUUUUCAAGAGAGUGAAAUAAAAAUGAGGCUUAGGAGAUAAGAAAAGGGAGUUUGAGAAGAGAAGUUAGGAAGGUUUUGAAGAGGAACAGAUUCGGGGAGGUGAAGAAAAGAGAAAGAGAACAAAGAACAAAGAGAGAAAAGAACGUUUCAGAGAGUAAGAGAGGAGAUUGGAAAUAAAAAGAAAAAAAAUAGAGAAGAUGGGAGAAUUUUAGUUAGUUCUUGGGACUUGGAGAAAGAGAACUUACCGGUCUUUGAAGAAUGAAAUAGGUGUUCUCAGGUAUGAUCACUGUAACUCUUACAUUCAUUUCCGUUUAUGAAUUCUAUUGAUUAUAGACUGAUGUUGGAUUUGGAAUUGUUUUAUUUUAUAUCAUGCUCUUGGGAUUUCAGUUGAGAAUUGAUGUCCACUUUUAUAUUGAAAAUGGUUCGUUUAUCUGUUUUCUCUUGCGAUCAUGCUCUAUUUUAGGAUUUUUUUUUUUUUUUUUCGUUUCUAUUGAAUAUACGAUCCUUUUGUGGUUUUGUUGGGAUCCUUGCCCAGGUUGAGUCACUACCCGACGUCUGUCAGUUCAAUAGCUUUUCCAAGUAUUUAACCUACUGUUGGAUCAAGCUGGGUGUAUGGGUUAACACUGAGGGUCUCCAAAAAGCCCGCGGCCUGCUUUAGGCCUGGCCUGGCCCAAGCCCGCUCUGCCCGAGCCCGUUUCUGGGCGGGCCGACCCGGCCCGUAGGCCCGCCUCUUUAAAAAAAAACUACAAAAAUAAAAAGUAUUAAAAAAAAUAUUCAUUUCAAAAUUUUAUUCAUUGAAUGUAUAAUUACAUUUGAAAAUGUGGGAAAAGUUUACAUCACUACAAAAUAAAUACAUUCCAACUAGGUUGGCACCUAUUUAUUUGUCAAUCAUCUGUAUUUUUCAACCACAAAAAAUAAAAAUAAAAAUAUAAUAUACAUUUAGUCAUUAUUUUCUGGCGGUGAUGGCGAACUAUCAUGCAUCCAUGAAGAUCUUGAUAAUUUUAAAGAUUCCAAAUCGGCAAGCAUCUCUGUUUCUCGAAUGGAAUCGUACAUCCUUUUAUUUGCUAUUUCCCAAUCUUUCACACAUAUCCCUACUUCAAUAACAUCUAGCGCUAAGUUGCAUCGUUUUUUACUAACUACUCUUCCACAUGCACUAAAAGCAGCUUCUGAUGCAACUGUACUCACAGGAACUGUUAGUACAUCACGAGCAAUUAUAGAAAGCACAGGAUAUUUGUAUUGAUGUGAUUUCCACCAUAUUAAAAUAUCAAAAUCUUCUUGAUUUUCAAAUGAAAUUAUAUCAGUAUUAAGAUAUUUAUCUAAAUCAGAUGUAUUAUUUGGAGAACUAUUUGUUGUCUUUUUUUGACUUUUCAACAUUUCUAGAGCUCCUUUAUAAAAAGAUGAGGAGUUUGUAGAUGUAAGUGGUAAUUUAAUAGUUUUAAUAUCAUUACCAUAUUUUUCUUUAUAAUAGUUAUAUAAAUUAUAUAAUAAUGAAUUUAUUUUAUUUUUAAUUUCUUCAAUUUUUAUUUGGUCAUUAAAAUAAAUAAUUGUUAACCAUUCAUCUAAAGCUUCAAAUUUCAAUCUAGGGUCCACAAUUAAAGCAAUAUAAAAAAUUAAAGGUAUUUCUCCCCAAUAUUUUCUAAAUUUUUCUAUCAUUGCAAAUAUUGUAUCAUUAAAUAUUUCAAAACUUAAAUAUUUUUUAAGUACAAUAAAAAUAUUAGUAAUUUGCAUAAUAACUCGAUUUGAAGUUGGAUAAUAUACACCACAAAAAAUGUUUGUUGAAGUAUCAAAAAUUUCAAAAAGAUCUCUUAAAAGAUCCACAAUAUGCCAAUCAUAAUCAUUUAAUGCAUAAAUAUCUGCUUCACAAUCAUUGUUAAUUAAUUGUAUUUCAUAUAAUUCGACUCCUUUUCUAUAUUUUGUAAUAUUUUGUAAAAGUUUAUAUGUGGAAUUCCAUCUAAUGGCCAUAUCCAAAUUUAUAUUUUUUCUUUUCAUAUUUAACAUUUUGCAACAAUAAAAAAAUAAAUCAUGUUUUGCUUGAGAACUAUUAAUACUAUAUGCAAUGCCUCUAAUUUUUUCUAAUGUACUAUCAACAUUUUUUAAUCCAUCCUUUACAAUUAAAUUUAAAAUAUGUGCACAACAACGCACAUGAAAUAUUUUAGCAUGAUCUUCUUUUACUUGCCAAUAUUGUUUUAGUCUAUGUAUUGCUGCAUCAUUAUUAGCAACAUUAUCUAAUGUUAUUAUCAAUAUUUUAUCACGAAUGCCUAAAUCUAUAAUUUCAUCAUUUAUUAAAGAUGCUAUAUUUUUACCACUAUGUAGAGCAUUUAUUAAUUUAAAUGAAAUUAUUCUUUUAUUUAAUUUCCAUUCAUUAUCAAUGUAGUGAGCAGUUAUACAUAAAAAACCAGUGUGAAUUAAAGAUGUCCAAAUAUCAGAUGUUAAACAAAUAUUUCCUUCAAAAUUUGCAAAAAAAAUUUUUAAAAUUUCUUUUUGUGUAUAAAUUUUUUUUUCAUAAUAUCUAUUUUAACUGUAUUUCCAGACCAACCUUUAAAUUGAGGAUUAAUACCUCGUUGAAUUGUUCCUGCAAAAUCAUGAGUUUCCAUCAUGUUGAAAGGUUGUUCUGCUCUUAUUAUAUAAUCAAUCAUUUCUUCACGACAGUUAGAUUCAUCAUAAGAAAAUGUUUUUAAAUUUCCACUUUCAUUUUUACCUUAUUGCAUAUAAUUUUAAUAUCUACAUUAUUUUUAGUUUUACAAUUUUCAUGAUGUCUUUUUAAAUGACUUGUGCCUGCAUUUGAGCCACCAGUAAGAAAUUUAUUACAAAUUUUACAUUUUGCUUUUAUUUCUUUUUUAUUAUUUUAUAAAAUUAUUUCUAUUCUAUCAAAAAAAUUCCAUAUAUUUGAAGUAAUUUUUUUGUUUGAUGAUAUUUUAUCACAUGGACUAGAUGAAGAAGCACUUGUCAUAUUAUAAUUAUUGAUAAAAUAUUAUGCCAAAAAUAAUAAAGUAAUAAAUAUAAAAAAAAUGUAACAAAAAAAUAAGUAGUAGGGGUAAAGUAUGUUACUCAAUUAGAGAACCGAUGCAGAAAUUCCUAGCAAAUUUGAACUUUUGGAGCCACCGAUGCUUGUUUUGCACCACCAAUAAUAUUAUAUAAUUUGAGGGAAAAAUAAAAAAAUUUGAAAUAUUGUAGAAUGUGAGAGAAAUAGAGAGAAUUUGAUGAAAAAAAUGAAAAGGAAGAAAAUGUAUUUAUAGGAAGGUUAAAAAAAAAUUCAAAAUUCAAAAUAAUUGGUCAUGUGACUGUUGGAGGCUUAGCUCCAACGGUCACAUGGGCUGGAGCUAGGCUCCAACGAUCACAUGACCGUUGGAGCCUUUAAUUUUUUUUUAAAAAAAUAAUAUACUUUAUUUUUAUAUAUAUAUAUAUAUAACUAACUCAAUUAAUAAACAUAAAAAGAAUGUAGUUUAGUUGGUUAGAAGCUUAAAGUUUAAACAUGAGGAGAGGGGUUCGAAUCCCUCACUCUCCCUUCCCUUGGCUUUUUUGAAAGCUAUUUUGGCUUAAUUCAAAAAGCCCGUCGGCCAGUCCGCCAGCCCACGGGCUCAUAGGUCGGGCCCGCGGCCUAGCAUUUUAGCAUGACCCAGCCAGAGCUGGGCCGCGGGCCUCCUAUUUACGGCCCAACCUGGCCCGACCCGCCCGUUGGAGACCCCUGGUUAACACCAUUAUAUCUCUCAGCACCUACCUAUACCGCCAAUUGUGUCCUUAGUGUGAUGGGUCUUUCUUCUUGUCUAAGUGCACCCCAGUGCACUCACUAUGCACAACGUGGAAUGUGCAAGUUUGGGCUCACAUGCAAAUUUGAUCACUUAGAAACACAGAGUUAUUGUCCAUUCGUACCAUCUCUAGCUGAUAUGCCAGUUGCUCUCUGUCCUGUGGAAUCUUCUAUGGGUACACUUACACCCUCAUCUUCAUCUUCAGAUUUGAGGCUAGAAUUUAUCUCAGGAUCUAGCAAGGAAUUUCCUUCAACCAGAAUGUCCUCUCUUACGAGCAAACCUAGCGGUUCAGUUGGAUCAUUUCUUAAAAAAAUAAUGGGCCUGAUCAUUCUAGUAUCCAACAGCCUGGUUUAGUUGCGUUCUGGCUAUUAUAGUUUGUUCCUUUGUCACCACCCGAGACCGUCACUCCACCGGUGGCUGCGGUGGCUCCCAUUGUUGCCAUGGCAUAGGUGGCAUUCCUUCGCCUCAACCAGAGCUCUCUUCUACCACACACCCAGUUCACCUGCAUUCCGGAGCUAUUGCGGCUUGUUCCUUUGACCUGGGUUGCAGCCUCGCCGAUAGCUGUGGUAGCUUUCUUUACCGCCAUGGCAUGGACGAUGCCCCCCUUUGGUCCUCCUUACCGGAACAAUCCUAGGUUUGGGGUAGAUUUUUUCCUAGGACGAAAGUCUCGCCGAUGGUGGCAAUAUGACCAUCUUCCAUGCGUCACAUGCAGGAGCAUGUUUAGUCCAUUUGUUUGGCCCCUCUGUCAAAGUUAAAAAAAAAAAAAAAAAAAACUUAUAAACUCAUUUACUUUAUUCAUUCUUCUUCAUUUUUUAUUCUCAAAUAACAUUUUUACAAUCCUUUUUUUUUUUUUUAAUUUUUUUAUUCAAUCUUUAAAUUUCAAUCUUCAAAUAGAUUUUUUUUUUUUUUUUAAACUGAAUUUUUAAUAUGCAACCUUUAAAUUUCAUAUUUAAAUUCCAAAAGUCAAAAUUCCAAAAUUUCAUUUUUUUAAUACCAUUAUCAAAGUUUAUUUUCCAAAAUUCUCAAAAUUCUAAAAUUCCAAAGUUUCAUUUUAAAUAUUAUCUUCGAAGUUUUAUUUUCAAAAUUCCCAAGUUUCCAAAAUUCAGAAUUUAUUCUUUAACUUUCCAUUUCCAAAAUUCCUGAAUUUCCAAAUUUAAUUCUUUAAGUUUUGGCUACCAAAUUUUCCAAAACUCCACAACUCUUAAAAUUCCAAGGUUUCCAAAAUGCUCAAAAUUCCGGAUUUAAUUUUUUAAAGUUUCCGUUCCCAAAAUUUCCAAAAUUCUCAAAAUUCUGGAUUUUAUUUUUUUUAAGCUUCCAUUUCCAAAAUUCUCAAAAUUCCGGAUUUAAUUUUUUUAAGUUUCCAUUUCCAAAGUUCCCAAAAUUUCAAAAUUCCGGAUUUAAUUUUUUACGUUUCCAUUCCCAAAGUUUCCAAAAUUCCCAAAAUUCUGGAUUUAACUUUUUUAGUUUCCGUUCCCAAAGUUUCCAAAAUUUCGAAAACUCCGGAUUUAAUUCUUUAAGUUUCCAUGUAUGCGACUUUCAUGAAUUUGGUGGCCUUUAAUUGAUCAAAUUCAUUUGAUUUUUUUUUAAUGGAAAAUUAUGGAAUUUGUGGCUAUUAGUGGAUGAAAAUUCAAGCGAAAAGGGUGUUAAAUUGCCAGCUGGAAAUUAAUAGAAUUGGAGUAGCUAAAUGUUAGCCACGUAAUAAAGUUUCACAACUGCACUUUGGUGGCCACCGGGUAGGGACUAGAGGUUACAUAUAUAGGGUUGGCCAUGGCUGAAAAUUUUAGUAGAUUUGGGGAUUGCAAAUGUUGUGUGCUUGUGCUUAUUGAUUUACCAUUUUCCGCAACAUAUGGCUAGGGACCUCAAGUACAUAUCAUUAUUCUGAUUGUUGAUUUCCUAUGAAUGCCGAAUACCAGCUAGAAUUAUAUGAGUCUUGUCAUCUAUGUAGCUCGGGGGGAAUUGACUGAUCUUUGACCCAUAUGCUCCAAUGUAUCCAAUUCACUAGUAGAGACCGGAUCUUGGGCCUAGAAAGGUGCUACCUCGCAUGAGGUACCUUCCUAAUAGGUAACCUGAUCUCCGGACCCAGAAAUCUAGUUUUGUGGAUUGUUUUUUCCUAACUGGAGUCAUUGAGGGGUUUUUGUUCUUACUUAAUUUUCCCCAUUUUAAAAAUAAAAAUAAAAAGUAAGUGGUGACUCCAAACAAAAACCGUUCCUCAUCCGGGAUGAAUUUCCCAAAACUCGAAAACCGUUUUUUUCACACAUUUAUUAUUUUCAAUGGCGAGUUGCACUGGUCGAUGGACCGAGGGAGGGUCCACACCUUCGUAAAUUUUGGUACAUCCUUAAAAAAAAUUGGCACAUCCAAUCCAUGAGCUACCGGGACCUCUAUAUUAUUUUCCAUGGUUCAUUUAUUUCUUUAGGGAUCUUUGGUAAGUCAUUAGAGGUCAUUCUCUACUCCGAAAAGAACUUUGAAACCCUAAGUACAUCCUUGAGAAAAUUUGAUACAUCCAAUCCUUGAGCUAACGGAACCCCUAUCUUCCUUCCCAUAGUCUAUUUAUUCAUUUGAACACUCUCAAGAAGUGAUUGGAGGUCGGUCCCCAUUUCAGAACGGACUUUGGCUCCCUUGGUAUACCAUUUAUAAAAUUUGGUAAAUCAUUUACAAAAUUUGGUACAUCCUUAAAAAAAAAAAUUGGUACAUCCAAUCCUUAAGCUAUCAUGACCCUUAUCUUAUUACCCAUGGUCCGUUUAUUCUUGUAGGGAUCUUUGGGAAGUAAUUAGAUGUACCAAAUUUUCUUAAGAAUGUACCUAGGGUUCCAAAGCUCAUUUCAGAAUAGAGAAUGACCUCCAAUCACAUCCCAAAUAUCACUAAAGAAAUAAACGAACCACGGGUAAUAAGAUAAGGGUCUUAGUAGAUCAAGGAUUGGAUGUACCAAAUUUUUUUAAGGAUUUACAAAAUUUAUUAAAUUAUGUACCAAAUUUUGUAAAAGAUGUACCAAGGAGGCCAAAGUCCGUUAUGAAGUAAGGAAUGACCUCUAAUCACUUCCUAAGGUUGUCCAAAGGAAUAAAUGGACGAUAGGAAGGAAGAUAGAUGUCCCGUUAGCUCAAGGAUUGGAUAUAUCAAAUUUUCUUAAGGAUAUACCUAAAGUUCCAAAGUCUAUUUCGGAGUAGAGAACGACCUCCAAUCAAUUUUCAAAGAUCCCUAAAGGAAUGAACUAACCAUGGGUAAUAAGCUAGGGGCCUUGGUGCCUUAAGGAUUGGAUAUACCAAUUUUUUUUAAGGAUAUACCAAAUUUUGUGAAGGAUGUACUAAAUUUUGUAAAGAAUGUACCAAAUUUUGUAAAGUAUAUACCAAGGUUGCCAAAGUCCUUUCUAAGGUGGGGAACGACCUCCGAUCACUUCCCAAGGAUCUCCAAAAGAAGAAAUGGAUUAUAGGAAUGGACACAGGUGUCCAAUUAGCGCAAUGAUUGGAUGUAUCAAAAUUUUUAAAGGAUGUACCUAGGGUUUUAAAGUCCAUUUCGAAGUAGGAAACAACCUUCAAUCAAUUUUCAAAGAUCCCUAAAAAAAUAAAUGAACUAUGGGUAAGAAGAUAAAGGUUUUGGUAGCUUAAUAAUUGGAUGUACCAAAUUUUGUAAAGGGUGUACCAAAGGUGCCAAAGUUCGUUCCGAGGUGGGGAACAACCUCCAAUCAUUUUCCGAGGGUCUCCAAAUGCAGAAAUGGACCAUGAGAAGGGAGAUAGGUGUCAUGUUAGCUCAAGGAUUGGAUGUAUCAAAUUUCUCAAGGAUAUACCUAGGGUUCCAAAGUCUAUUUUGGAGUAGGGAAUCACCUCCAAUCAGUUCCCAAAGAUCCCCAAAGGAAUAAAUGAACCAUGGGUAAUAAGAUAGGGGCCCUAGUAGCUCAACAAUUGGAUGUACCAAAUUUAAAAAUGUAUCAAAUUUUUUCAAAGAUGUACCAAAAUUUGUAAAUGAUGUACCAAGGGUGCUAAGCUCCAUUUUGAGGUGGAGAACAACCUCCAUUCACUUCUCGAUGGUCUCCAAAGGAAGAAAUGAACCAUAAGAAGGGAGAUAGGUGUCCAAUUAGCUUAAUGAUUGAAUGUAUCAAAUUUUCUCAAUGAUGUACUUAAGGUUCCAAGGUCCGUUUUAGAGUAGGGAAUGACCUCAAAUCACUUUCCAAAUAUCCAUAAAGGAAUAAACGAACAAUAGGUAAUAAGAUAAGGGUUCUAGUAGUUCAAGGAUUGGAUGUACCAAAUUUUUUUAAGGAUGUACCAAAUUUUGUGAAGAAUGUACCGAAUUUUGUAAAUGAUGUACCAAGGGUGCCAAAGUCCAUUCCGAGGUGGGGAAUAACCUCCAAUCACUUCCCGAGGGUCUCCAAAGGAAGAAAUGGAGCAUGGAAAGAGAGAUAUAUGUCCCGUUAGCUCAAUGAUUGGAUGUAUCAAAUUUUGUUAUGGAUGUGCCUAGGGUUCCAAAGUCCGUUUCAGAGUAGGGAACAACCUUCAAUUAUUUUCCAAAGAUCCCUAAAGGAAUAAACAAACCAUGGGUAAUAAGAUAGGGGUCCCGGUUAGGAAUGGCAAUUUCGCGGGUUUUCCAGGUCACCCGCCCCUAUUGGGAUGGGUAUAGGAACAUGGCAAUUGGGGAUGGGUCGGGUUCAUGUUUUUUUUUAAAAACCCGAAUUGGGUUCGAGGCGGGGUCGGGUGUAGUUAUAAUUUGACCCGCCCCGCCUCGCCCCGAAUAUGAAAUUACAACUUUGCCCCCCACUUAUAAAUAUUAGCUUCCUCUCCUCAUUUCAGAUCUUCUUCUCUCAGUUCUCGUUCCUGUCGACGCUAGGGUUUUUCCUCCCACUUAAUGCAAAAAUCCAUCAGAUAAUCCAUUCGAAAAUCCAUCAGAUAUUUGCCUCUUCGUAUUCACCAUAUUUGUGGCCUACCAUCCUGGGGUUUUGUGGAGCCAUUUGGACAAUUUCUUUAUUGGGUUUCAUCUCAAGGACUACACUAUUUUGGAGGCAUCGAGGGAUUAUAAGAGGUUGGUGUAUGAGUUUUCAAAGAUGGGUUGUUUGAGAAAAAGGGGCAUGGGGUGUUCGUCAUGCUCUGUGCGAUGGCGAUGAUGUUCUCCGCCUAUAUUUAUGGGGUUCUAGGGUGUGACAGCACAUGGGUUCAUAUCGCUAGUGGCGUGUUGAUGGGCCUUUUCUGGAUUCAGAGUGGGUGGAUUGGGCACGAUUCUGGGCACUACCAGUGAUGAUGAAUAGGCGUUUGAAGUUUGAACCGCUUUGUGCAGGUGCUGAGUCGGAAUUGUUUUGCGGAAUUGGAAGAUGCUGCUGAUGGUCCCGGCGGCAUGGGCCAGCACCCGACCCCACCUCGAGAGGUACGGGGAUGGGAUCCCAUUAACCCACCCCGCCUCGGGUAUGGGACGGGGAUGGGAAAUAGAUUUAUAUAAUUGGGACGGGAAUGAGGUAGGGGUGGCCCUGCCCAAACCCGCCCCGUUGCCAAUCCUAGUCCCGGUAGCUCAAGGAUUGAGUGUAACAAUUUUUUUUUCUUUUUUUUUAAGGAUAUACCAAAUUUUAUAAAAAAAAAAUGUACCAAAUUUUGUAAAUGAUGUACCAAGGAGGUCAAAGUUCGUUUCGAAGUAGGGAAUGACCUCUAAUCACUUUCCAUGGUUGUCCAAAUGAAUAAAUGGACCAUGGGAAGGAAGAUAUUUGUUAUAUUAACUAUUUGUUAUAUAUUAUCAUUUUAAGUUUAAUAUGUCCAAAAAAAAAAUUAAAAUCAAUAAAUAUGGAGAAAUUAGAGAGUAAAAAAAAAAUUAAAAUUAAAGAAGUUUUAUGAGAAAUUACAUGAGCAUAUUAAAAAAAUAUAUAAAGGAAAAAGAGAAAAAUAGUAAUAAAAACUAUAAUAUGUGACUAUGGAUUACAGUGGACAAAGAGGCAAAAAAAAAAACAUUGUGAUUAUAAUAAAUGAUAAGUAAGAGAUAUUGAUGUGAGAGAAAUAAUAAAAACAAAUGAUGUAUAUACUUGAUAUUAAAUUGGUAUAUAUUUUGUAUUUUUUAAUCUUUGAGGAUAAUUGUGAAAUGAAUUUGAAAUCACUAUUGAAACGCAUGGUAAUAUUUUUUAUUUAUUUUACAUUAAAAUUAAAAAGCAAAAAGUAAAAUUCAAUGAUCUCAUAGUUUUUUAGUUAAUAUACGGUUGCAUGAUUUAGGAUUAUGCUACGUGGAUAUAAAUAUAAUCCAUGUCAUCAAUGCCGCCGGACCGGCUUCAAUGGUACUAUCGAAAAGUGCGGUUCAGUACAGUAGUGGGACCCAUGGACCCUGAAAAUAACACAUAUAUUAUGCGAUGUGAUACAAUUUUAUGGGUUUGAGAGGAAGGUGAAAAAAUGCCACGUGGGCAAAACAUUGCUACUUGGAAUGAGAAUAGCGAGCCGGGCCACGUGAGAUUUGGCGGUGUUGUCAGGACCAGACCUGAUGAGAUUAUUUCGGGAUGUCCACCGUGGGAUGUGUUGUUGUGGGGAAUUGUGUAAGGAUCCAACGGCAGAGGCAUUAGGCAGAGGUACUGCUUUGUUGUGCAGCCAUAGAUCGACACGUUUCACUGAACCAGCUGUUCACCAACACUCUCACUUCCUAUUGGCUGGACGGGAUGCCUUUAGACCCUUUCACAAGGGCAAAGGGCGGUGCACCAAUACUGGCUCUCCCAAAAUUACCUUAAUACCCUCUAGUGGGGCCCACUCAUCCACUCACACCUACUCCCCGGUACCCAAUUUCAAAGCAACUUCUGGUGGCACGACCCUCUAAUUAUUUACUUAUUUUAAUGUUUAAUUAAAAAAAAUUAAUUAAUUUAAAUUUAAAAAUGACUGGUGAAAAGAAUUUUUAAAAAUAAAGUAACCUUAAAUUAAUUAUUUUAAAUUUUAUAAAUAAAUAUAAAUUAUUAAAAUGGGGGUUUUAGUUUAUUUUUUGGGGUGGGAGAUUAAAAGUUGUAAAAAUGCAUGGAGUAGGGGUGUUAGGAUGGCAACAGGUGGAGAGACAAGGAGGCGAGUAACUAGUGUAGUGUAGACGAGGGAUUCGACCAAUGAUGAUAGCAAGAUAGAUAUUUAGAGGAUCAAAAAUAUCUGGCUAAGUCGUCCACGUUGGCACCUGGACAGGACCGAUCUGGAAUCAGAUAUUGCACUUUUUCUCUUCUUUUCCUCUCUAAAGGGAAAUUGAAAAUUAUUUUCCUUUUCUUUUUCUCCUUUUCCAAACAGCCUUCGAAUCUUACGAAAUAUCUAAAACAAAAGCCUCCUCCACAUUCAACCCUCCUAACAAUCUCCGUGAUGCAAAACCUAAUUCCCUAAUUCGGAUCAUAAUAUAUCUGUGUUCAUGAUUGACCUGGGAAAGCCCUAGCUCAGUUCAACCAAUUCGAUGGGCGAAGAAGUGAGGAUGAGUGAUAUUAACGGAGGUGAUGGCGGCGAUGACGAGCGAGUGCUCGAGUGGGAGGCGGGGCUGCCCGCUGCCGAUGAUCUGACUCCCCUAUCUCAGCCGUUGAUCCCUCCGGAGCUGGCGUCGGCGUUCAGCAUAACGCCGGAGCCGUGCCGUACGCUGCUGGAGGUGAAUCGUGCGUCGCAGAGUACGUUUUCGACCAUUCGAGGGCAGUCUCAUUCGUUCUCGUCGAACAAUUUCAAGUCUUUCAACGAGGAGCGAAACCGCGAGCCAGCGGUGGUGGAGCCGGAGGAGACCGGGGAUAGGGACGGGUCCGGGUCUGAGUCAAGGAAGGUGAGGAAAGUCGAUUGCGCCGAGGAGGCCGAUUCAGCGAUGAGGACGGAGAAUUCGAACGAUGAUCCCUCUGCUCGGACGCUGAAACGACCCCGUUUGGUUUGGACUCCGCAGCUCCACAAGCGAUUCGUGGAUGUGGUGGGGCAUCUGGGCAUCAAGAACGCGGUUCCGAAGACGAUUAUGCAAUUGAUGAACGUAGAGGGCUUGACUCGGGAGAACGUCGCCAGUCAUCUACAGAAGUAUCGACUUUACCUGAAACGGAUGCAGGGGCUGUCUAACGAGGGUCCAUCUUCGUCCGACCAUCUUUUCGCGUCCACGCCGGUGCCGCAGAGCUUGCACGAGUCUGGCGGAAGUGUGCAUGGGAACGGUCAUGGAAAUGGUCACAUGUCUGUUCCAAUUCCCAUGCCUUAUGGGCAGACGAUGAUGCACAUGCCCGUUCUUGGAGUGUCACAUGGCCAUGGCCAAAUGGGAAUGUCAGGUCCAGGUGGAUAUCAUGGCUACGAGUCUCAUCAUCCUUAUAAUAUGUUGCAGCAGAGAGAUUGGUCAGUUGUGUCGUACCCAAAUGUCGGUCCUAAUGAUCAAUAAGAUGAUACCCGAGGUGGCUUUCUUGAUCUUAUUAAAUUCUGUAUGCUCUGUUGUUAUUCUUUCUGAUGUUGAGUUAUUUGACGGUAAUAAAGAAAUGAUAUUGGUAUACACGGAUUGGAAUUGUGUCUGGGCGUGUCAAACUAGGACUUGCUUAUUCCAGACUGCUAAUUUGUGGCUAGGUUCGAAUGGUGUCCUCUAUGUUGCAUAAUCGUGUUAAAUUUUCCUGUUGUUAAUCUAGAUUAUGGAAGGUGCCAUUGCUUGGUGUGGUGGCAACUUCUUGGGGUUUCAAGUCUGUGAAUGCUGGAUGGUUUUGUAUUUUGGUCUAACACCAAUGUCAUCACCAUCCUCCCCCACAACCUGGAGAUGGUACGCCAUUAAAAUUUGAUAAUGAAACUGACUUUGCAGAAAAGGAAAAUUUUGUUGAGCUAGGAGUUGAGUAUUCUUAACUGUUGCUUUGGUUUGAAGUACAAGAUUUUCCAGGUAGACAGUGGAGGUAGUAAGCAAAUGCUCUUUAUAUGAGCUGAUUAUUUCUUUUGUGAUAGGUGCCUUUGUUUUCUUUCUAAAUAUACUUAACUUUCUUAUGGUUUUAUAAUUCUGGAUGAUUCUGAGUUUGUUUCUAUGGAGUUUUGACCGGUAAUGGAUUAUGAUGGCACAGAAAUGUUAAUGGAAACAAUGCACUGGGUUGAGAGGUGGGUGGCUUAGAGGUUAUUGAUGGAGGCACGCAUUUCAUGUUGCUCGAUUUCAUGUUCCUCUUCCUACAGCAAGUUAUCUAGCUUUAUGGGUUUUGUUGCUUUAUAAGAAAGUGUGUUAUAAAAGAGGACAGAGAUCAAGGAUUGGAUCAAGUAGAUGAUUGAGAUUUCUGUAGCUUCUUGGAUUUGUUUCUACUUUUAACUUAUUAAAUAUCAUUUGCAAGUUGUAUGUGUCAAUCUAGGAUAUGGUUUGAUAUUUACUGUUAUAUUAUGCACAAUAAGCACCUCCAUCAACUUUCUAUUUUGCCUUAUAUAGACUUUCAUUGAUAAGUUUUUACUGUGCUCUUAGUUCUUCUCUUUCUGAACGCUCUUAGUUCUUCUCUUUCUGAACUAAUCCAUGCUCACUCCACUCCUGCUGUUGACCCAAACACAAGGAUACUAUUCAAUUAUCUAUCAUUUCUGUUGCAGAUAGAGUGGCUUUUUAAUGCUUAGUUUUGCAGGUAAUUUCUUCUGCAAAUAUUUUCUUCCAAUCCAGUUUUGUUGAUUCAAUAAAUACAUUCUGAAUCUCUGAUUCAAGAAAAACUGCACACCUGUGUGUAGAAUUAGUCAUAUAUUUAUAUGGAUUAUUUCAUGUUACUUCAUUAAUUAUCCUCUUCAGUUUGGUUUACAAGUCUGUUCUUUUUUCUACUUACUGAAGACUAAGGUUUUAUACUGCAGCCAUAUUUCAUGAUGACAGAUUGAUGCAAUUAUUACCUUCUUUGGAGUGUUGUUUCACUAACUUCUCUCUCUCUCUUGCUUUGUCCCCCUCUUUUUGAGUUAUGGAAACUCUAUAUUUGCCUUGCCUAUUCUUGGUCAAUCAUGCUUUAACUAAUAGGUGUUAGUAUGUUACAUGCCAUUUGAGGACGUGGCAUCGUAUCUCGUGUAAGUUUCUCAUCCACUUUGUUCAUCAUUGCCAUUGUUGUGAAAAUAAUGACUUAUAAUUUCUAAUUAUAGUAUAAGAGAGCCUCUGCAUGUUUAAAACUGAAUGCAUAAUAAGGCUCAUAUAGUGCAAACUUAAGCAAGAAUGAGUUAAUAACGGAAAAUUUUGAAGUUUCUAGUGAUUGAAAAUCCUAUCAAUUACUGAAAUGAUUUGUACAAACUGAUGUCUUUGACCCUUACACAUAGUCAAUUGUAUCCUUCUGUGGUUUCUACUUAAAUGGCUGGAUAAGCAUUUCAGGUUAUAUGUUAUAUCUUUUGUCAUUCAACUUUCAUGGUUGCUUGAUUUGUAUUCUUGGACAUGAUAGAUGCAGAUAGGUUAUAUUUGGAUUAUGUAUGAAUCAGGCCAAAUAUCAAUCUUUCUCUUGGGUGUGUGUGUGUGGGUGUCUGUUCUUAGUUGCAUGAUAGCAGGAGGCUCCUGGUGUAUUAUCUCCAGCCUAGAUGAUGGCAAUCCAUAAAUACAUUCUUAACCUGUUUAUUAACUGAUAAAUGUUAUUCUCUCUCAUGUAUUAAUGGGUGUGUUGAACCUUCCUUUUCAGCAAUAAAGCAAAAGUAAGUUAGCAGGCUUUGCCUGCUGGAUAUUCAAUGCCUUCAUCACCUAUCUUUAUAAAGAUUCUUAUUCUGUUUCAGAAGCUUUGAAGUCAAUUGAUCGUCUGAUUUUUGUAACCUACUUUUCUUAACCCCUUCCAAGUUUCUGAGAUAAUUCCUUGUAAAGAUUUUGGUGUUUUAUCUUGAUAAAGCUCCUUGAUUUGUGGAAGUUAGACAUAUCUACUCUUUUAUGUUCUCUGUUCUUUUUCAGGGAUCUCCAAGGAUAAAAAAUAUUAGCUCUCCUUUAACAAUUACUGCAGGAGCCACAUCCGAGCUGUUGAUGUUAGCUCUGUGUGUGUUCGGCAAUUUUAUCUUUGAAGACUGAUUGCUCACUUAUUGUAACUGUAGCGAUGAUUUUGAGGUGGUUUUUAUGUGUUGUCUCUGUAAUAUUCUUAUUUCUUUCAAUGCUCUUCUAAAGAGCUAAAAUGGAAAAUGGGUUGGGUUAUCUUUGUUUUCUAGUUUGAAAAGUCAUCUAGGUGAUUAGGGUUUGGGGUAAGUGAAAUGAGUAAUGGAUUAUGCAAAACCUUUUCUUCUUCCUAAUAUUUUAGGGUCUGUUUGGAAAGUGUUCUUGGAAAUAGUUUUUUGUUCUUUAAAUAUAAAACAGUUUUCCAACUUCAAAAAUACGUUUGACAAACUGUAGAUUGUUUUUUGAGAAUUUGUUAUGAAAAUAAAGUAGAACAAAUCUGAAGUGUUCUUAGGUUUUUUUUUUUUUUUUUUGUAGAUUGUUCUAAAGAGACAAUUGGAAAUACAAAGAAUAGGUUGGGAAUUUUUGCAUUAUAUAUAAGUACAAAAUGCCUUCAUGGAAAAUGGCUCGAGAAAAUUAUUUUUCAUAUUUGAGUUUCUAAACAAUUUAUUCCUCAAAACAAUUAAGGAUUGCUUUGAAGAAUUGUUCUCAAAAAUUGAUUUUUGAAUGUUGUUUUAGAAAUGUUGCCCUCUUUUCCUAUUUUCUGUUUCGCUCUUUCCAAUAUUCUGUUCCCAUGGUCUCCACUCCUCACAGCUCCUGCAUAUCCCACUGCAUGAUGCUGCCAGAUUUUGAGGAAAGUGACGGUUCAUAAAUUUUAUGUUGGUUGACUUGGCCAAAGCUGUGGAGUUCUGGUACAAAAUUCUACUUGUCGUCUUUUGAUGUAACAAAGGAAAUGACCUUCAGAUUACGUAGAUGUGGCUAUGCUUCCUUUAGUUUGAAUAGUGGGGUAAAAUGUCUCUGCCUUUAUAAUCUAGUCCUAUACCAUGCGAAUAGUGGUGUCAUUUAUUGCAGUUGAUAGGGGAAUUCUGAAUGGAACUGGAUAGGCAUGUUCUCAUGAGUGCUUUGUUUUGCCCAUUGGAUUUUGAAGUCGUGUUUGUUUUAAUGCCUAGGUGCUUCAAGUAAAUCUACAAUGGAUGGCACAUGAUUAUUGAUCCAGUUAGUUGCACGGAAGGAGAGAUUUUUUCCCUUUACUUCUAACUUUGAGAAGCCCUAGGUUUUACUCUUACUCUUAGAAAUUCUACAAAAUUUUCAUUUGUGAUAGGCGUCCUUUUUCUAGUUGGAAAGUAGGAGGGAAAAAUAUUUGGUCUAUUUUGGCUUCCCUCCAACAAUGGAUUUAAGAGUGUUGUGGGAAGGACUAAGAGAAAGAGGCCUGGAUGUUGGGUGAACUAAAAAAGCUCUUAGCCAAGAUGAAGAAAGGAAGCAUUUUGCACCCAAGAAUAGUUUUGUAAGUGUUAGUGGGUCUGAAAAUGACAGGGAAAUAUGACUAUUUGCUAGGCAGAUUAGAUUGUUCGAUAUAAUAAAAAACAAGGAAAGCUGCAGAUUAUGGGAGAAGGACUUUAUAAAUCAGUGGUUAUUUAUCCCCACUUUGGGGUAGGUAGCCACAAUCCUAAUGGGGUUACACACUGAGUGUUGCUGGUGAAUAAUACUUCAAAUGUGCCAACAGUAUUCCACUAUUUUAUUUUGUAGCAUCCAUGAGCAAUGGAUAGGGAUGACCGUACCCUGCAAGUGGCUACUUUUUUAAUUUCUUUUGGGUGGACAAGUUGAUCCUUAUUACAUCCAACAAGGUCUUGGCAACAGGUAAAGUGAUGUUUUGUCCAUUAAUUAAAUAGUGAACUUUUGUUGCUUGUCUAGUAGAGUGAAUUUUAGCACCCUAUUUUGUCAGUUUGUAUGGGGCGUGUUCUAUGCUUUGGGAUAUCUAAAGCAGUAUUUUACAAAUGGUUGCAUCACCUAGCAGAGCUACAAGAAGGUGUACAUGAUGUUCUUAGCUCCUCCUAGGUUUGCCUCUUAACCGACUGAGAAUCACAUCAUCACAGCUAAAUGUAAAUUCUUUAGCAUGUGUCUCCCAUCCUAUCAGGAAUGUAUUAAAAUAGAUUUAGGAUUUGCCAAGAUUGAAAGAUAAGCUUUUAGGACCUGAAUUGUAUAUUGCUGAAGAAGAAGAAGAAAUUUUGUUCCUGAAACUAGAUGGGACACAGUAAGAUGAGACAGUGUAAAGUUUUUACUAUCCAGAGUAAGAAACUUGGAAGAGCUAGCAUGGAUUUUACUGGCUAUCUUAAGGACUAGGAACAGCCAACCUUUUUUAAUUUACUAGAGAAUAGCCAGAAAGACUAAAACUUGGAAGAGCUUCUAGUAGAAUCUUUAGAUUUUGAGGCAUGAAAAUUUCAGAUUCUGGUACACAUCUCUGUGCGUUUAUUAGACCCAACCCUCACUCUUUGGGUGAAUGCUGGAUGCAGAACUGCAAUUGCCAUCUUGAAAUGCAAAUUAAUAUUCACAUUCUGCCUGUUUUAGUUAUGGUUGUGGAAACUUCUAGAUCCUUGGUUAUGACUCUUAUGAGAGAUUUAAUAUAAAGCUUAAUCAAAGUUCAAUGGCUGAGGCAAGGGGAACCUCUUCUCUCUAUUUAUUUGUUUUGCUGAUGGAAACUCUCAGUUGUCUUCUAAAAAGAGCUAGGGAAGGGGUUUCAUCCCGGGUGUCAUUGUUUGCCAAUGAUACUUGUAUCUUUUGAGGGACAUGCAAAGAUGAAAUGUUCUAUCUCAAUUGGACUUUAAUGUGGUUUGAAGCAAUUUUUAGCUGAAAAUUAAGUUAGAAAGAGUGAGUUAAUUUCAAUUGGGGCUGUUACUAAUGUGGAGGAGCUGGUGGUUGUCUUGGGGUGUAGAGUAGCUAGUGGAGCUUCCUUCCAAGAAUGUGGGUCUGCCUUUAGGAGCUCCCUACAAAUUGUUGGUCAUUUAGAAUGUGGUGGAAGAUUUAGAGAAGGUUUGCAAUGUGGAGCAACAAGGGCGGGGGGGUGGGUGGGGGGUUUAUUCUGGGUUGGCUCUUGGUGAAAUUCUUGACCGAUUGUUUGUGUAAAAGAGAGGAGGGUUGGGUAUUCAUAAUCUAACUGUUCCCAAAAGACGGAAUUGGAGGUUUGUGUCAGAAAGGAACCUCUAUGGAAGUAGGGUAUUAUUGAUAAAUUUGGAGAAGAAGGGGAUGGUGUUCUUUAGAGGUGAGGGGAUGGAUUUGGGGUAGAGUAAUGGAAUGCAAUUAUAGGAGGGUGGGGAGUUUUUGAGAGUAAAAUCAGUUUUAGUGCGGACAAUGGAAGGGAAUGAAAUUUUGAAAGGGUAUAUGUUGUGGUGAUCAUCUUUUUUAACCUUCUUUAUAUGCUCUAGCUACUUCAAAGGAUACUUGGGCAGUAGAUGUGUGAGAACAUGCUAAUGACGGGGCAUUGGGCUCUCGGGUUUCUUAAGACAGCUCCAUGAUUUGAAGUUGGAUAGUGUUCCAAGUGUUCCUAUUGAGGUUGGAAGGAAGAUCAGUAUAUAGGGGUAAAGGAGAUAGGGUGGUGUAGGUGAUAUUGGAACCUUUUCUUGUGGAUGAUAUUUUUGGGAUCCAUGGGUUCCAAUGAAAGUGGGUGUUUUUCUUUCCUAGGAAGCAGGUUGGAAAAAAUUCUUGACUUUGGAUCGGUUAAAAGGAAGAGAAUGGACUUUGGUGAAUGGAUGUUUUAUGUAUGAAGAUAAGAAACAAUCUGUGGAGCACAUCCUCUUCAUCGUGUUAAGCAAGAAUUUUAUUGUAGUUAGUAUUCUCCUUGUUUAUAGUAUUGAGUGUUGAAUUCUUUAUAUUGAACCUUCUAAUUUGGGCGUUGAUCCCUCGUCGGAAAGAAAUGGAAGAUGGCAUGGGAAAGUAACUCCUCUAUGCUUGUUUUGAACUACUUGGAAGGAAAGAAAUUACAAAUCAGGUGACGACAUGGAACAUGUUGAUCAAGAACUUAAAAACAUCUUUCAUAUAUAAUUUUUUGGAAUGGGUAUGAUAGACUAUGGGGAUUAGUCAGAUUGAAAAGGGGGGGAAAGUGGUUUUUUCUUUCUCCUUUUAUAUUCUUCUCUUUUUUGGCUCUUGCAUUCGUGAGCCAUUUUGACAGAUGGUUUAAAUAUAUUUGGUUACGCCUAAAACCGGAAACAAGGGCCAAAAAUACAUCGUGAUUGCAGUUGAGGGAGGAAUGAAGCAGUUAUUAUUUGAAUCUCCCAAAGUACAGAGAAGAUGGAAGAUGACUGUCGUAACCAAAACAAAACGCCUCGAUAUUAGGCUACUAACAAAUAGUCACCUUACUAAGUGUGCUUAAAACAAAAUAUCUUUGAUAUGUUUUCAUGUUAAAUACUAUGUUAGCAGCAUCAGUACUGCAAUAUCUAAGCUGAAUGUCAGUCUCCCAUUUAUGAGAUUGAUAAAAGCAUCCACAAAAUUUGAAGUUCCCCAACUUUUCCCCUUACCUCAACUUUUACAAAGUUUUUCCGAUUUAAGGAUCUUCCACGAGUGCUGCACAUUGUAUUCAUUCAGAUUCAACCUGAUCUUCUAAACCCAUCUUGCCACUCAAUUGCUCUCAAAUCCAAAUGUUCCCAGCAGAAACAACCUACUACAUCAAAGAAGCUGUCGGAUAGAAAAUAAGUUGGAGUUCAGCACUGGAAGCUUCAAUGUGGUGAGGAGAUAUGAAUGCAUCCAGCAUGAGGCAUGAGGAUGGUCCGCUAGGCGCUUCAUACUUAUUUCUGAUCUGCGCCAAGAAUUCUGGGAAACCCUCAAGCUAUGUUUGUCUCAGACAGCCUCUAUCCAACUGCACCCGGGAAAUUUACCGAACUUUCUUUGCUUCAUCAUCUUCUUCAUCUUUGCUGCAUUCCCCCAACGACCAGCAUCAGCAUAUAAAUUUGAUAACAACAAACUGCUUCCAGGACUCUCAGGUUCAAGCUCAAACAGAUGCUCAGCGGCUACUUCUGCAAGUUCUAUGUUCCCAUGAUUCCUGCAAGCCCCUAAUAAUGCUCCCCACACAAACUUAUCAGGCUCAACAGGCAUUGCCUUGAUCAAAUCAUAAGCCUCAGAAAGCUUUCCCGCUCGGCCAAGAAGAUCCACCAUGCAUGCAUAAUGCUCUAGUCUCGGCUCAAUCCGGUAUUUUUCUUGCAUCUUCCGGAACAGACUUUCUCCAAGUUCGACCAUUCCAGCAUGACUACAAGCAUUGAGGACUGCUGUGAAGGUCAGGUGAUCAAGUUUUGUAUCACUCUCCUCCAUCUGAUUAAAAAGCUCAAUUGCUUCAUUGCAGUAUCCAUGAUUUGCAUAUCCAAAAAUCAAGGAAUUCCAAGUGACUGUGUUCCUCUCCGGCAUCAUAUAAAAUAAGAUCUUUGCUUCUGAUAUAUAACCGCAUUUUGCAUACAUGUCUACAAGAGCACUCCUAACAUACACAUCUUUCUCAACUCCGAUCACCAUGGCAUACCCAUGAAUUUCCUUCCCAUGCCUCAGGUUUGCAACAUUUGUACAAGCAGGCAGCAGACUACUGAUGGUUACCGAACUGGGGCAGAACCCUUGAUCCAGCAUCUCUUUAAAUGCAUCAAAACCCUCAUGGUUGUGGAAGUUCUGCACAAACCCAGAUAUUACUGAAGUCCAAGAUACCACAUCAGGCUCAACCCCAUUGGCAGUCAUCAAACGAAAAACUUCAGAGACCAUUGAUUUGUCCCCCACCUGCGAAAAUCCUGCGAUUAAGGUAUUCCAUGAUACUACAUUGGGCUUAACCCCUGCUUGUUGCAUUUUCUGCACCAAGUUCAGUGCUUCGUGCACAAAUCCAUGUUGGGCAUAGCCUGAAACCAUGGCAUUCAUCACCACCAAAUCUUUGUCAACUAUCCAAUCAAAUACCCGGCACGCCUUUUCAACAUGCCCACAUUUUGAGUACAUAUAAAUCAAUGCACUGAUGAUAUAAGCGUCAGAUUCAAAUGAAUUCUUCAGGAUUACAGUAUGCAUAUUCUCUCCAGUUCGUCGAUCAGAGAGAUGUCCACAGGCUUUGAGAAUGCUGGGAAGAACAAACUGGUUCGGUCUCAGGCCUUCUUUCUGCAUUUCUGAGAAAGCGCUCAAAGCCUCCUCAUAAAAGCCGCGACGAGCGCAGGCCCCAGUCAGGACAAUCCAACGACGAAUAUUCGUGUUGGGAAUUUUAUCGAACAGUUUCCGGGCGUUAGAUAAUUGCCCGCACUCAGUGUAGAAAGACAUGAGCUUGGCGGCAAAAUAGGUCAACCGAGCCAACCCAAUGAUGACCAGAUGAGCAUGCAGUGCUCGGCCACGGUACAACGCUCGAUCACGAGCGUACAUGUCGAUGGCCUUUGCAUAGGUAUCAGAAGAUGAUUGAAAUGUGCGGUGGGUGCUGAUAUUCCGAUAGACCCUAUAGACAUUUGCUCUGUUGAUGAGACUCUGCAUUGCAGCAGCAGCAGCCAAUGGCGUCGGCUCGAUUCAAUUUCAGCUAAGAUAUGAAAUAUAUAAUGUACCCUCCUCAAAUGAUGGGUUCCACUCAGGGAGAUGUCUACAACCAAUCUGAUAAGGGAAUAGCACAAAUGGGAAGAGCAUAUCACCAGUAAUCCCCACAAGAACAGCAGCCCUGCUUGAAGUGGUGAAACCUAUAAUUGUCCUUCAAUACUAUAUAGCGGUCUGUAAUUCUUGAGAUAUACUUCAUAGUUGAAUAGCAAUCCAAGCAGACACGAAGGUUCUUCAAAACACGAAUUGGUUUUCCAGGAGGCAAGCUUAAAAGGCCAAAACAAACUGCAAGCUUUUCGCUGUGAUAUAAGAUCAGUUGCUCCUUUGGCUGUCUUGAUUCCGGGUGAAGGACUGUUGUUGUAGGAGGGGAAUACCCAAUGUCUUGUAUCUGUCUCACUAGCUGCUUCAGCUUCUCAUAUACUUUUGGCAUUUCAGGGUGUGCUUUAUCAUGGGAAAAGAAUUUGUACAUCUUGUUGUUUACUUCAAUCCAGCUACAUCCCGGUUCUUUUGAAAUUUCCUUCUGUUCCAUUAACCUUCUCUGAUUCUCAGCAUCAGCCCAUCUCCCUACUUCAGCAUACAUGUUUGAAAGGGUGACAUAAACGGUUGCAUCAUUUGGUUCUAAGUCUAGUAUCUUCUCAGCCACAUAUUCUGCCAUUUGAAGGUUACUGUUGUAUCGGCAAGCUGCAAGCAAGGGUCUCCAUAUUGAAGCAGUAGGCUUCAUUGUCAAUUUCUUGAUGAAGUCUAGUGCAUUUUCUAGUUGCCCAGCUCUACCCAGUAUGUCAACCAUGCAGCUGCAGUGCGUCUCCUCUGGUUGGAUGCUGUAAUCUUGCACCAUGGAUUUAAAGAACUCUUGGCCCUCUUGAACUAAGCCAGAGUGGCUACAGGCAGAAAGAACUGUGAGGAAAGUUGCACUGGUAGGCUUGUUUCCUUCUUCAAUCAUCUUCCUGAGCAAGAAUAUAGCUUUCCAUGGAUCCCCAUUUUGUGAGUAGGCUUUAAUAAUUGAAUUCCAGGAUACCACAUCUGCAUCUGAGAUCUGAGUGAAAACCUGCACUGCAUUUUCUAAACUGCCACACUGUGUAUAUGCUUCUAUUAAUGAGCUUGCCACAUGCAAGUUCGACUCAACGUUGGAUUUUAUUAGCCGAGAAUGGAUCUGCACAGUAGUUGCAAGUGAUGGAAAAGAAGAACAAGCCUUAAAGAUAUUUGAAUAGGUGAAUUCAUUACAUGCAACAUCUUCUUUAACCAUUCUGCAAAAUGCUUCCAUUGCCUUCUCGAUCUUUUCAUUGAGGACGUACCCUGCUAUUAGAGCAUUCCAUGACACAUUAGAUGCUGCCCUCCCCAUCUGUUUGAACUGGUUCUCUGCUUCAUCCAUUUCCCCAAGUCCUGAAUACAUGUCUAUAAUGGCAGUCCCCACAAAGACACCAGAUGCCAUGCCCUUUUUAAUGACUUGGGUAUGAAACAUACGGCCAUCAAUGAAAUCCUUCACACAACCACAAGAUGCUAGAACAAUUGAAAAAGUGAACUCAUUUGGCUCAAUCCCACUUUCUCUCAUCAUGCUGAACUGCUUCAGUGCCUUCUUGAAGUCACCAUGCUGGUAAAACCCAUUUAUGCUUGCAGUCCAAGAGAUAAUAUUCCUUUGCCCAAGAUUCUCAAACACAAUCUCAGCCUCUUCCAUCAUCCCACACUUGCUAUACAGUGUCAAAAGUGCAUUGCCCACUGCUGUUUCAGAUAAAUACUGCAUCUUCACAACAUGGGCAUGAAGCUGUUUUCCUUCUUGGAUCGCUGAAAUAGUCCCACAAACUGCUAGCAUGGUUGAAUACGUGUAAUGGUUUGGCCGAGUACCCAUAUUCCCAAUUUGCAUGAAGACUUGAAAAGCUUGAACAAAGAAACCAUUCCUUGCAUAAGCAGAAAUCAAGCAAUUACAUGUAGCAGCAUCCAAACUAGUCAUCUUAUCAUAUACUCUCACCGCACUGUCCACUUCUCCGCAUUUGGCAUACAUGUCAAUAAGACUAGUACACACAAACUCAUCACUACCAAGUCCAAUUUUCACCACAAAACAAUGCCAUCUUCUGCCAAGUUCAACACACCCUUCACGGCCACAAAAGCUUAAAGCACUAAACACAUAUUGCCUAUGUGGAAAACCACCACCAAACUCAACAUGGGGAGUCUCAUUUCUUGUGAAAAAACCAGCUUCUUUCACACCCUCUUCAGGAUCAUCCGUACACCCACUGCGAUGGGACUCAGUAAUUGAAACACCUAUCCGUUUGGGAGUUUUUUCAAACAGUAUACAAGCAUUGUUUAAAUCCACCCAUCCUCCGACAACAUUCCCCUUCGACAUACACCCUUUAUAAGGACCUGACGCAGAGAUUAUUGGGUUGAUGUUCUUUUGAAGAUCAACAGCGAUACAGCCAGGAAGUAAAGAACAGGUAGGCCAGCUGCUGCUAUAACACUUCAGUGGUGAAGCCAUGCCACCCACCUGAUCAAACCAGUAGUCUUUUGCGAGAAAAAUGGAACUCUCUUAAUAGGUUGCAAAUUUUGCUUGGAAAAAUUUACCAAAUUUUCUUCUUCCACUGCCCUUUAGAAUUUUUGGGCCGUUGCCGUUUGGCCAUGUAUCACUUUAUGUGGCGAAAAAUUGUAUAAAAAUAUAAUUAUAUUCAAAAAAAAAAUUAUGCCAAAUGAAGUUUGAUUUAAUUUUCUAAUAUUUUUAAAUAUUAUAAUUUUUAUACUAAGAAGUUUUGAGUUUUGAUUUUUUUUAAAAUAAUAAUAAAUUUUAUUUAUUCAUUUGAAAUUUAUUUGCUUAAUAAAAAAAAAUUUAAAAUAAACAUGUAUAAUUUUUUUUAAAAAAAUCAGAUUUAAAAUUUUAUAUUUUAUAAUUAUAAAUUUUUUUCUUUUGUUUUUCAAAAUUAUUGAAAACAACUGAAAAUAAAAAAAAAAAUCGUAUGUUGUUAUGAAUUUUUUAAAAUAAUUUUUUAUUUUUAAAAACAAAAAUUUGUUUUUAAAUUAUAAAACAGAUUGUACCUUUUUGUUUUUUGGUUUUAAAAAUGAUAAAUAAAACUAGGCCUUUUUCCUUUUUCUUUUUUUUUUCUUUUUUUCUAAAAAGCUAUUUUAUUUUAUGGCAUUUUCAAAUAAUUAUUUAAUUAUUUUGUACUUAAUUUUAAUUUAUAAAACACUGCUAACUGUAAAAGACCGUGGAGUUGGGAACCGCAAUAUGCUAUGUAAAAGCACAGCCACUCGUGGGAAGAAGAUGGAGAAGACGGAGAAGAAGAAACCAGAAACGUAAUCCAAACGCCAUGAAAUGAGAUUAUAAAACACCACCUCAUGAACAUGCAUGGAAUCACUCUUCCCUUAGCCCUGCAGCUCCAUUUUUCUCCUCCUCUUUUCUACCUACAAAAUCUACCCAAAUCUUCAUUACCCAUUUCCAGAAUUGCCUCUGCACCCCAUUUCAAUCCUCUCUUUUUCACUCCAAAUCGCAGAAACAAUGGUAAGAAUAAGAGGAGGAAUAGUACUCUUUUGAAGGCGAGUCGCAGAGAGUCUCCGUAUGAGGUGUUGGGGGUUUCUCCUUCUGCUAGUCCUGAUCAGAUCAAGAGGGCUUAUCGGAAACUCGCUUUGAAGUAUCAUCCCGAUGUCAAUAAAGAGGUAUUCUUUUGAUACAAAUUAGAGAAAUUUGAUAUGGGUGUUUCUUGUUUUUAACUUACGGUUCGUUUUCUUGAAUUAUAAUGAAACCAAUUUGGAUCUUCCAGCUUUUCAUGUCUGCAGAAGUGAGUUACAUUUUUGGAUCGUGUGAAAUCCAGUGACGUUUUUUUAACUCUGAUUGAUUCCAUCAACCCUCAAUAGCAGUGAAAAACUUGAGGAAAAUUAAAGGAAAUCAUCUAUAAUUAGGAUGAACUCCAAUUUUGUGUUUGUGGUAUGUGGAGAGGGUUAGAGCUGUGGGUACCCAAAAAUGGGUAAUCUACUAUUUCAUUGGGGACCGGAUAAUAUUGAAAAUACAUGCCUUUCCAUGACCCAGUAUAACCAACUGAAAUUCUCUCAAACAAAUUAAAAGAAACUCAAAUUCGUUGAUUUGCUGCAAUCAUUGCCUAGAUCACAUUUUCUUUUAUAGCUUCCUUAUUUCUCUGGAACAUUCUUCUUUGUUUUCUAGCUUGCCAGGAAUUUGUAGCAUAAUUGAUGGGCAUGUACCUCAUUCACAAGGGUUGUUCUUUAUGUGGCUAAUCUUCAAUCUUUAUGUUCUUUAGGCAGCCACCUGGGGAAAGCAAUCUUGCUUUCCAUAGUGAUUACUUAUAUCCUACUCAAAGUUCCUUCUUUCUUUUUGUUGUGAUUGUGUAAAGCUCAAAGGUUCUACAUGCCUCGGUUCAUGUGGUGUUCCUGACCUAACAGCAUGUUAGUAUGUAGUAUACUAGUAUGUCAAGCAAAGCACCUGUAAUGAAGUUGCAUCCCUAAUGGAGUUCUUAGCACCCAUGCAUGUAAGAACCAUGAGCCCAUCUUUGCAAGAAGGGAAAACAUAUUGAUUUUUCUUUACAGUGAACAUACAUGAGAAAUUUAAUGGAUGAAACAAAAGUUCCAAGUGCAGUUUUAUCAAUUUUCUUAUCAUGUGUUUGAUGCAAAGGCUCGAUGCACUUCACUUUGUAUGCUAUACUUGCUAUAUCUGGGAUCUGUUUAUUCCUUUCCAAGGCCUUCUUCAUAGCUUGUGUGAACAAAUGGUAGAAUGAAAUCAAUAUUGCAUAACCUGAAUCUGUUUCUUCCCUGUUUUCCUUUCUGAAUCUCAGGGCUUUAGUUUUCUGUAAAUGUUUUGAGUAUCUCAAAGUUUUUGGUUUACAGGCAAAUGCACAGGAGAAAUUUAUGAGGAUAAAGCAUGCAUACAAUGCAUUGAUGAACUCUGAAUCUCGGAGGAAAUAUGACUCUGGAAGUCGUGCAUCCAACUAUACCUAUUCUAAUGCCGAAAGAAACCAAAGCAGGGAUACCCAAGAAGAAGAGUUCUAUGGAUUUGGUAAAAACUUUUGCCCCUGAAAUCCAUUUGUUCUUAUAUUCUUAUUGUAUUUAUGCCUUUACAUGUGAUGGGUGUCCAUCUACUUCAAUGCUUACUCCUUUAAAUAGUAUAUUGAUGAUUUUAAGGUAGCUGCCUUUAGACGAGAAUUGCUUCCUGCCAAAUCGACAGAGAGCAUGGGACUGACAUGCUUUUAGUUGUGUAGUUAAAUAAAAACAUCUAUGGCUCAGUGACCAAGUAGAUUCUGCUAACUAUGCUACAAAUCAUUUCCAUUUGGAAUACUGAUAACAGUGCCUGGAAGAACCUGAAAUGUUUGGAUGACCAAAUCAGACCAAUUUAUCACAAAGGAAAAUUCCCAGAUCAAAUCAAUUGACUGGGUAGUUGCGUCCUUCUAUGUUAAAUGCACAUUCAAAUGGUUCAUUGUUAGGCUCUGGUGUCUAUGGCAUUGGUAGCUUUAGUUUUCCCAUUGCUCAUUCAUAUUCCAACUGUGUAUUUAUCCCCAAAUAUGCUGAUGGAGAGAUUCUUUCCUCAUUCUUCAGUGCAUCUUACCCUUGCUUAUGAGUGAGGUAUUUUUGUAUGUUCUUAUACUUAACCCCUUUAUGCUGCAGGUAAUUUUGUGAGGGAUGUUCAAAUGACAGUAGGUAGAUAUGUCCUCCCAUGAUACAAUGCAAGAGCAAUUAAGUUGCAUCAUUUCAAAUCUUUACAGGCGCUGUUUUGUUUUUCUUUUUUUCAUACGGAGAUCACUACCUGCUCUGUUCUAGUGCUUAAGCAUGGCUUUGAUGUUACAGAGGACUUCUUUAGGGAUCUUCAAGAAGAAUUCCGGAACUGGGAAGCCAGUGCUGCUUCACAAGGGAAGCCAAAGAGCCUGUGGGAGGAAUUAGCGGUGAGAUGUUAAUGUCUUUUAUCGUUUCACUUUAUAUGAAACCAAAUAAUUAUGUGCAAGUGUUUUGGUUUGUUUUGAAACUCACAAGGGAAAGGAUUUGAGGAUAAAACCACCUCACUUGUAAAAUCUGCAUUUUAACAGGAAAUUGGUGAAGAGUUUGUGGAAUUUUUAGAGAAAGAGCUCAACAUCACUGACUCGGAAGUUGAAGCAGAGGAAUAUGGAGGGUCUCAGAAGGCAAAUCCAUUUACAAGUUCUGAAACAGGGACGACAGGAGGUGGUGGUCAAAGUAAAGGCGGUCAAGGGAGCAGCAUUGAAGAAAAUAUUGAUGAGAUCGAAGCUACUCUUGCUAAGUUGAAAAAGGAAUUGGGCCUAUAGGAGGAAAUGCAGCUGCAUUAAAUCCUUAGAAGAUAUAAAUCCGAAAGACAAGUUCUUUGUCGUGUUGGAAUGAGUAGAAAAAUGGCUGAUUAGUGGAAAUCCAGCUUACAUAACUAUAGUCCAAUUCUUUGAAGGCCUCAUUCAUCACAGAGAAGAGUUAUGAAUGAAGGUUCUCUCAGCUGUAAGUCAUUGAAGCACAAAAGCAUGAAGUAAUCAUCACUUAAGAUAUGGGCUUAUACAUCUGUUUUCCUCUGUAAACAAAGCUCUCCAUCACCUACGAUUGAAUCCUUGACGAUUUCCAUUGGGGUCUCUGUCCUUUCAAGCAUCAGUCUUUCUGCGAACAAUGUCGACGAAUUCUCUGUGCAGCACUCUGAUGAUCUGUAUUGAAUUAUUCAUCCUUUCCUACCAAUAAAUGGCUUGAGCUUGGUUCCAAACUUUUCGGUUUACCUGGUAUUUUCAUUCCUUUUUGUUGUCACUUGCAAUGAGGCCCGGAUUCAUGCAGGAGCAAGAAUUUCCAGUAACACUCCUCUGCAUUUUCUCCUCUACUUCUGCUACACACUGAGAGCUAUCAAAAUAAUUGGUUCUGGCCCUUCCCGAGGAAUAUGGAUCUCCAUUUUUACUUGAGCUAUCUGCCUGCCGAGAGCUGGGUUUGCCUCCCGUUAGGGGUCCUAGGCAUCAGGAAAAUGUAUGCGUAUUUUUAUGGAUUUAAUCUAUCUCUUCGUUUUGCCUUUCAAGAAAAAGCUUUAUGAGAAAAAUAAGAAUCUAGGGGGGGAAAGAAAUGGAUAAUGCUCACAGGCAGUGUGACUUUUUCAUACCAAAUGAGGUGCAAAUAAUAACAAAGUAAAAUGAAGAAGUUAUAAUUUCCUGACUAACAGAAAGGUUACAGAAAUUUCUAAUUUCCAUCACACAGAAUUUGAGUUUCACUAAUGAAAAUAAAGGCUUUCUUACACAAAAUAUAACAGGUUGGAUCAUCCCGAAUCACAAUCCCCCAUAAAAUCUAGUCCUUACAGAGCCAGAAAAUAAUGUAACACAACAUAUAGAAAAUAUUAUUUCCCUAGAAUUAGAACAAAUAACUAGUUCUAAUUUCUAAGUAACUCAAAAAAACACAAGAUCCAGGAAAACCCCAAGAGUUAUUCCGAUGCCUAAUGGCGUUAAUACACUAAGCAUUAACGUACUAGGCAAAGCAUUGAACCUACAAAUCUUUCAAAAUCUCUCUCCAAACCGGAAAAAUACUGCACCAGUACCAGAGUUAUGAUCAACAGCAUACUCAGCUCGUACAAGACCUAGCUUGGCACCAACACCAUAAGAGGAACCAUAACCCAUUCUCCGGUAGACUUCAGUUGGGUUCCCCUUUACAUCCUUUGAACUUCCUAGAUCAUUUCCGUGUUCUGCAAACGCAUACACGUGUGUAUUUCUUACAGGUAUUCGUAGCUCAGCUGCCACCUGCAUAUGGCAUUGGAAACAGGGUGUCAAAUGUUUAUUCUACAGCAACAAAAUCAUAAGCAUGACCAUCUUGAUGAAAUGUUAGCAUAUUUGCAACAACCCUAGCUUUUGCAAUGUUCAUUGAAUGUGAUGCUCAUCUCCAGUAAGUCCUACCUCAAGGAUAUUUCUAGCAGCACCCAAUUCACCCAUAUUGUAACCUCUCACAGAAUAAGGCCCUCCAAGUGCAAAAGCAUCAUAGCUUGGAAGGUCACCAACACAACCACCAUAGUGGCCAUGAAGCACUAGCACUGGUGGUGGUGGUUUACCAGCACCUUCCUCUACUUGCUUCAACUGGAUAAAUCGGGUCAAUGUAAGCUGGUGGCGAUUGAAAAAUGGGAAGUUGCUCCCUACACCGAGGCCUUGGUCCACCUGCAAUUUAUUUUUAUGUAAAUAAGCACAUUACUGGGGAGAAAUCAUGUUUUGCUGCAUGUGAAGGUCACAUUAAAUGAAAGACACCAUAAGUUCUCUUAUAUGAUGGAGAAAGGAGCUGUUUUUCAAAUUGUCAGUUUAAACAUUGCCACCUCCAUAAAGCUGGGGAUUUCAACAUACAAAUUAUAAAACUGUAUUUUAUCCAUUAAACACAGGAAGAUAGCUCAUGCGCAUCAGAAAACUUAAUAACUAUUUUACUCUAUCUAGUCCCUAUAAGGGGUCAAAAAUGCUCAAUAUGUGAAAGAGAUCUAUAAUAAAAGCACUGUGCAGUGGAAAAUGUGAAGGAAAACAGCAACACUAGGACUUUUUGUGUACACAAAAGCAUGGUGACAUUUGAAAUGCUUUUCCACAAGCUUGUAGUCCUGGAUUGAUAACAAAUACAGCAGCUAUUUACACUGCAGUUAUUCAGUUCCUAAUUCUAGAACUUCUAGCAAAUACAGCACAUCCAAGCUGUACAAUCACCAAAGAAAUGACAUGAAAGGAGAAAAAAUAAAUGAGCAAAUGGAACUCACCUGAAAUACAUUCCUCUCACCAACUAUAGCUCCAUUUACAAACUUGGUGUUAUCCCGAGUGAUAUUUGCCUGUGCAAAUGCCAUUCGGUCAAUGCCAGUGCCACUGAGGGUUGUUGGAGGUCCAUCUGCACUGAUACCUCCACUGGGCAAUACCCUUUGUCCAUUGGGAGAAAUGUGACUACUUUCAUCACGUGUUGUUAUCUCUUCCAUAACGAGUCCAUAAGUGAAUUUGCUCUGGCGAGUGAAGUUCUGCGAGGCAAGCAAUCAAUCAGGAUAGAGAAGUAUAAACCAUUAUAUUAGAAACCAUAUAUUAAAAACUUCUAUAUUACAAACCACAAAGCAUCAUAUAUGAUAACCAAUGUAGUCUACCUCUGUAAUAUUGGCUUUGAUGCCAGCACGGUCAACCCAUAUAGGAGGAACUUCAUCCACUCCAGGCCCACCGGUGAAGACUGGACUUAGUUUUCGGCUGUUGAAGCAGCUUGCACGGAGGGUACGAUUGCGAGCAUUAUAUACACCAUCCAGAUAUGGAUGCACAUACUCGAGCUUAAAAGCAAGGUCAUCCUGAGGAAAACAUUUGCUUGAAUGUUACUAUGAUGCAAAAUUUCAAAAUACCAGAUAUAAAAGGGAAAAGUGUGUUUCCAUACACUCAUUUGAAAAAAACCACAAAAUAGGAACUCAAGUUUAUAAAAUACAAAUUUCAAGCACCUAUCUAAAAAUAAUUAGCAUUUCAUGCACUUUUUUUAUCAAAGGCACUACCUUUGACCAUUCAGGUACCACCUUUGACCAUUUAGAUACUACCUUUUAAUAAUAUAUGUACUACCUUUGACUAUGCAUGAAACUUGAAUUAUUUUUAGAGGGUCCUUAUUUUGUAAUUAAUUUUACACAAGUGUGUGGAAACUCACUUUUUUCUUUUUAAAAAUAUUUAAAUAAGAUAAGAAUAAACCCCAUUUGACUGCUGAGAAAGUUGAGAAAACAGAAAAGAAAAAAAAAUGUUGCAUUUUAUGUUUUAUGUUCUUUGGCUCUCAGCAACCAAACCAAGCAGAGCAUCACAUGGCAAAUUUACCUGGGGAUUGAGGAAGUUGCUAGUAGUUACUGAACCGAGAAUAGAUCUGUUGAGCCCUUUAAUAUUACGAUGCUCAAAACUAACAGUUCCACCGGGCUGGAUUGAUGCCUGAAAAGACAUUUUACAUUACAUUAACUAGCUUUGAAUUUCCUUUUAAGCAAAUAUAAAACUUCUUUAUUUUGUAGGAAUUAACUAGACAUUACCAUCAAAACCCCAAAAUGCAUAAUGUUUGACAAAUAAAUUAGACAUAGAUGAUCGGGCAUAUACAUACCAAUGUGGGACGUCCUCCACGUCCAGGAACAAUACUCCACUCUGAACUCACUUCAGCUGUCUUCUGUUCUAGUUCUUUAAGCUUUAUUUCCACAAUGAUCCCACCCUCAUUCUUCUCAUCAGGCCGUGGGUUAACUUCAAUGUUAGAGAAUAAAGCAAGAGAGUUUAUAUUCCUCAAAGCUUGUUUCCCAGCUUCUAUGUUAAAAACAUGGCCUUGUCGAAGCUGUAUACCAAAAUUUCAAAGGCACAUCAGAUAGAUAAAGAAGUCAACAAUCACUCUUGUAUGAAAUAGAAUUACUUUUUUCAAGAAAAAUAGAAUUAUAAUUUAUAUAAUAUAGUCAUAUAAUAGUUUGAUAUGAUAUAUUGAUAUAAUGAAAGAGUUUCUUAUCAGAUGUUCUAAAAGAAACAUAUACUUAACAAAGCAAAACCCAUCAGCAUUUUGGGAAAUUCACUCUUUCAUCUUAUAAGUAAACAGUAGACAAUAAACAGUCAACCUCCCAUUGAUUUUGAUGAAUAAUCACCCAUUGGAAGUAAAGAAUAUAAGAUAUAAAUUAACAAAGCAAAACCCUCUACCGGCUUGAGCAAUUCAUUCAUUCAGCCCAUAUAUAAACAGCAAAGGAAUCAUCCAAUUCAAAGCUUUUGAUCUUUUCUUUCCUUUUGAUGCCACCUAUUGAAAAUUUGAAACUAACAAUAUAUAACCCAACAGAGUGAAAUCAUUUACCUGUUUGGGCAAUUCUCGCCUUACAACUGGAAAUUGGGUGUUCCCCUCAACCACAUUUCCAAGCUUAUCUUGAAAUUGUAUGACCAAUUGUGUAAUGUCCCCUUCAACCACCUCACAAACAACCUCUCUCGUAUUCAAAUUCCCGAAAUUUACAACCUGGGCACAGGCGUACCCCUCAUCAUGAUACCAUUUCUGGACGCGGUCCCUUAUCUUCUGCAGCAACCUCGCACUCACCUUUCCCUGAUCCCUUAGCAUCUGCAGAAUCUCCCGGUAAACCGGCAUUGGCAACAAGCAGGGCCUAGAUUUGUCAAUUCUCCUCUUGUAAUCUUUUUCUUGAUUCCGGAAAUACUCCAUCUUCUCUUUGUCUGUCAUGUCAGCGUCCAUUUCAAUAGGCUUCGUCUGCGGCAUCAACCCCACAUUGAUGCACCUGAAUUUAUCUGCAGAUUGCCAUGUACUUUCAAGAAACGAUAUCGUCACCCCUACUGUCCCAUCUGGAUUGGUCUUCCCUUCGAGAUCAACCUUCUCAAACAUUCCACAAGUUGCUAGAUUUUCAAGCUCUUUCUGAAGCUGGGCUUUGUUGUAGAUACCUCCCGGCCGGAUGGUGACCAUCUCGAAGAAGGAAUCUUCGGUGCCGACGACGCUCCCGCGACGACGAUCAUAGAAAAGAAUUUCCGAGAUCUUGUACUUCUUAAAUCCACUAAGUUUGUUAAGCUGAACGACAAUGUUGGCCGGUAGGCCAUGAGAGUCCCAUUCCUGAGAUUCCUCGUCCUUCGCAACAGCAGCUGGAGAGAAAAUUCUAGACCAAAACCCACCAUCCCCACCCCCACCACCACCAUCCCCAGUGCCUCCUACACCUCCGCCGCCGGAGAAAUCGCCACUAUCGACAAGGGGAGUGACGGGAGAAAAGCGGAGGAGAAUACCGGCGGCUCCAGCGGAGAAGGCUAGGGCCUGGGCGAGGGAGAAAAAGGGUUUUUUCGGUGUCAAGGAUUCAGGGUUUUGCGAGGAGGAGGAGGAGGAGGAGAGAUCGCAUUUGAUGGUGCUGGCAGGCGUGGAAGAGCCUGCUUUCAAGAUGGGGGUGGAGGAAGCCAAUCUACGGCGGGGGCGAAGAGAUGGGGUAAGAGGGGGAGAGAAAAGCUGACCCUGGGCGCCGAAGGACGCCAUUGCUGGGCAAAAGAGGAGGGAUAAGGCGAAGAGGAUGAUGAAGACUAAGAAGGGUUUGGUGAGAGGUUUAUGAGUGAGAAGUGAUGGCUGAUAACCAAGGCUAGGGUUUUUGGGCUUGGAACUUGUGAGCCCUGGUUCCACCCUCAGAAUUUGGGCGACAUCUGCAAUGUGGGAUUAGACCUAUUGCAUUCGAUAUAUAUUUAUCAAUUGGGCUCCCAAAUUCCCUAUCAAAUACAAUUAUAAAAAAUAAAAAUAAAAAUUGAAUUAUCAACUAUUACAUUAAUUGAUUGGUACUUUUCUUGUUACCCAAGCAAUGGAGCCAAAAAGGAAAAUAACUUUGCAAAAUCAACAGCAGGAAUCCAAUUUUAUUACCAAAAAAAAAGUAUUAUUGUUUUUGGGAGUAUAUAUUUCAAAUGUAAAAAUUAACGGUAAAAAAUAAUAUUUUAAAAUAUUUAGGUAUUUAAGAUAUUGAAUAAAUAAAUAAAGAGACCAAUACUUUGUCCAUGAAAAUAUUUUUUAAAUAUUAAAAUUAUUUUUGUUUUGAAUCAAAGCAAUUUUAAAAUGGAUUAGCAUGUAAGUAAUUAUUUAUGUAGAAACUGGGCCAGGUCCAGUUUCUAACAGUGGUUGUAGCCCUUUACUUUAAAAGCCCAAGCCCAAAACGACGCGUUUUACUUCCCGGGAGGUAGCUACAAAACCAAUUGCAGCGAAAAACAUUUGUGGAAAUGGCGAAAAAUGAGCUUUCGCCUUCCUAGUUAUCUCCUGCGACGCACCCUACCUGAAGUGUGUAAAACAACCUACCAGUUACGUUCCCGCGCUGUAACGACUCAAACCAACCGCCUUGCUCUUUUCCCGGGGAACGAUUUCUUCUCUUGUAACAGCCACAUCGCUUGUGACACCGACGAAAAACAGAGUUCAGUCGAUUUGAAGCUCUUGGCUCAGUUGCAGCAACAUGGGUCUGCACCUACCGCUCACAUUCUCAACAGAAUGGUCUCCUCGUGCGCGAAAUCUGGGUCUGUCUUUGUGGGAAUUCAGCUUCAUUCCACCAUAAUCAAGGUGGGUUUUGAUUCAAAUGUCUAUAUUUGCAGUGCUCUUGUGGAUAUGUAUGGUAAAUGUGGUGCGGUUUCAAGUGCUCAGCGGCUAUUCGAUGAAAUGCCCCAUCGGAACGUGGUCACUUGGAAUUCAUUAAUAUCUGGUUAUUUGCAUGUGGGUUGCCCAGAAAUUGCAAUCGAAUUGUUUUUGGAGAUGGUCAAAGUGGGUAUAGACCCGACUCCUUUCAGUGUUUCGGCUGUUUUAGUGGGUUGUUGGCGAAUGGAAGACACAAAACUUGGGAUUCAGGUGCAUGGUUUGUCUAUGAAGUGUGGGUUUUGCUAUAAUAUUGUUGUUGGAACGUGCUUAAUAGAUUUGUACUCAAAGGGUUGGAAUAUUGAUGCUUCGAGACUAAUGUUUGAUCUCAUGCCAGAAAGAAAUAUUAUUACUUGGACUUCAAUGGUUGCUGGCUAUGCUCAUUGUCAGCAACCUGUUGCUGCGAUGGUUUUAGUUAGAGACAUGCAGCGGUUGGGUAUCAGGUUGAAUUAUGUGACUUAUAAUUGUCUAUUGAGCUCUUUUUCUAGUUCAAAUGAUUUGGAUCAUUGUAAGCAAGUUCACUGUAGGAUAAUUCGUGAGGGUUUGGAGUCUAAUUCAUAUUUGGAAGUUACCCUUGUGACAGUAUAUUCAGAAUGUAGCAGCAGUAGUUUGGAGGACUUUAAUAAGGUCUGCUCAGGUGUUACAAGAUGGGAUCAAAUCUCCUGGAAUGCAGUCAUUGGUGGUUUAUCAAAUUUAGGAAAUGGUGAAGCAGCCCUCAAAUGCUUCUCUAAAAUGAGGCAGGCAGGCAUUGAUAUGGACCUCUUUACAUUUACAAGUGUCUUAAGAGCAAUAGGAAUGAUUUCAACCCUUGAUGAGGGAAAGCAAAUUCAUGCUCUGGUUUUGAAAGCGGGCUAUGGCUCAAAUCUUAAUGUUCAAAAUGGCCUUGUUUCCAUGUAUGCAAGAUGUGGCUCAAUUAAUGAUGCAAAGAGGGUUUUCUCAUUGAUGGACAGACAUGAUGUGAUCUCAUGGAAUUCAUUGCUAUCCGGGUGUGCUUAUCAUGGGUAUGGUAGAGAAGCUGUUGAAUUGUUUGAACAGAUGAGAAGAAGUGGGGUCAAACCAGAUAAUACCACCUUUCUUGUUGUGCUCUCUGCUUGUAGGCAUGUUGGGUUGCUGGACAAGGGUCUUGAGUAUUUUGAUUUGAUGAGAAAUGAUUAUUCACUAGAAUCUCCCACAACAGAGCAUUAUUCUAGUAUGGUUGAUCUUUUUAGUCGAGCUGGAUAUUUAUCAGAAGCGGAAGACUUUAUCAAUACCAUGCCAAUAGAGCCAGGACCCUCCGUCUACAAAGCUCUGUUAAGUGCUUGUCAAGUUCAUGGAAAUGUGGAAAUUGCAGUACGAUGCGCAAAAAAACUUCUCCAGAUGUGCCCCAAUGAUCCUGUGAUUUAUGUGCUGUUGUCAAAUGUACAGGCAACAGUUGGUUAUUGGGAUAAUGUAGCAAGCAUAAGAAAGGUCAUGUGUGAUAGAGGAGUGAGGAAGGAACCUGGUUACAGUUGGAUUUAAGUUAACAAAGAGGAGUGAAACAAGGACAGGAAAGCUUGUCAAUGGAAAAUGAGAGCACCAUAUUUAUAUGGAAGGUAAGCUUGUCAAUGGAAAAUGAGAGCACCAUAUUUAUAUGGAAGGUGUGCCAGGAUUUGAAGAUCAUGCGGUGCUCACCAGAAUGGGAAUUUUGUUUUAGUCAAUGAUGGAGAUUGGAGUGGCUCAAAUGUUCAGAUCUACUCUGUUGAUGUCAUUACAAUUGAAUUAAAACAAAUAAUCUUCAAAACUGAUGUUUCGAUGCUUCUUUGAUGACAGUUACACUGUCACUGUGGCUGAUUGGAAUUAGUUACCAUCAACUAUUGUUGAUAUCAGUGGUCAAUGGUAUUCAGCAUCAAGUGUUUAUAGGGCCAUAGACAGGUUAACCAAGAAACCCAUGAUCUAGUGUGGUGGGUCUGUAUUUAUCGGAUCUCUCAUAGUUGGAGGGUAUGUAUGAGUUUGCACAUAAAAAUCUCAGAUCUUUUCUGCUUCAUAUCAGUAAAAUCUUUUCUUUGUCCGACAAAAAUUAGAUUGUCUUAGGGUUGAGAGAGUAUGAAGUGUUGUAUUCUGUGCCAGUCUUAUGUACCAUGAAACAGGUUCAAAUGAAGACAACUUUAUGCCAAAUGCAUUCUUUUGUAGAGCUGGAUUAAUACAUCCCUUGAAAUGCAUGGGAAUGAUUAAUGUCUCGAGGUUACAAACAAUACUUGAGAUACUUUUAUGGUGUGAACAAGAGUCCAAGAUGAUUCAUUAAUAUUAUGCAAACAAUGGAUGGAGAGGCGAUGCAUAAUACAGGUUCCUGCAGCAGUUCUUUCAUGAAAUACAGGUUUAGUCAUAUUCAUACCUAGCUUAAAGGUGUGAUUCUUAUGGUUAAGAUGAACUGCAAGGCAGAGGACAACUAGUUGGAUCCAAUAUUAUAUACUCGCCAAGUUAAGCAAGUAAAGAUGAUCAGGUCGGGCACCCAAUCUUAAGUCUCGUGAGUUCCCUCUACUAUUUUUAGUAUGUUAGACUAAACUACACAAGGUCUUUUUUCAUGUGAGCUAGGUCAAUCGGGAUCUCACGAAAAGCCUAACUAUCGCGACCCCAUCAGCACCUGGCACUGGAGGGCAUGGGAAGAGCGGUGACCAAAUAUUGGAUAAAGGGGUUCAGUAGAAGAGUAUUUGAUGUAGGACAACCCUAGGAUGGUUGCCUACACUCAAGGGUAGGUAGGUUAGGGUUUUAUUUUUUAGGGUGCAAGGAGAGGAACAAAGAAUAAAUUUUAUGGUAGAGAAAAUUAUAAGAUAAGAAAUAGAGAGAAAGAAGAAACAAUGAAGAAAAUAUAGAAAACCUUAGAGUCUCACUAAGGACUUCUAGGAGUCUCAAUUAGAAGAAAAUCAAUGGAGUCUCACCAUUGAGAGUUGCAACCUUGCAAUGAAAGAAAAUAUAAUAUUAUUCAUAUCAAUUCAUCUCUUUGAUUUACAUUGAUUAGUUUAUUUAUAAGCUUCUCUAAGAAAACCAAAGUCUACUAGGACUCUAAUAACCUAUCAUCUCAAAUUCUAAUUAUAUUAUAACUCAACUAGCUAAUCCUAAUUAGACUCCAAUAAAUACCAAUCUCAAUUCAAUUCUAAUUAAUAUUAAUCAUACUUAAAGUUUACUUAGGUCUUCUCUUUCUUCCUUGAAUAAACUUUAAAAGGAUUUCCCCCAUCAAUUAUCCUCAGCUUGCAAAAACUCGGUUUCGACGAGUUAGAUGCUUGAUACAAUUCAUAGAGAUCGGGGUUAAGCUUUUGAAAAUCCGUUGUUGUAAUCCAUGUAUUUUCAGAGUAUGGUUUGCCUUGCCAUUUCACCAAAAAAAUUUGGUAUCCACUUUGUCGAGUGGACACAAGUUGAUCAUCAAGAACAUAUUUGAUCUCAGGACAUGGGCUAAGAGUAGGUGGUAAUUGAAGAUCCAACUCUUCACUUACAUCAUUGUGAUGGUCAUGGUAGAUAUACAAAUCUUCCACAUUAAAUAUUGGACUAAAAUGCAAGUCUCAAGGGAGUUCUAACAAAUAAGCAUUCUCAUCCAACCACUUUAGUACUCGAAAUGGACCUAUCUUCUUAGCUUGAAGCUUUUGAUAUGUGCUCGAAUGAAAUCUUUCUGGUCGUAGACGAACCAUCACUAGAUCACCUUCUUGAAAUUGAAUAUAUCUUCGAUGUGCAUUUGCUGCCUCUUUAUAGUUCUCAUUACUGAUUUUGAUUUUUUGUCGUACAUUUUCAUGUAUAUCUAGUUUAUGACAUGCAAAUGCAUCACCAUCUUGGCUGGCGCGGACAGAAGUAGGCAAUGGUAUAAGAUCAACAGGUUGCUUAGGUUUCAACCCAUAUGUCACUUCAAAAGGUGAGUACCCAGUAGUACGAUUAGUAGAGCUGUUGAAAGCAAAUUUAGCUUGUGGUAAGACAUUGUCCCAAUUUCUUAAUUGAUCUCUCACAAUGCAUCUCAAAAUAUUACCAAGGCUGCGAUUGACAACUUUUGUUUGUCCAUUAGUUUGAAGAUGAAAAGAACUUGAAAAUUUUAAUUCAGUACCUAGCUUGGCCCACAAAGUUUUCCAAAAAUAGCUCAUAAACUUGACAUCGCGAUCAGAAACAAUUGAUUGUGGUAAUCCAUGCAAUCGAACUACUUCUUUAAAGAACAAGGCAACAACAUAAGAAACAUCUGAAGCCUUCUUACAUGGAAUAAAAUGUGUCAUUUUGGAAAAUCUGUCAACCACAACAAAUAUAGAAUCAAAGUCCCGUUGUGUCCUUGGUAAUCCAAGUACAAAAUCCAUGCUUAAGUUUUCCCAAGGUUUGGAUGGAAUUGGUAAUGGGUGUAUAUAACCCUGUAUUUUGCUUUGAACAUUUUCCUACUUGAUAUGCUCGACAUUGUUUGAUAACCUUCCAAACAUCCUUCUUUAAACUAGGCCAAAAGAAGCGAUCUUCCACCAAAGCAAUGGUCUUAUCUCGUUCAAAAUGUCCACCCAUUCUGCCUCCAUGAAGUUCUCAUAUGACAUGAUCACGUAGGGAAGUCCUUGGUAAGUAGAAACGAUUUUUAUAAAACAAAUACUCUUCUAAAAUCUAGAAAUCAAUAUAUGUUGUUUUUUAACCACUCAAAAGAGAGGAAUAAACAUCUCCAAAAUCAACAUCAUUGUCAUAGCAAUGCUUUAAUUCUUCAAAUCCAAUUGUAGUGGCUGACAUGUUUACUAAGAGAAAGGCAUUCCUACUAAGGGCAUCAGCUACUUUAUUUUCAAUUCCUGCACAAUGUUUUAAAUUAAAGGUAAACAACUGAAGAAAACUACUCUAUUUUGCAUGUCGAGAGUUAAGCUUCUUUUGAGAAUUAAGAUAUCACAAGACUUCAUGAUCCGAAUACAAAACAAAUUCCUUGUAACUGAGAUAAUAUUGACAAUGCCUAAUUGCUUGCACCACCGCAUAGAAUUCAAGAUCAUAUGUGGAGUAUUUUUUUUUUUGCCCCAUUGAGCUUCUCACUAAAGAAAGCUACAAGAUGUCCCUCUUAGCUAAGAACUGCUCCAAUUCCCAUAUGGGAAGCAUCACAGGCCACCUCAAAUACUUUCUCAAAGUCUGGUAGACAUAGGAUAGGAGGGUUCACCAUCUUGGAUUUGAUUUCUUCAAAUGCCUUGUUGGUCGCCUUGGUCCAAAUAAAUAAACCAAGUUUCAUGCAUUCAAUAAUUGAGGUCAUAAUAGAGCUGAAAUUUCAAAUAAAUCAUCGAUAGAAUGUAGUCAUUCCAUGGAAGCUUCGCACCUCAUGGAUAUUUUUUGGUAUUGGUCAAUCAACAAUAGCUUUAAUAUUCUCCGGAUCUGUUUCAACACCCUUAGAAUACACAACAAAGUCAAGAAAUACAACACUAGGGCUCAUGAAAGUACAUUUUUUCAAAUUAAUGUAAAAAUUUUCAGUCCUAAGAGUGCGUUUUACUUGUUUCAAAUGUUCUUCAUGAUCUUCACAAGAUCGACUAUAGAUAAGAAUAUCAUCAACCAACCGUCCAAUAAAAGGUUUCAAUACCUGCAUCAUAACCCGCAUGAAGGUACUUGGAACAUUGGUUAGUCCAAACGACAUGACUAACCACUCAUACAAUCCAUCCUUGGUUUUGAAAGAUGUCUUCCAUUCAUCCUCUGGUCUAAUACAUAUUUGAUGAUAUCCACUUUUUAGAUCAAUCUUUGAGAAGAUUAAUGAUCCAACCAUCAUAUCUAGCAUGUCAUCAAGUCUUGGAAUUGGAAAUCGAUACUUGAUUGUGAUUUUGUUGAUUGCACGACUAUCCACACACAUCCGCCAUGAUCCAUCCUUAUUUGGUGUUAGUAGGGCAAGAACUCCACAAGGACUUAGGCUUUCACGAAUAAAACCUUUAGUAAGUAAUUCAUCAACUUGUCUUUUCAAUUCAACAUGCUCUAUUGGAUUCAUUCGGUAAGCUGGUAAAUUUGGUAAUGAUGCACCGGGAAUCAAAUCAAUGGCAUGUUGUACGUCACGCAGAGGAGAGAGUUGAUUAGGUAACUCUGCAAGCCACAAGUCAGAAAAGUCAUCAAGGAUUUUACGUACGUUUGUUGGAUAUUUCUUAUCUUGUUCUUUAAAUUCUUCCACUUUCCAAGCCAUUAAAGUACAAAUAACUUUAGUUUCUUUGCUCUCAUUUUCAAAUACAUAGUAAGUACCUUUUUUGGUUGUGCCUCAUCCUCUGACUUCUUAAUUGGAGAGACUUCUUUCAUUGGACGAAGGAUCUUUUUAUGUCUAUUGUGUAUGAGAGCAUAUGUAUUUUCAUAGUCGUCAUGUUGAACUCUUCUAUCAAAGAGCCAAGGUCUUCCAAGUAAAAUAUGAUUUACUUUAAUGGGUAAGACCUCACACCAUACAGACUCUUUAAAGUCCUUACCGCAAAGGAAUGUUACUAAGCAGCGAAAACUUAUCGGGAUAGAGGUGUCAUUAACCCAUGCUACUCAAAAUGGAUUUGGAUGUCUAUCUGUUUUAAGGUUUAGCUUCUUAACAAGUUCUUGCGAAGAUAUGUUCAAAUUGCUACCUCCAUCAAUGAUUAUGGUGCAUAAUCUCCCUUGGAAAGAAAUACGUGUCUGGAAAAUGCUAGUACGUCGCCAAUCUUCUUCUCCUUUUACCUCGAGAGAACUAAUAAAGGUCAUACUACAAGACUAUGUCAUUCCGUCAUACCAUCAUAGUAGUCACAUUUUUCACUAACUUCAUCUUCAUUGUAGGUCUCUUCUUCCUUUGGGUAACUUUCCAAUUCAGAUUCUGGUUCUUCAACACAAAAGUGUAAACCUUUGGUUGGGCACACAACAACAUAAUGACCAUGUCCACCACACUUAAAGCAUAAAAGAGUCAUGUCUACUUUUCUAUCUCCAAUACUCAUUGAAGUUUUACCUUUAUUACCAUUCUUAUGAACCCCAUUCGAAGUUUGUUGAGUGUUGCCUCCACCAUUCACAUGAUUAGAAGUUCUCAAGCUUGAUGUGCUUAAAGGUUUGCUUGUUGUCCUAUUAGAGAAAGUGAUCCUAAUUUGUGAACUUGGACACCUAGAAACUCGAAAUUUGAGGCAUUCUUCUAUUUUGACGGCUAGUUGAUAAACAUCAUCAACGGUAUAAGUGUGUGCAACUAUCAUCUCAAGUUGAAUCUCCAUUUGAAGUCCAGCUUUGUAGCGGGCUGCAAGUUAAGCAUCACUUUCCCGCACUUGAUUUCGAAUGCUCAAUUCAUGGAAUUCUUCUGUAUAUUCUUCAACGGACUUGGUACCUUGUUUAAGGGAAAACAAUUUUGUAUACAUAAGUUGUUCAUAAUCAAUUGGGAGAAAGUGUUCCUUCAUCUUCAACUUCAUCUCAUCCCAUGUGUCAAUAGGUGGUUGGCCAGUUCUAUGAACUUGAUUCUCAAUAUUAUGUCACCAUAGACGUGUUGCUCCUUUCAACUUUGCCUUCACAAAACAAACUUUUCUAUUUUAGGCAUUGCAUACCAAUCAAAGUAAUCUUCCAUUGACAUAAUCCAAUCAAGAAAAGCUAUUAGAUUUAGUUUUCCAUAAAAUUCAGCAACUUCAAGACGUACAUUUUUUGUCACAUCAUCAUCUAGCUCAAAAAUUUUAGCUUUUCUUUGACUUCCCAUCAUAAAAUUGUCUUGUUCUUUGCGUGAUCGAUUUGGCGAUUGUUUAAAUUGAUGACUUACAAUCUCCUCUUCAAUUGGUCGUUUUUCUUGACUUUUUUCAAAUAACUUCAUAAUGUCAUCAAGUUGUUAUUUAGUUGUAUUAUAGCAUCUUGAUGGGAUUGUUGUGUGACUAAAAUUUCCUCCAAGCGUAUUGUAGCAGCAUCUUGAUUGCUAGAAGUUUUUUUGGAACUCAUGCUUGCAUAAGUUGCUCUGCUCUUUAAUUGCAUAUGCCUUCAAGCCAAAAACUUUGGCUCUGAUACCAAAAUUGAUGUAGGACAACCCUAGGAUGGUUGCCUACACUCAAGGGUCGGUGGGUUAGGGUUUUAUUUUUUAAGCUGCAAUGAGAGGAACAAAGAAUAAAUUUUAUGGUAAAGAAAAUUAUAAGAUAAGAAAUAGAGAGAAAAAAGAAACAAUAAAGAAAAGAAGGAAAAUUUUAGAGUCUCUCACUAAGGACUUUUAGGAGUCUUACCUAGAAGAAAAUCAAUGGAGUCUCACCAUUGAAUUAAAGUUGCAACCUUGCAAUAAAAGAAAAUAUAAUAUUAUUCAUAUCAAUUCAUCUUUUUGACUUACAUUGAUUAAUAGCUUCUCUAAGAAAUCCAAAGUCUACUAGAACUCUAAUAACUUAUUAUGAUUCUAAUUCUAAUUAUAACAUUCAAAGUCUACUAGAACUUUAAUAACCUAUCAUGACUCAAAUUAUAAUUAUAUUAUAACUCAACUAACUAAUCAUAAUUAGACUACAACAAAUAUCAAUCCUAUUCAAUUCUAUUAAUAUUAAUUCCACUUAAAGUUUACUUAGGUCUUCCUUUUCUUCCUUGAAUAAACUUUAAAAGGCUUCCCCCGUCAAUAUCUCAUGUACAAGCUUGAGCCUGGGGAGAGGAGAGAGCUCUUUCUCAAGUUAUCUACAGGGCAAACAGUUCAAGGAAAACUCCUGGUGAAAUGGGUGUGGUAGAGAAUGUUGAAGAGGCUGUAACUUUGUUGCUUCGGAAUGAAGAGUCCUCCCCAUCAACAGCUGCCCCAACUACAAAAUAAUCAUCAAACAUUCCCAUCUCUACCAAAUUGGCAUCACAAAUUCCCACUACCACCAAUUCAGCAUCUCAGGUUCCCCCUCUCUACCCAGCCUGCAUAAAAAAUUUAUCUGUACCGAUUCAGCAUCACACAUUCUAUCAUGUGCCAGGGGAUUAUUGACAUAUUAGACUGUAAUAACUAUUAAACUGCAGUCCUGGUUCUGCUCUAAGUUCUGUAUUUAUGGCUUAGCUGCCACAGCUGUGACAUAAUCAUUUUGGAUUUUAUUAAAUUCUAACAGUUCCUUCUGCAUUGAAGAAAAUCAUGGAAGGAUACUCCAGAGUCCAGACCAACUGAGGGAGAAACAAGAAAUGGGUUUUCUGUAUUCAGUGUACUAGUUUGAUGUAUCGCUAAAUAGUAAGCCUACCUUUAUUUGUAGGCUCCAUUCAUGAAACAAGCGUGUCACACGUCCAAACCGUGUCACACACCUCUCUCUCGAUUCAUUUUUUGAAAAAAAUCGUCCCUUCAUGUGGACAUCCCUUUCAUGUCCAUAUUUAUUGAACUUGUUUAAAGAUAUUGUAUGUACGAAAACCAUAAACAUUCACGUGGACAUACAGUAGGCAAAAAGUUGUAUAGGGCGUGUUUAACCCUUGGAAUUUUUUAUUGGAUGCAAAGGAUCGAAGAAAAAGUGGCCAACUUUUUAAUUUAGUCUUGGCCUCCAAUACUAACAUAAAUAGAGAAUAUGGCAUUGAUUGCGAAAUGAUAUUUUCUGCCAACUUGAGAGAGAGAGAUUAAAUCAGAGCCUCUGGGCAAUGAUUUGCCAUGUGAAAUCAACUUUUCUGAUUGAAAAUUUGUGGCAAUGUAAACUAGAUUUAGCCAUCUUAAUUGAUGGCAAGUGGUCCAAUAAUGUAAUCUACUCCUCCCAUGUGAAGAUUCAAAACAAAGAAAAUUCCCAAGAAAAGUAGCCUCCAAAGAAAUGGAAAACUGCAGAAACAGAUUUAGCCAUCUUAUUUGAUGGCAACUGGUCCAAUAAUGUAAUCUUGAAAACUUGGUCCUACUCCUACCAUGUGAAGAUUCAAAGCAAAGAAAUGGAAAGCUGCAGAAACAGUGGCCCUUCCAUUACCCAAAAUCCAAACAUGAUUUUCCGCCAACCACAGUUCUGUUUCAAACGAUAGUGGGAACCCACCCAUUUCUGAUGGUAUCAUAUCAUCUAUUAGGUGAAGAACCAUGAGAAAAACAUGGACUAUUCUACAUCAUGCCUUGGAGUUUAUCUAAAGCAUUAGGUGAAUUUUGUACCCAUAUUCUUUCAUUUGAGUUAACAAUUCAAACGUUGCAUGCCUUGAAAUAUCAGGCGUUUCAGAGGAAGGACUAAUCAUAGCGGGAUUUGACUUCUUCCUCUGAAAGCAGUAGCAGCCAUGACAAUUGCUUUGAAACUGAGGCACAAUGACAGUUAAGACUGGUGGAAUUCUAGAAUCAGAUUCAAAAUUCAAAAAACCAUCACUUUCAUUUAAUUUUGGAAGGAAAUUUCCGUAAUUGGAACAGUUUUUUGGGAGUAGUGAAUUUGAUGACUGCUGACCUGAUCCUUAUCCAAACCUAUCGGUUUCUUUCUGAAUUUUGGGUCAAAAUGGUCCAUUUAAAAAAAAAAAAAAAAAUGUAACAUUUAGUCAUUUUUUGAAAGACCCCAUUGGUGUCACAUAGACGCCGUAUCAUAAAAAAAAAAAAAAAAAAAUUAUUAUUUUAGUUAAAACCACAGUUGGUAAAUACGAUUUCAUAUUUGAACUAAAGUCAUAAUUGACAAAUGCAGUUUCAUUUUUGAACUAAAGACUCAGUUGCCAACUGCGGCUUUAGUUAAUUUUUUUUUAAAAUUAAAAAUUAUUAAAUUACAAUUUAUGAUUGAAAUUUAAAAAAUAUACUUAAAUAAUAAAUUAUUUAUAUUUAAAUUUAAAAAUCUAGUAUUACUUCAAUAAAUAUAAAUUGAUAAAUAAAAGAUAUUAUAAAUGAAUAUUUUAUUUGUUAAUAAAUUAAUAAUCUUAAAAUAAUAAACUUAUAUAACAUAUACAUAAUAUAUAAAAUUGUAUAAUUUAUUAAUUUAAAAUAUUUAAUUUGUUGUUUUUUAAUAUAUUAAUUUAUUUAUAUUAUGAUAAAUUUAUCUUUAUCAAAAUAAUAGUAUACUUUUAAGUCGUAGUUGGUAACUGAGAUUUCAAUUAUAAUUUUUUUUUUACUUUCAAAUUUAAUUAAAAACUAUUAAAUUAUAAUUUAUUAUUGAAAUUAAAAAUAUAUACUUUAAUAAUAAAUUAUUUAUAUUUAAACUUAAGAAUUUAGUAUUAGUUCAAUAAACAUAAAUUAAUAAAUAGAAGAUAUUAUAAUUGAAUGUUUUAUUUAUUAAUAAAUUAAUAAUCUUAAAAUAAUAAACUUAUAUAACAUAUAAAUAAUAUAUAAAAUUUUAUAAUUUUUAAUUUAAAAUAUUUAAUUUGUUGUUUUUUAAAAUAUUAAUUUAUUUGUAUUAUGACAAAUUUAUCUUUAUCAAAAUAAUAAUAUACUCUUAAGCCGUAGUUGUCAUAUAUAGAUUUUUUUACAAAAUUAGUUAAUGUAAUUUUUAAUAGUUUAAUUAAAAUCACAAAAAAUAUUCACUAAACAUUAAUAUAGUGGAAAAUAAAAAACAUAUAUAAUCUUACAUUUUUAAAAAAAAAUGGGUCAUUUUGACCCAAAACUGCUGGUUUCUAGUAUUAACUAAUACUUUCCCAAACUAUAAUGAAUGAUAUGCAAAAGGAGAAACUUUAUUUUUAUUGAAAGAUAUGUUCAUUUGGAGAGAUGAUUCGAUGACAGAGAUGGUUUCAUGGAAGCCCAUCAUUUGGGGAGUUUAAAUCCAAAAUAAUCCAUUUAUUGAAAAAAAAAAAUUGGUAAGAAUAAUUCUCAUCUCAAAAUAUUUGUCAAACUAACCUUUUUAUCUACAUAAGCAUCCACAUAGUUUUUUUUUAAGUGUAAAAAACCAUCGUUGGUGACUGGAUUUAAAAGUUUCAGAAAUAUCCUUAAAACCACAGUCAUAUACUGUGGUUUUACAAUUUUUUUUAAAAUCAUAAUUAGUAACUGUGAUUUCAAAAUUAUUUUUAAUUCAUGUCCGUUUUAAUAGUAUUGUGAUUUUAAUAUUAUUUUUAAAAUAUUCUUUAUCAUAAUCACAAUAAAAAAAAAAAAAAAAUUUGUCAUGAUAAUCAUAAAACAACAGUUAGUAACUGUGGUUUUAAAAAUAUCAUAAAAACCACAGUCAUAGACGGUGGUUUUACAAUUUUCUUUAAAACCACAAUUAGAGGGAAACUCAUGUAACCAUAACUAAAAAAAAUAUGAAAUUUUAGAACUUUACUUUUUUAUUUUUUAUUUUAGUAUAAAUUAUGGAUGUACCAAAAUUUCUUAACGAUGUAUCAAAUUUCCUUAAAGUUCGUUUCUUACAAAUUUCCUUACAUAAAUAUUUUAUUUAACAUAAAUAUAUAAAUUUUUAUGGGAAUGCAUGUAGGCCAAAUUAUUUUCUCAAAUUUUCAAGGAAAAUAUAAAAAAAUAAAGAUAUAUAUAUAUAAUUUUAAAACAGUCGUAACGAAAAAUUUUAUUAAGGAUAAUUUGUACAAAAAAAUAAUUUUAAACUGACAAUGGAAAAUUGUAAGAAAUUUUCCCCACUCUGAAACAAACUUUUUUACAAUGAAAAAUUUAAAACAAUUUGUGACUAUAGUUUUAAGAAAAUUGUAAAACCACGUCUGUUACUGUGGUUUUUUUGAUAUUUUUAAAACCACAAUUACUAACUGUGGUUUUAUGGUUAUUAUGACAAAAAAAUAUUUUUUAUGGUUAUUAUGAUAAAGAAUCUUUUAAAAAUAAUAUUAAAAUCAUAAUACUAUUAAAAAUGAUGUGAAUUAAAAAUAAUUUUGAAACAACAGUUAUUAAUUAUGAUUUUAAGAAAAAUUGUAAAACCACAGUAUGUGAUUGUAGUUUUAAGGAUAUUUCUAAAACUUUUAAAAUCACAGUCACUAAUGGUGGUUUUUUACACUUAAAAAAAAAAAUAGAGAGAGAGAGAGAGAGAGAGAGAGAGAGAGAGAGAGAGAGAGAGAGAGAGAGAGAGAGAGAGAGAGAGAGAGAGAGAGAGAGAGAGAGAGAGAGAGAGAGAGAGAGAGAGAGAGAGAGAGAGAGAGAGAUGUUUAGUGGAUAGAAAAUAUUAGUUUGACAAAUAUUUUUAUAUGGGUAUUAUUCUUACCAUUUUUUUGGAAAAAUGGAUUAUUUUGGAAUUAAACUCUCAUUUUGGGACCUUUGAUUAUUCUUCGAUGAACUCGGGAGUCAAAUUUGGAGCAUGUAUCUUCUUCGAAAGGUGGAAGGCAUCAUUAUCCUUUUCAUGGCCCACGUUUGAGAUUGGGUCCCAAUGAAAAGGGGAAGAGAGAUUCCUAAAUUUCAACAUAGAGGUCCUGGACACCUAGCUCAAAAAGCUCUGCAGAGAAGAACCAGUCAUGUGAAUUGAUCCUGUAAAGCCCAUCUGUCUUUGCAAAAAAGAAAUCUUUUGCAACCUCUUUCAAUGGCUACAACAGUUACAUCGCUUCACUUUUUGAUCAUUCUCUUCACAUCUGUCAAACUCUUGGCCUUGGCAGAAGAAGAAGCCCAGUUCAUCCACAAUGGCUUCCAAGGAGCGAGUCUGCAUCUUGGUGGAAUCGCGAAGAUCCACCCAAACGGUCUAUUGCAGCUGACCAACACUUCAAAGCAACAAAUUGGCCGCGCUUUCUUCCCACUUCCUCUGAAGUUCAACACAUCUUCUGGUGAUUCCAGGUCUCUCUCAUUUUCUACCAUUUUUGCAUUUGCAAUAGUUCCUGAAUGGCAGGCUCUUGGUGGCCAUGGUAUUGUCUUCACCAUUGCGCCAUCCAUGGACUUCCCUGGAGCUGUGGCAAGCCAAUAUUUGGGACUCUUCAAUGUUACAAACAACGGUAAUUCUUCCAAUCAUGUGUUUGCAGUUGAGCUAGAUACAAUUUUAAGCCCAGACUUGAAAGACACAGAUGGAAAUCAUGUGGGAGUUGAUGUGAAUAGCCUUGACUCUGAAGUAUCAGCUCCAGUGACCUAUUUUUCCAACAAAGAAGGGAAGAAUAAGAGCUUAGAGCUCAUAAGCGGGAAGGCUAUGCAGGUUUGGAUAGAUUAUGAUGAUGUGCAGAAGCUAAUCAAUGUGACAGUAGCUCCCCUCAAAAGCCCAAAACCAAGCAUGCCUCUAUUGUCAACACCCAUUAAUCUUUCUUCUAUUUUCUUGGAGUCUAUGUAUGUUGGUUUCUCUUCAGCCACUGGUGCAAUGGCAAGUGAUCACUAUAUUCUUGGGUGGAGCUUCAACAGAAGUGGGGAAGCACAAAGCCUUGAAAUUUCAGAGCUUCCUUCCCUACCCCCAAGGAAGAAAGAAAGGAAGACACUAGUUGUAAUUGUUUUGCUGUCACUGACAACAUUAGUAAUUGUUCUGGUUGUGCUCAUGGGAGCCGGUUACAUUAUAAGAAAAUUGAAAUUUGAAGAACUACGGGAAGAGUGGGAAGGGGAAUAUGGUCCUCAAAGAUUCUCCUAUAAGGAUCUCUACAAAGCAACCAAAGGUUUCAAAGACAAAGAGCUUCUUGGAGCAGGGGGUUUUGGGAAGGUUUAUAGAGGAAGACUUCCUUCUUCAAACUUAGAAAUUGCAGUCAAGAAAGUGUCUCAUGAUUCAAAGCAAGGGAUGAGGGAAUUUGUGGCUGAAAUUGCAAGCAUGGGAAGACUUAGGCAUAGGAACUUAGUCCAGCUCCUUGGAUAUUGUCGGCGAAGAGGGGAACUGCUCUUGGUCUAUGAUCAUAUGCCUAAUGGCAGCCUUGACAAGUUCCUAUUUAGCGAUGAAAAUCCGAUCCUUACUUGGCCUCAACGGUACCAUAUCCUCAGAGGAGUAGCAUCUAGUCUUUUAUAUCUGCAUGAAGAGUGGGAACAAGUUGUUCUCCAUAGAGAUGUGAAGGCUAGCAAUGUUCUCCUAGACGCCAAUCUGAAUGGCCGGCUAGGAGACUUUGGGCUUGCUAAAUUAUAUGAUCAUGAUACCAACCCUCAAACUACUCAUGUAGUUGGGACCGUGGGAUAUCUGGCACCAGAGCUUACUAGAACAGGGAAGGCAACUAGUAGCACUGAUGUGUUUGCUUUUGGGGCUUUCAUGCUUGAAACGGCUUGUGGCAGGAGGCCUGUGGAGCUACAAGGAUAUCCUGAAGGGGGGGUUCUGCUUGAUUGGGUUCUUGAAUGCUGGAAAAGAGGAGCUAUUCUUCUGACUAGUGAUCCUAGAUUGGAAGGUCAUUACGUUGCAGAGGAAAUGGAAUUGGUUUUGAAACUAGGCCUGCUUUGUUCAAGCCCUAUACCCGCAGUUCGGCCUAGCAUGAGGCAAGUGAUGCAGUACUUGAAUGGAGAUGCUCCUUUGCCAGAGAUACCACGUAACUUUUCCAGUAUGGGAACAUUUGGAGCAAAUGGUGAAGAAUCAGCUGAGGUUAUCACGUCAUUCCCUUCAUCAUCUGGGACGACUACUAUCCGUUCAUUCUCUAGCUCUGAUUCAAUCCUCAACCAAGGUCGAUGAAUAAUGAAGCAGCAGUAUUUCAUGCUGCGCAUAGACCCGAUCACGAGUCAGACCAAUCAGGCACAUGGCAGGGUUAUGCUUGGAGAUGGGAAUGAAAAAUAGAAGUUAUUUAUUGUAUAAAAUACGAUACAUCAGUUUCUGAAACUGAUAAAACGAUACUCUAAUGAUAUAUUUUGUAUUCUAAUUAGACUCCCAUGUAAAGGUUACAAUUAGUGCAUACAUGGAUUUAGUUUUGAGACUAGACUUGCCUUGUUCAGACUUCAAGCCAGCAGCAAAACAUAGUGAGGCAGGUGAUGCAAUUUCUGGAUGGGAAUAAUGUUUUGCUAGUGAAAACCAUGAUGAUUCAGAUUAUAUUAGCAUCCAUUCCUUUCUAGUUGAAUUCACCAAAAAAAAAAAUGUUUUCAAUCACAAGAAACACAAUUGAAGAAAAAGAUUUCGGAGUGUCAAUCUAUUAGUGACUUCCAAAUUAAGAGCAACUUGUUAUCUUUAUGCACCUUGGAGAGGUACAGAAAGAUCGAAAGCUGCAGUUGCUUCAUUAAGUAGUUUUUCCAGGAUGGAGGAUGUGGUAUAUAUUUCUUUAUGCUCCAGACCAAGUUGAUCAACUAUUGUCUGGCAUAUAGUAAAGCAAGGGGUUUUGAUCUAUCUGAUCUCUAUUUUUAGUUUGGGGAGUGUGGUUGAGGAUGAGUUUAGGAUGCAUAUAAUGUAUGGUUAUAGUUUGUGUACUGCAGAUAUCAGUUCAAGGGCCCAACUAAUACUGACAAUGAAAGAAAUGCUGCAGCCAAAUCAGUAGUUUGAAAGAAAAACAAAGCACCCAUUGGAAUUUAAACAGAGGGAAUAUCAUAACACAAAAUUACAUGAUAUUAAUCCAUGAAAGUAGAGGUGGCAAUAUGACCAAUUCCUCAUUCCCCAGAAAGGGUUUAUCCUUCCUGAGAUGGUCCAAUAUAAAGGGAAGAAUAAAAGAGGUAGGCUUCAGUACUGGCAGCUCCCAUUAUCACUCCUAGCUGUUGGAUCAAAGUUUGCUGCAGAUGGAUCAGUGCAACCUUCAGGAACAGGAACACCAACUUGUUGGGCUGCCUUGCCUGCAUCCAAAAAAAGGGACAAUAGCUUGAACAUGUUCUUAUAUAUUUCUUCCAUUUAUAACAAAUUCAGAGAGCAGAUUAAAACUUCUUACUAAAGCCUCUAGAAUCAGGGUUGCUGACCAUAAAAGGUUCCUCUCUCGAUGGAAUCCACGUUCGCAUCUCCAAGAGCUGCCUCGCUUAAGUACUUGUCAG